This 136456-nucleotide long non-coding RNA is filed under the name Citrus maxima (pomelo). RNAcentral's name for it is "long non-coding RNA (CMAX_LNC004142)". The record is from RNAcentral. Lineage: Eukaryota; Viridiplantae; Streptophyta; Magnoliopsida; Sapindales; Rutaceae.
UCAGCUGGUCAGCACGUUGUGAGCUCUGCUCUGUUUCGAAAAUAAAUCAGAACAUAAAAAAUUUUGUGCCCAGGCCAAACUGACAAAAUUGGAAAACUGAACUGACUUUUAUUGAUUAUCUCUAUUACAAACAUUGAUUUUGUGCCGAGGCCAAACACUUAUUAUAGAAGCUUGUAGUUGAGACAGGAAUAGAAACAGAGACAAACAAAAACACACAAACACAAAAAAAAAAAAAAAAAAAUUCCAGCAGCAACAACUCCAGCAUCAAUUCCAGCACCAAUAACACUUUCAGCAAAAAAAAUUCCAGUAACACUUCCAGCAAAAAAAUUCCAGCAGCAACAACCUGGCUAAGGGGAGCCGUGGUGUGGCGCUUUGUGAGUGGAUGAGGAGAUGAGAAGGGAGAGAGGUUGCCCCAGUUUGACCCACGAACCCGACCCGCGAACGUGACCCGGUUGGAUUUCACGAUCCCGGCCACUCUACCGGCCAAUCAAGGUAUUGAUCUGAAGCUUGGAAGCCAGCCCUCGUUUCCCUGCCAUCCUUGCCGCCGAAAACCAACAAGAACGCCGUCGAUUUAGCUCAAAAACCGCGAACCCGACCCGACCCACGAACGUGACCCAGUUGGAUUUCAUGAUCCCGGCAACUCCACCGGCCGAUCAAGGUAUUGAUCUGAAGCUUGGAAGCCGACCGUCGUUUCCCUACCAUCCUCGCCGACGAAAACCAACAGGAACGCCGACCUUUUAGCUCGAAAGAACCACGGCUCCAACACACCACCGCGUGAGUUCUACUCCCUCGAUCACGUGAUGGUUGUGGUCCGUCGUCUGUGGGCUCGUCCGUCGUAUGUGGUUUGUCAAACGGAAAGUAAGAGUGCGUGGCUGAUUGUUGAUUGUGGGUGUGAUUCUGUGGUUUGUCAGAAGGGAAGUAAAGAGUGCGUGCGUGAGUGAGUUUGUGGUUUCUAUUCCAGCUAAAAGGGAGGUGAGAGAGAAAAAAAAAUUCUUGUUAAUGCUUUAUUGGCUCACGCAUUAUGUUUAAUUUAAUUUUUUAAAUUGAUUGUGGGACUAACUUAAAAUUCACGCAUGCUCAUUUUCUAAAGAGAGAGGAUAGGAAACGACAGCAUGUGCUGCCGUUUCUGUCUUCCUUUUGUCGUCCCUGAGUCUCAAUAUAAGCACUCUAUUUCAUUCGUCCAAUUUAAAAAAAAAACUAAUAAUAAAAUAUUUCACCAACACAUAAUACACGCCCAAUUUAAAAAAAAAACUAAUAAUAAAAUAUUUCAUUCGUCCUAUGUUGAGUCGUCAAAAACCACUGGAAGAUGGAUUCUAACACGCGGUAUAUGGGUUAACAAGUCCCAAUAUUGUCCUCCAUCCUUUCUGCACUUCUCUUCUAUCAACGGACAUUCGUCGAUGUAUAAUCGCAAAAGUGAGGAAGGCAGGCCCUUCUCCGAAAAGUAUUUGAGCUUGGGACAAUCAUAGAGUUGCAAGUAUUUGAGGUUUUGAAGAUCAACAAUUGAAGAAGAUAGGCGUUCCAGAUUUGGAAAAUCUCCAAUCGUCAGGGAUGCUAGAGAGGCAGGAAGAGGAAGCGUGGUCCCCAAUCUUCUGUCCUCUGGUGGGAAUGACACCAUGUCGUCAUCACAUCCUUCGAUUGUAAGAUGUCGCAGAGAGGAGAAUUUGUGAAAUCCCCGCUCAAUCAUUGACUUCCAAAUCUCCAUAUUACGCUCAAUCUUCAGAAAAUGAAGGUUGGUGGGAAGGCCAUCUUCUUCAAGGCUUGGAAGCUUACCUCCUAUUCUUAAUUUUUUAAGAGACUUCAGAUUGUGCAAUCCCUUGGGUAAGGCCUCUAGUCUCUCACACCUAUAGAUCCCGAGCUUACUCAGUUUCGCACAAGGCAAUCCCCCUUCGGGAAAGGACACCAGAUUUUCACAUCCCCAUAAUUGGAUCUCUUGAAGCUGGCGGAGAUUAUGUAAACCACUCGGUAAAAAUUUCAGAUUUUCACACCAUAAAAUACUGAUCAUUUCAAGAGAUGUGUUGUUGUCCAACCUUUCUGCUAUUGACUCCAGCUUUGAACAACUCCAAACAUUAAGGCUCUUAAGAGACGGAGGUAGAUUGCCAACUUCAAGGGACUCAAGCGUGGCAGGUAACUCGUUUUUUGAAAAUAUACAUGUCAGUGAUGGACAAUCCCAAAUUUCCAACUUCUCGAGAAGAUAUGAGGUGUACCUUCUGCUGCUACUCUGGAUGCCGUCUUCCACUGUCAAAGUCCUUAUAUUAUCGCAAUGGCUGAUGUCCAACCUCUUAAGGCUCGGUGGUAGCUGGACUCUAGCAAUAUAUGGCAACGAAUGGCAACUCCAAAUCUUCAAGAUCUCGAGAGAUGAAUUGGUGCCGCACAUCCAUGCCUCUGGUAACGAUUUCAGUGCAUCACAUUCUCUAAUCUCAAUUUUCUUCAACUUGGAAGGCAGAGCAACCUCAGGAAAGGAAACAAGGGAAUGACAACGGCAGAUUUCUAUCUCUCUCAAGGAACUGAGGCUGAGAGAUGAUUGUGGCAGCUUCACAAGGCCUUUGCAAUAUCUCAAUAUUAGAUAUUCGAGUCUGCAUGACAACUCGCAGAGCUGCUGUUGUUGGUCUUUCUCUUCCUCCGCCACCAAGGAUUGAAGUUUGGGACAGCUGUCAAUCGUCAAUCUUUUGAGAGAGCAAAUGUCUUGUAGUAAUCCGUCAUGACUCUUCCAUAUAUAUGUUUGCUCUUUUGUCGACAAAAUUAAUUCUUCCAAUUUCUGUAGUUGUGGCUUCAAUGGCCCCGCAAGAAACACUUGAUUUGAUGUAUCUCUACAAACCACUGAAUUCUGUGAUCCGAGAUGAUCAGUUGCACUUCUCCACACAACCUUUUUACAUCCACCAAUCUGUAAUUUGCAAAGAGCUGGAAGACUCGAAACUGAAACUGACAAUUCUUCACAUCCUUUAAUAACAAGCUUCUCCAAUGCAGGAAGGUGCUCUGGAAAUGUUCCUUGCAGCUUAGAACAUCUUAAAAUGUGAAGCUCUCUCAAUUUAGGAAACCCUUCAACUCCUUGACCGGAUCCAUGAGGAAUCCAGUCUUCCCAUUCUUCCAUGUCUUCAAAACGAAGAGUCUCCAAGUAUGGAAAAGGAAUUGAAGCAUCCUUCCCAUAGAACUCUGGAUCUAAUCUCCUUACGCUGCUCAUUCCACAUACUACGAGAUGCUUUAGAGAGGGUAGUUGCCCGACUGACGGAAGGGCCGUACAUAUGCCACAAUUUUCAAAUUUUAAGGUCACUAAAUUUGAGAACAAGGAAUCUCCCAACCAAGUUGGAAAUUUCAUACCUCCAUAGCCUUUGAUACAAAAUUGCUCCAGAUUUGCAUGAGGUUUUAGCACGUCAAGCACGCCCAUUUCAGUUUCUGCCUCCCUUGAAGAUGAACCAUCGGUACUGCAAGUCCAAUUAAGCGAUAAUUCUUUCAGAUUCUUCUUUCCAUCCAUUUGAGCCUCCAUGGCAUCACCAACGCAUUUUACAUUCUCCAAUUUUGAAAUUUUAAGUGUCCUCUCAAGAUGCGUCAACGACUUCAGCUCUCUUAACCCGGAACCACUGUCUUUUGCCACAACAAAAUUACACAACGUUUGAAGACAAGUCAGCCUGACAAUUCCUAGUGGCAUUUCCUCCAAGGAAUCUGUAUUUGAAUUUUUAAGAUGAUGCAAUUUGAUGAGGUUUCCCAUGUCUGCACACAACUUCUUCAGCCGAUCACAAUCUUCCAACAAAAGACUAUGCAAAUUGUAAAGCUUGUUGACUGAUUCAGGCAGAGAUCUAAUCACAGCUCCAGACAGGUUAAGGUACCUUAAAUACCUCAAAUCACCAACUGAAUCCGGCAGCUCAGGGAUGCAGUAUCCACGCAAAGAGAAGACCCUCAAGCGUUGGAGUUUGAGCAACUUAGGAAGAAUGCUAGGAGCCAAGUAGCAAGGCCCACUAUUUGUCAACAUUACUGGUAAAAAAGUUCUCAAAUGUUGGAUAUCAUACAAGUCCCCAAACCUUUGAACGCCAUCAUAAUCUCCACGAAUGUAUGAUAGAUGACGAAGAUUUCUGGAAAAACAUUGUCGCUUGUUAACCUCAGAGGUAUACUCCAGUGUGAAGUAUGUCUCCCCCCCUGCAGCCCAACGGGCAAGGCCGUUGAUAAGAUCGUGCAUAACAAAUCGUGAUGCAUCGGUGGCCGAUUGCUGGAAAAAAGAUCUUGAACGUAGCUCUUGAAAGAACUUUCGACCUAGAUCUUCGUUAGGAUUCCCACUCUCUUUAUGAUCCAAGAAACCCGAGGCACACCAUAACAAAAUUAUCUCCUCCUCGUCAAAUUCAUAAUCCUUCGGAAACAACGAGCAGUAUGCAAAGCAUUGUUUCAAAAUUGGAGGAAGAUAAUAAUAGCUCACUGCAAGAGCUGGUAUAAUGGGACAUCUAUCUUCUGGUAAUUCCCAUAUCUUGCUACUGAGCACGCCUUUCCACUCACGUUUGUAAGGUUUUCCAUGUAAAAGUCCUCCCAGUGUUUUUGCUGCCAAGGGCAAGCCGUUGCAUUUGAUCACUAUCUCCUUGCCAAUUUCCUCCAAUGACUUGUGUGAACUGAAAUCUGUUGUCUCCAAAGAGUGCUGAGCGAGUACAGACAGACAGUCCUCAGUUGACAAGCUUUUGAGUUCAUAAGCUUGAUCCAGGCUCAUGAUUUUGGCAACCUCUUCAUUGCGAGUAGUGACAACAAUCUUACUUCCCUGUGCGCCAGCUUGAAAUGGAAGGCUGAGGCGAGCCCAAUCAGUGUAAUUCUCAUUCCAAACGUCAUCUAAAACAAGCAAAAAUUUCUUUCGAGACAACUGCUUCUUUAGCUCCUCUUGAAGAAAAUUUAAAUCAUUAUUAUCAACAGUCUGCUUAGUAAUGGAGCUUAGAAUUGUUCUUGUUAGCCCCUUAACGUCGAAAUCCUCAGAGACACAAGUCCAUGCCUUGAGAUCAAAGUGAUCCUGCACUCGCUUAUCAUUGUAGACAAGCUGAGCAAGAGUGGUUUUACCCAGCCCGCCCAUACCUAUAAUAGGAAUAACUGCGAAUCCACCAUCAUUUCUUGAAUCAUCCUUCAACAACAAUUCAACAAUUUCCUUCUUUUCUGUUUCCCUGCCAUAAACUUUGGCCUCCACCAAAGAAGUUGUAUCUCGCCUUUGCCUGGCUUUUUUGGACCCCCCAGCUGAACUUUUUAUCAAAUUCAGCGGGCCUAUUCCUUCUUCAAUAUCUUGAAAUCUGUCGUUGAUCUUUUUGAUUUUGGACAUCAUGGCGUAAUCGAACUGAAUCGACCGUGGAGUUAAAGUGGUGCAGCAAGUAGGAAUGAGCUUCCGAAACUUACUCUUCGUGCUUGUACGACUGCUGCUGGCUUGAUCAUGAGCAGCAGCUGGUUCUCCAUUUCCAAGCAGCAACUUCCUCCGGAAAGCCUCAGUUUGGAACUCAUCCAACAAGUCUUCAACGUCAUAAACCAAGUUCUGAAGCUCGCCAAGCCACAACUUCACAGCAUCAUUAGUCGUCUUCUUCUCCUCAGCAUCAUCAAGCACCGCCUUGAUCGUCACCAACUUAUUCUUCCACUUCACUAGAUCUGCUUGGAUUCGACCUUGGCGUGCAAACAACCGAAUCCCCUCUGAAGCUAAUUUAUUGAUCAGCAUCUCAACGGACGCCGUAAGGAUUGCCUCUCCGAUGAUCGACAUUUUUUCUUUUUUCUUUUUUUGGGUUUUUUUGGACAGAGAAAGAAACUGAAUUAUGAGUUUGUGGAAAGCAAAAUGAGAAAAGUGAAUAAGCGGAAUGUGUUUGUGAUUGUGUCUAGCAAGCCUAGAAAUCAAGAAAAACCCACUGUAAAAGUGAAAAGUAAAACGGAUCCCACCACAAAUAUAAAAUCAGAGGAGCACAGAAAUUAUAAAAAAAAAAAUCAAACAUGUAAUGAUUUGUAAAGUUAUUAGCGAUUUGUAAAAAUCAAACACGCGUCUUCUUCCUCUGAUUGUAUUUUUUAUUUUUUCUUUUUCAAAAGAGAUGGUGGGGUUGGGUUGUUUGCAAAGUUAAUUGCGUGGGUCUAUUUGUUUUUUUUUUUAACUUUAUUAAUUAAUUAGUGAAGCAUGUAAUGAUUUGUAAAGAUCACGGGCAUCAAAUUAUUGAGAGGUAUUGCGCUUAGUAUUCACAAUUUCUUGUAAGAUGAAUUUGUAAGACUUAUUAAUUUUGAUGAAAAUAUAUCGUUAUUAAGUUAUUAUUUAAUUCAUUAAGUUAACUUGAGGUAUUAAUAUUCAUUAAUUGUGGUGCACUGGUGCUGGUGAAUUUACUUAAUUUGUCAUUAUUUAUAAUUAAAGAAUGAGGUUCAAUCAAUUUAUUGGAGAAAAUUUGAUUUUAAUUCUUAGGAUUUGAUUUCACUCUCUUUUAUUUUUUGACGUUGCUAAAGAUGCAGUAACAAACUUGCUAAAUGUCAUCAAAUGCUUGUAUCUUAUCUCACAAAUUGGCAAUAUUUGUUUGGUAUUUCAUCUCAACGGGACGCCGUAAGGAUUGCCUCUCCGAUGAUUGACAUUUUUUUUUUCUUUUUUCCAGCACAGAAAGAAACAGAAUUUUGAGUUUUAAAGCAAAAUCAGAAAAUUGAGCAAAAUGCAGGUAGCAAGUCUUCCGCUUGUUUAUUCCAGUAAAGUGAAAAUAAAAACAGAGCCCACCACCCAUUGAUAAUUGGAAAAUGAUAAACGAACGAAAGCGCAACGAAGGGACGACAGAAAACGCGUUUCCUCAUCCAAUUUUAUUCUUACCGAUAAUAAAUAAUAAAAUAUUUUUUUAUGGGACCGACAACAAAUAGUAAAAUAAAGAACCAAAAAAAAAAGAUAGUGUGAACGAACGGAAGCACAACGAAGGAACGACAGAAAACGCGUUCGCGCAUCAAAAUUUUCUUUUAUGGGACCGAUAAUAAAUAAUAAAAUAUUUUUUUGUGGGACCGAUUAUAAUAGUAAAAUAAAGAAUAAAAAAUGAAAAAAAGGAUAGUGUGCAAUUUUUCUUUUAAUAAUUUGGCAAUUCACCAAUCACCAGUCACCACCACUUGUUACCAGAUUCAAUGAACGUAAAAUCGCACCUCGACAUUUGUAGGGUCAAGCAACAUUAAUCCAGUUGUCCGGGUAAAUGCUGAAUAAAGUGGAAACUGGGAUGUAUCUACUACGAACCUUCCCUUUACAAAUCUUCAAACUGAUAAGCCAGAGGCAGCCCCCACCACCAUCAAUAAUUCAGCAAGUUUCACAUGCUUGUGCUUGUCUGCUUGACGAACCGGAAAUGGGUGGACCAGGCACCAUUGAAUAAUUGGAAAAAAAAUGAAAAAUAAAAAUCCGUGUCCAGCAAAAAGAAUGCAUCUUCAUGUGUUGCUUCCUAUUCAGUACCUCUAGUCAUCUACCUAGCAUUUAAAAAAAUGGAAGUAGUAAUUAAAUCUGACUUUUUUAGAUAUGGCUCAUAUAUAUUACAAGUAUCAAGAUUUAAUUAGAGUACACGUAUUUACAAUGCGUCUAGUUUUAAUUGAGAGAUAAACUAAUCAUUAAUAAUCAGGUUUUUCUAAAUGAUUGAAUAAUGAUAUUAAUUAUUGAUAUUUAUAAAAUUUCUAAGAAGUGAUAACUAAUACGUUGGGGAUAUGUAUUUGUGCGGAAUGGUAAAUAUAAAGAAUAGCAAUAAAAAUGGUGGAACUUUAAUAUGAUAAAAAAAGUAAACUGUAGAAAAUUAAUAUGUAAUUUAAGGCACGUUAUAAAUAUCACUUUUCUUAAGACAUUAUUUACCCCUACCAAUUGAGUGAUGCACAUGAGUUAAACAAAUAUACCUCUAGGAUAUAAUGAAAUGCUUCUUUAUUUGCUUGCGUUGUGCAUCGAAGAAAGUAAACCUGAAUACUCUUGAAUGUUGCAAGCCUGCUAGGAAUCAAUAUGUUGAUUCUGUUAAAAAAACAAUGUAUUGGAUAUUUGAUGCAUAAAAAAUAGAUGUUAUUUGAUGAAAUUCAUUUUAAGAAAUAGGGGUAAGAAAAGAGUAGUGCAUGAUUAUCUUAUUCAUAUCUAAAAUUCUAAAUAUAUGGAUUUAUUUAUUAUGGAGACAUAAUAGUAAUUGUAAAUUAAAAAUAAAUUUAUUAAUAAAAAUAAGGGUUAUAUAUCUUUUUUAAAAUGUUAAGAAGUUUAAUAUCCUUUUUUAGAUUAAAUUUUCUAUUUCAUAUUAAGCAAAACCCACGUCAAAAGUGAAAAGGAUAAACAGAGCCCACAAAACAGAGCGCAUUACAAAUAUAAAAUCGGAGGAGCUCAUGGUCAUGCCUUUUGCUUUACCUACUAAAUUAAAUAAAAGCCAAACCAAAAUCUUACCUUUGCUUAACAUGAUUAAUUAGGCACUGCAUCAGAGAGAACACGAAGGCAAUGAACCAUUUUGUUAAUCUUAAAUGUCAGGAGUAUAAUUAGCUUGGAAUAAAGUUGCAUUCUUCUCCUCUGACCGUCUCUUCAGGUUCAUUUCAAAAGUUUGAAGAGAGUUUCAAUUCUUCUACACUUUAGAUUUUCUAUUUUUUAAUUGUACAGAAAAUGGGACUAAUUUUCAAAUAUUUUCAAAUUCACUUAUUAACAAAAGCUGUACAAAAUGAUUUCCUUUUUAUUUUGAAAUAUUAUACGGAAUCAAAUAACAGUGAUUGAAAGAGUGUAAAGUGGUAAUUUUCUGAUCGUAUUUUCUCUCUUUUUUAAAAGGAGAUGGUGGGGUUUGGUUGUUUUGCAAAAUUAUUGGUGUGAGGGUCUAUUUGUUUUUGUUUUCACUUUAUUAAUUAAUUACGAAGCAAACAUGUAAUCAUUUGUAAAGGGGCAACUAGCAUCGGAUCAUGUAAGAUGAAUUACUUAUUAAUUUCGAUGAAAAUGGAGCAUUAUUAAGUUAUUAAUUCAUUAACUUGAGGUACUAAUAUUUACUAAUUGUGGUGAUUAAUUUAUUUAACUUUGUCAUAAUUUUCAAUUGAGAAUGAAGUUCAAUCAAUGUAUAAAAAGAUAAUUUUUUUAGAUUUUUAAUUCCUAUGAUUUAAUUUCUCUCUGUUUCGAUUAUUGACGUGUUAAAAGCUUGUAGAAUAUCAUGAAAUGCUUGUAUCUCACCUCACAAAUUGACAAAUAUUGGUUGGUUUCUCCAAAGGCUCCCUUGACGAAUUGAAAGUAAAAACAACCACCAUUGAAAAUUAAAUUUUAAAAAUCUUUUUUACUUGAAAUUUUUUAAAAGAAAAAUUAAGUAAAUUAGAUUACAGAUAUCAAUCUUAAUAUUUUGUUGAUGAAAAUUAAUUAAUUAAUCCCAGUACUUUCUUAAUUUUGUGUUGUGCACCGCAUUGGCCACUUCUGAUUGUGUUGCACAUUUGUUAAUUCAAAAAAAUAGAACUUUUGUAUUGAUCAAACUUAUUUUAUUAGUAUUAUUCAUCAUAUGGUUAAUGGCUUAGCCAAUGAAGGAGAAGGGGUCAGCCAAAACAAAUAAAGUACUUUCUCAUGCAUUAACCUUUAUUAAAAAGCUUUAUUAACUGUUGUAGUUAAAAUAAUUUUAAAACAAGUUAAAACAGUUCCAACUCAAAAUCAGUAGGCUGCAAUUGGGUUGUUACACAUAUUUCUAAAUUUCAGUCUAAUUUAAUUGUGUAUGGACAAACUAAGAAAUAAAGUUUCCACCACCGUACCAGUAUGUCGAUUUGCGAAUACAUUCAUUCAAAUAUUAAACGUUCAGAGAAGAAAGCAAACCGUGGCAGGAUAGCAAAACCUGCGAAUGGUCAUUCCCAACACGAACCCCUAUGGCUGUUUUCCUUUUAAUUUUCUUCUUUGAAUUCUCCUUUUAUUAAUAAUUAGAAAAACUCCCUUUUUUUUUAAAUCACGUGUUAUUAACAUUUACAUGGUUAAUGUCAUCGAAAUCAAAUGGUUUUUAUCUACGAAAAGAAAAUUGCUAGAAAUUUUGUUAGUCCCAUUGCAACAAUAUAUUGUUAUAAAUUGCAUUGUGUCCCAUAUAACAAAUAUAAUAAAAUCUCAAUAAAUUAAUAAUUUUGGGAACCAUAAAAAAAUUUAUUAAAAUUUAACAAAUAUCAAUUAAUCAGUAAAUUAAUAAAUUAUUAAUUUAUGAAAAUAUUCAUUAUUUUGGAAAAACAUGAUCACGUUUUUAAUAUUGAUUUACCUUGAGUUAAUAUCUAUUAUGUUUUAUUUGUCUAUUAGUUUUAUCUUGGGAAGAUUUUUCAAGAGUUAGCUGCUUUAUAUUAAGUUAUUAACAGUAAUAAAAUUAUUAGUUGAUACAGGCGAAUUUUCUGACCAAAAUCGUACAAAGAAGUUGAAAGUGUUUAUUUUUGUUAUUUCAAGACAUUCUAACAAACUAUAAGGGGUCACAAAAAGGUUGAUACCCCUACUUGUUCUUUUUUUCCUCAAGAGUCAAGCAAAAUACGACAUAAAAUGUGGCAAGUCUUCCCACUUGUUGUUCUUUGCAGCUAAGAAAAGAAAAACAGAUUCCGCAAUGGAGUCCCCUUAAGUGGCUUGACUGGGUUUGCUCCCCAGUUCGAGUCGCAAGGAAGUCGCCUUUGUUGGGAGAACCUGUGUCCCCCAGUUCGAGCGGGGACUUCUAGUCUAGGUUAUGGUACGGGUUUAAAAGUGCCUCACACAGUUGGGACCUCCCCAGGAUACCUCGUGGUUAAAAAAAAAAAACAAGAAAAACAGAGCCCGCCACCCAUUAAUAAUUUAGCAAUUCACCAAUCACCACAAAAUUCCAUUAGAUAUUCGUCGAUCAAGUAGUUAAUCCAGUGUCUGUUACGUAGAGCCUUCACUUUACAAAUCUUCAACUCAUAAACCAAGUUAAAUCAAGACGUUUCUCUGUAUAUAUAUAUAUAUAUAUUAACUCCUAAAACGUUUCUUUUUAGGAAUAUUUUACUUUAUUCAUCUAAUAUGUUAUCUAACAAAUAGACACAGAUGAAAUCACUCUAAAGUGAAGAUGAAAAGGGAGAAAAAAACAUUCCAACCACCAAUAAUUUAGCAAGCUUCACUUUUAUUCCACCAAAGUGUAAAUAAAGCCAGCCCCCACCACCAUCAAUAAUUUAGCAAGCUUCACACGCUUGUUGUCUUCUCCUUGACGAACUGGACGGGGUGGACCAAGAAUCAAUGAAUGAAUUUUAAAAAUAAUAAUAAAAGAAAAACAUAAACAUUUUGGACUCAGAGUAGAACCGUAAUUAAUGCUAAAAUUUAUUCCGCUAACGUUUUCAAAAUAUUGUUCUUUAUAAUUGUACAGCAAAUAAGACUAAGUUUUGGACAUUUUCAUAUUCACUUACUUUCAAAAGCAGUAUUUCGAAACAUUUUACAGAAUCAAGUAACAGUUAUAUAACGAGAAAAGUGCAAAGUUGUGUAAUUCUAAUGUUUUUUUUUUAUCACAGACACUCAGAUAAUUUUUUAUUUGGGUCGCCAACUCGCCAAUGAACCCAUGAUUGAAUGAGUGUUUAGAAAGAAAAUCAAUAAAAAACAGUUUAUUUUUUGUCGUCGAAAUAUAGUAAGUGAGAAAGAUUAUUCUGUUUUUUUGUUAAUUAGGCUAGUAUUUAUGAUUGAGUGACUCAGAACUAUAUUUUAGAUUGAGAAUCAAUGGUUCUCCCACACUGAGAGGCUGUAAGUUUAAGAUUGUCGUUUGCUAUUUCAUCGACAAGAGAGCACUCGAUUUUAUUAAAUGGAGAAAGUCUUCCUUUUUACUUGAAAAUUUAAUAUACAAAAACUUACUAAUAAAUGACAUAUUAUACAUAAAUUAUUAAUUCAUUUGAUAGUUGAUUAUCGAAUGACAUGUGACCCAUGGGAGCAUGCAGUCUAUAAAAUAAUUCUUCUUUUUUUUUUAAACAAAAAAUCGGUGAUGUUGAAAAGCAUUUCUGUAUAUUAUUAUUACUCUAAUUGGGGUGAACAUUUCAUAAAAAGAAUGCCGUAUGAAACUAAAUUAUUAAUUCAUUUGAUAGUUGGUUAUCGAAUGACAUGUGACCCACAACAAGACAAACUUAAAGCAACGCAGAGGUUUUCCUUCGAAAUACAUAAACAGUUCGAAUAUGAAAUUUCAAUAUCACAAUAAUAUUGAUCAUGAUUCAAUUUCUUUUUCUUGUUUCUUUUUUUGAUUUCCAAUCUUUACCAAAAGAAAAAAUUUAUUGAUCCCUUUUAUCAACUUGCUUUUAUUGACUUUCUUCCAAUAAUAGAAGUGAAAAAGAGAAACCAAUAAUUUAGUACAUGUAUAUAUAGAUAUACACAUGCACAUGCAGCACAUCUAUCUAAAAUUUAAAAAAACUGAAUUAGAAACCUUCUUGAAUAAAUGAAUAGGAAUAGAAAUACUCUCUAAUAAUACUUCCUAAAAUAAUUAACCCUAAAUAAUUUGUCCUGCAUCAUCGAACUCCAGAUCUUAUAAAGUAUAACAGACAAAUUUGAGUUUUUUUUUAAUUAAAAAAAGGAUUGGAAAAAUAAACAAAUAAUGAAGACAGAAGUUAAGCAGACAGAGGAAAAUGAAUUACAUACUGUCCUUGAGAACUCAAUUCUUUAAUAAACUCAAAUUUUUAAAUGUAUAUUUUUUUUUUGGGUAAACUCAUGUCAUAUACUAUAGUCUUUAAUUCGGGCUUUGUUGUAUCAAUUUUUUGGUGGUUAUCUUGUUUUAUUUAUUUUUUAUGCAAUAUUUUUGGUAGAAAUACAUCAGGAAUAAAAGUGAAAUCUCAAUUUUAAAAUUUAGGGGAAACGAAAUACGAUAUAUUUUUUUUAUGAAUAAAAAAAAUUAAUUUUUUUUAAUUCUACCAGGAAAAACUAUUAAUUUAUCAACCCAUCAAGUUAUUGGUUUCAUUUUACAACUGACAGUCGGUUUCUUAGUUUCAUUCCUUAAUUAUCUUUUAAAAGAUAUUACAAUGCUCUGGCCAUUUGGUAAUUACAAAUUAGAAAAGUCAAAUAUUUCUGGCCAAAGACACUAGUGGAAGAGAUUUUGAUUCAUUUUUGUGUACACGCACAACACAAUUAUUUAAACGUCAAAUAAUUGUGAAAUAUAAAUGACAGUUUAUUUAAACGUCAAAUAAUUGUGACGUUUUAUCAAAUAAGUGACAAAUAUAUUACAUAUUUAUUGAAUCAUUAUCAUUUACCUUUUCCUUUUAUUGACUAAGAAAAAAAAAACAAAAAACUUGCUAUACCGCUUCUGUUUUCGUUCUUGGAACAGAUUAGUUUCUUUUGAGAAAAGUCAAACUCAUUCCCAUUACUUUCUUUUCAAUAAUCACCUCUCAGUUUUACAUCAGUCACUCAAUUUCGAAUUUCAUCUCCAUUCUCUUUCAAAGAAGAACACACGAAGAAUUUUAGCUUGCUUUACCUGCUUCUCAAAUUUCAGGUAUUGUUUCCUUUAAUUUUGAUUUUUUUUUUUUACCUCUCUGUUUCUAGUUUGAUAAUUUAGGGUUAUACUUGAAUUAAUUGUAUUUUUAAUCAUCCUAGGUUGAUUUAAUUGAUUCCAAGUCUCAAUUUCCUGUUCAACAAACAAGGAACGCACGAGUAAUUUUCAUUUUCAUUCUCAAUUUUGAAAGAAUCAAUUUAUUUUAUGUGUUCAAUUUUUGUUUAUUUAACUUAGGAUAUCUUUUUCAUUCUUUUCUUCAAGCAGAUUAUAGCGUUGCUCCUCCCAUUGAUCAUAUUGAGAACAGUGCUUUCUCCUUAAUUCCGCCAAGAACAACUUUGAUUUCAGGUGAUAAUUGAAUGUGUAAUAUUUUCAAUUGAAAUUAAUUGAGUCUCGUAAUAAUAAUAGUGAUUUGAGAUUUACAUCCUGUUGAAAUGAUUUUAGAGUGUUCUGCUAUUUGAAUGCGCAUUAAUUGUUUGAUUAAAUGUCUCUUUAAAAGAUUAUUUUUGUUUUUUAGCAAACAUCUUACUGAGAUGCCUCUCGUAAUAGUAUUUACCGUAAUGCACUUUGCUUCAAUUUGGUCAGUUUACACAUUUUAACAAGGGAAAAUUACAGAACUGCAACAGUUUUCAAAUUGAUUGCAGAUUAGAAGCAACAUGUGGCAUUCAACAUUCCUGCAAUGCCAUUUCUUGUUAUGGCAGCGGCAUUCUUGGUCAUGGCAUCACAAGCAAAUGCUUUGACUUGAAGACUUGCUUGGCUAUGAAAAAUAAGGAGAGCAAAGGUAAUUAAUCUUGGUGUGAUCAAUAUUUUUAUGGGGGUACUAAGAAAAAUAAAGAUAAUAUAAGGAAUGUUGUUGAGGAGUAUUUUGAUAUUUACAAAAGUGUUUAAAGUAAAAAUUGAUUUCUUAAAACUCAUUAGCUAGGGCACAUAAUAAUGGGGAGUAAAUUUUAGACUACGAAUAAUCCCACCCAUUUAAUAAUAUUCUUCAAUCAAUUAUGUUUACUUCAAAAAAAAAAAAAAACCCAUCUCUUUAUUACUUUCUAACUAUUCAUAUUAAUGUGUUAAUAAUUAUGAAGAACCGGUGUAAUUUAUAUGAUGUAGGAAGCACUUUAGGCAAAAUCAUCUGAAUCUCAAAAUUUCGUGAUAUUGUGCCAAAUAUCCAAAACAGAGCUUCCUACAUUGCUAUAGCAGUUUUUAAAAGUUGAGGACUCCAAAUAUCCAAUAACUGAUAAAUUGUGUAAAGAAAUAUAAAUAUUAAUGGUGAUGACACAUAUGCAUGGAAUUCCUCUGUUUUGAGUUUGACUAAAACAACCUGAAUAAUUUCAAACAAUCCAUCAGCCCAAAGUCCUUGAGAGAUCGAACUGGAUUUCAGUGCAUCACAUUCUGAAAUUGAAACUAACAUUAAUUAGAAAGGCAGAACAACCUCUGUUUUUUACUAUAAUACAAAAGGGGAAGUCAAACCAAUUCAAGGAACUCUCCUAUUUUUGACUGAAACAUACAUAAUCCGAACAAUUUACAAUUAAAUAAAUCGUUCAAAAUCUCGAACCCCCAUUUCCAUGGUUUAAUAGAAUAUCAUAAAGGUGCCCAAUACAGUGAAAUUAACGUUCAGCUCAUGAAGUUGCCGUUAUAUAUAUUGAAAAAGAAAUCAAUAAAAGAAACUGAAAACCAAUUGACACUGGAUCACGUAAGAUUGUUCGUUGUUAACUAUGAUGGGAAUAUAUACUUGGUCUAUUACUUAUCAUCUAGCUAAUGCAUGUGCACUUUCAUUUGUGUCUAUCACUGAAGAGUAGAGUUACUUGAUUGAAUAGUAUCAUAUCACAUAAACUCAAAACUUAAUUUCAUGGAAAAUGCUUGGUGUAGAGAAGCACAAGAGAAAGAUGAGAGAAACAAUGAAGAAAUGGGUAGAGAGAGAGUGAGUGGGUAGAGAGAGAGAGAGCAAAAUUCUCUCGUCUUUCUCUCAUGCUUCUCUCUCUCUAGCACUACUCUAAUUUCAUUGCGCGAGCAUACCAGGCCAUAUGUAGCUCAAAAGUGCAAUAACAUUGAACAUUCAGCUAGCUAGCUUAUACUAAUUAAUUAAUACGACUACUAGUUCUUUAUGAUUAAUUAAAAGAGAAAAUAUUUGACAAUCACGAAACAUUGUACCAUCACUGAAGAGUAGAGCUUCCUACAUUGUUACCCAAGCUCUUUUAUAUCUCCCAAACAUUAUUAGAGUCCCACAUUUGUGGCACAUCAUUAAGUAAAAUGUGCCGAUUAGGAAGAACUAGCUUCUUUUUUCUGAUUUCUUGAAUGUGUUGCAACUUUUAAGUAUCACUCAAAAUUUUACACCAUCAACACAUGAAAAUUAUACAUAUUCUGUCAGCACUUGCAUAUGUUGCAAGUGCUGACAGAACUUUUCAUUUGAUUUGAUAAUUGGCUAAGGGUGAUUUCAAUAACAUUUCCAAAGAAGAUAUAGAACAUAGAUCAAAAAGAAAAAUAAGUAAUUUGAUCAGUCGAUGCAAAAAAUGAGCGAGCUUCGUAGUCUGACUAACAAGACAUGGCUUGGAGCAAGGAUCAAUGGACAAGUUUGAGGUUUAUGAAAUAUUGGGAUAAGAGAAAUAAUAAAGCCACUACAAGUUAAGCAGAUCAAAUAAACAGAACAGAGGAAAUAAGUGAUCAAUUUAUUACUUUGUGCAAUGGCCACAGACAGCGAAAAUAUGUCUACAUGACAACAUUAUCCGACUGGCAUGGUACUAUCACCGUGCAGCAUUACACUAACAUUUCCUUAUCAAUCAAUUUUGAUGGUAUGAUAUUAAAAACAUUGAUUUCAUAAUUUUAUGUAAUUCAUAGAAAAGAUAUAAUUGAUUUGAGUUAGCUUAACAUAUACGGAAAGAGUAAUGGGGAAUGAUGUCGAUGUGGCAUGUGAUGAGUAAAGAUAGACAACAAAUAUUGAUCGUGUCAUAAUGAAAUAUGUAUUUAUUGAAAAUAAAUUGACAAUUAAAAUUAAUAGAUAUAUAUCCAAUGCAUCGAGUUUAUUUUAUCACUUCGCUAACCAUUUUGUAACUACAUGUUAAUUAGAAGUUCAAUUAAUUUUGACCAAAGACUCUAGAGAAUAUCGAAAAGAGAUUUGAUUUUUGUCUUAAAAAAAAUUAGAAAUGAAAUAAGUCAAAAUCAAUCACAAAAACAACAAUAAGAGCAUAUUUUAUAAAACCACAAAUGCAUAAUAUAAAUUUAGUUUCGAAUUAGAUAAUUAUUAAUUUGUAUAGCAAAAGAGUCUUAUAGAAAAAUAAGAAUUUUUUUAAAGGAGAUUUGCUUAAGGAACAACUUUAGUUUGGUUUAAUUUGUGAAGACUCAACUAAUUGAAAGCAACGCAAUUGAAGGAAAUACAAGCUUUUGAUUUUGACAAAGUAAUCACUAAAAUAUUUGACAAGUUUGAGAUGUUAAAAAAGCUGGAAAAAUAGACAAAUAAUGAAGAUCCUACAAGCUGGCAGAGCAAAUAAACAGAGGAAAACAAAGCAAAUAUUUACUGUUAUACAUAUAUUUUUUUUUAUUUUUUUCCAAAAAAGAAUGUUGCGAUAUUUUUUCCCAAAAAGAAGCACAGUUUGCUAUUACUACCAUAGAACUUUAGCUACCAUUUAUAAGCACGUGUCUAAUUACCAAAUGAAUUCCACUAUAACAAAGAAUAAAAGCUAAUUUCAUUGAUGGCAUAUGUUGUGCUUUCUUUUAUUUUAUUUUUCUCCUUUUAGUUAUUGAAGUUACUUUGCAAACUGCUCCAAGCUAAAUACAAAACUUACUCUUACACUAGGAUCUUUGCAAUGGUCCAGCAAUUUGUAUUCCUUUCGGUGAGAUUGGUUUUUUUCUUUAAAUAAAAUUUCAGGGAUGAGAAAUCUUAUCCAUUGAACAUCAACUUUGAAUUUUAUUAAUAUUCAAACUUAGAAAGUACUGCAGGAACAAAGUGCAUUCAUAGCCGGUUACACUAUGUCUAGCUACAAUGCAAGUUUCACUUAAUUAAAUAUACAAAAUUAAAUCACACGAGCCUCUCGUUUCUGUUGAAAAUUGAUUAAAAAAAAGUUGAAAAGUCAAAUUCAAAGACAUCAUUUGAAUUCAAAUGGGAGGUGGCCGAGAACUUUGAAAAGUAAUUGGAAGUGGCCAAAACUAUUUUGAAUGUUGAAUGGUGGCUAUUGAAUGUUGAAAAAAUAGAUUGAUUUUAGGCAAAAUUUUGCCUAUAAAAGGAAGCUCUCAUUUGAGAGCUUGGCAUCCCAAAUCCCAGAGAAGCGAUCCAAGUUUUGGUGAGAAAUUGAGAGAGAGAAAUGUUCUUAAGCAUGUAGUUAUAUUGUAGGAGUAUUUGACUCCUCAAUAUAGGUGUUACGGGUUUGCUUUGUUAAAGGAUAUUUCUCAGGAUUAUGUAUUUGGGGAUUGGGUGAGAGAAAAUUAUUUCUCAGAGUGUGGUUGUAAUAAUUUUCCACAUAGUGAAUAUUUUUUCUCUGGUUGGCUUUUGACAACGGCCGUGGUUUUUCUCCAGAUUUGGAGUUUUCCACGUAAAUCUACUGUUGUGUGAUUGGUGUAUUCUCCAUUUAAUUUUUUCUGUUAAUUUGUUGCUUGACAAAUUGCUUAGAGUGAUCUUGGGAGGAAGCUCAAUUUCCUAACAGUUUCAUUAUACUUCAACUUAAAAUUAAAACGAAGAAUUGACAGUAUUGGAGUUUCAUAUUUAAUUUUGCUGCAGUUAUGGGGAAUCAGAUGGCCAUCCAUUUUGACGUCUAUUUUAUGGCCAUCCCCACUAAGUAGCUUGGUCAUAUACAAUAUGUGUGUGCGUGUGUGUGUGUGUGUAUUGGGAUGUCACAGGCGCUAAAAGAUAAAGCUGAACAUCAAUCCCAAAUCUAAAGUGAAAAACAGUAGCUAGAACAGAAUCUUUGUUUCGAUGUCUUAGUUUAUAAGCUGGAACAAUUGAUAGUAUACAAGAUGCAUGAUAGAACAGAGAACUCAUAUUUUAGCAAUAAUCCUCAGCUCACCGCCCCUUAGUUCAGAGUGGCAGUUCUUAUAACAAAUAAUUGAAGACUUGCUUGGCUAUUGAACCACACGAAGGCAAUUCGUGAACAGCCUUGAUAUUUCAUUUGGUUUUAUAUAAUUCUCUGUAAAGUUGUCUUGUGUGUAAAAUUUUUGUUAAAUGAAAUCGGUAGGUGAAGAGAAUUUUUAAAAGCAAACAUCAAAGUAACGAUCAAAUGGAUGAAAUCGGUAUAAAUAUUGAUUGUCUCAAGUUAGAUUAUACAAAGAUGAAAUAAUGCUAAUCUAGAAAAUCCAAUCAUUAUAAUUUGAUUUCCAUUAUAUUAAUUAUGUUCAAUCAGGCUAUUUUAAUGAAGAACACUCGAGCAUUUAUAUACAUUCAGCUUAUGAAAUUAAUUACAAAACGAUCUUUGACCAAGUCUGAUGAAAAGAUCAUCUUGCAAGUACAAAGUUAGACUUCCCGAUCAUGCAACUAUGCAUCAAAUUGUGUAUUGUGUUAUCAUUGAGCUCUUAGGAAGAUUCAGCUGCUGAGGAGAAACUAUCCAUCAAAUUGUGUAUUGUGUUAUCGUUGAGCUCUUAGGAAGAUUCAGCUGCUGAGGAGAAGAUAUAAUCUGUUUUUAUGUGACAAGCUAUGUACUCUGCUUUUAUGGUGUUUCUAGUUGUUGGACAAACUGUAAUAUGAAUUUCUAUCUAAGGGGUAUUUGUAGUUGGUUUUGGAUUGUUGAUUUACAAAUGAUGUUUGGUAUCCAAAAUUCAGAUGAUGAUAAUCUUGGCAGUACUUUUGUCAAAUUUUCUUUUAUGUUGGUGUUGUUUUAAUUAAAUAUCACAAAGGUGCAAAAUACGGUAAAAAUAACAUUGAGCUCAUGAGAUUGCCAUUAGAUAUAUUGAAAUAGAAAUUGAUACAAGGAACUGAAAAUUAGUUGUUAAUUAUGAUGGGAAUAUAAUCUUGGUAUUUUAAUUAUAUCUAUCUAACGCAUGUGCACUAAUCUCAUUUGUGUCUAUCACUGAAAAGCAGAGUGGCUCGAUUGAAUAGUAUCAUAUUACAUCACAGCAAUCACAGAAACUCACUCAACAUUCAACUAAUUUAUACUAAUUAAUUAAUACGACUAACAGGAAAAGUUGGAUCUCGUCUUUUCUUGGACAUAUCCAGUGACUUUGAGCUCUCCAGCCUCCCAGGUUCCGAAUGGGGUCCUAAAAUAUCUUGCCGGAAAUGUUCUUCCUUCAGAUUCGGUGGUUAUACGUGGCCUUGCUAAAAAUCAGGUGAUUGUUUUUCAUUAUUGCGGCUACUUGACUCAAUUAUGUUAUUGCAAGAGGAGAUUUCUAUUUGUCUGGUUUAAGCCAUAAGAUGGGUUUCAAGAUUCAUUCUGAUUGGUUAUCUGUUAGCUUUUUGUUUUAAGAACUUCUUAUUUACGAAAGCCGAAUUCUUCUUUCUAGGUUUAUUCAUAUUCAGAAGUUGCUUUUGUCAUAUCAGAAGAAUAGGCUACGACUGUUGAAGUACUAGAAGGGAACUUAACAAUGCCAUUUAUUUUUUUCCUCGUGUGACCUCUUCACAAUGCCAUUGAUUCCCAUAGUUCAUGUUGCUAGGUGAACUUAACAACAACCAUCUAUUAUGCCUUGUGGAUAACUGAGAAAAUUUAUUGCUUUUGACAAAUUGCUUUUUGAAAUAGAGUGCAAGUAGAUUGACCAAUAAUGAACUUAUUGUAUCAAGUUGUUACAUUUGAACAUAUUAAGGUCAUAUAAAUCAUACUUGUUAUACUUCUUUUUUUCUUUUUUUCCCUCCCCAUUUCCCUGUCUGGAGGGUUUCGUGGACGAUCAGUUUGGCUUCGGUCUAAUUGCUGGAGCAGUUAAGGAAUUACUGUUAUCAAAAUAAAGUUUCCUCUCACUCACUAGCCAGUUAAGCAGCUCGUCACCAGUCGGAUUCAUUGCCGAUUGUAGCCCAUCUCCAUUGCUCAUCACUGUUCGGAUUCGUCAGUUCUGUCAUGUCAGUUCAGUAGCUUGUCGCCGCAGUCAUGGUCGGCCUCUUUGUUGUCAUCGAAGAACCAAUCAAUAAUGAUAACGAUGAUGUUUUAUGACAAUAAUGAUGAUGAUUGAUGAUGAUGAUGAUUAUUACCAUUGUUGAUGAUUAAUAUUAUCGAUGAUGAUGAUGUAGAUGAUGUAAUUGCGGUGAGAUGAUGAAGAUGAAACUGAAUUGUGAUGUUGAUAAUGAAAUUGACAGAAGGAAGAAGAAGAUAAUUGUGGUGAUGAUGAUGAUGAUGUUGAUGGAGAAGAUGAAAUUGACAUGAUUGAUGAUGAAGUAACGAAGAAUUUGUAAAACAGAGAGAGAGAGAGAGAAAGGAGAAGAGGAUAAAAAAAAAAGAAAGAAAAACAGGAGAGAAAAUAAUAAUAAAAACAAGAGGAAAAUAAUUAUUAUUGUUAUUAUUAUUAUUAACAAUAACUUUCUUAAUAACCAUAAUCAUAUAAUAGAUAAUAAAUAUAGUGGUAAUAAUGAAUUUAAGGGUAUUUUAAUAAUUUAAAUAAUUCAUUGUAAUUUUAAGGUAAAGUAAAUACAUUAAUGAUAAUACAAUUUAUUUUAAUUUUGAUUCUUAUAGUUGAAGUAAAUAAUUUAUUUUAAUUUUUUUAUUUCACAUUUCAAUUUUAGUCCAUUCCGAAUUAGUAAACGUAUCAUAAAAUCAUGUGAUUCUACUCCUUUAAAUGUGAGAUUGAUUUUUUUCUUUAAGGCCUACGACAUCCCAAUACGUCUAUAUAUGACCAAGCUACUAAGUGAACGGCCAUAAAAAAGGCAUAAAAUUGGAUAGCCGUCUAAUUAAUUCCCCAUGACCUACAACAAAAAUUUAAGAAGGAACUCUGAUACCAUCAAUUAUGCAUUUUAAUUUGAAGUUGGAAAAUAGUGAAAACAGAAGGUUCGGGUGAUUUAUACAUAUUUAAUCAAGUAAAAAUGGCACCUGUUGUAAUUUGCACAUUUAUCUUUACUUUGAAUAAUAACAAAGUUCAAAUUUUGUAUUCAGUGAAAAAUCAAAUCUAAAGUGAAAAACACUAGCUAGAAAAAAAUCUAUGUUCUGAUGUCUUAGUUCAUAAGCUCAAACAAUGAACAGUUUACAUACAACGCAUGAUAGAACACAAAACUCAUGUAGAUUUUCAGUUUCGAAAUUCAUUUCAGAAAAUCUGUUCUGUUCAACAGGUUAAAGUAGAUUAUCAACUAAACUCUACCCACAUACUUGCGUACAAUUAGAGCACUAUGUCAACAAAGGAGCACAUCUUUCGGAAGAUAAUUGAAGACUUGUUUGGCAAUUUGAAGAUUACAUCUUUGCUCUGCCAUUGGAAGCAAGCAACUCAGCCACCCAAAGACCGCCAAGCCAUCAAGACAACACCAAGAUACAACAUCAAUAAUAAUAACAUCAAGAAUUACAUAGAGGCCGUCGCACGUUACACCCACCCCAACAAGAAACUAAUUAAUACCGUCUUAGCUCCUCUGUAAUUGUCCUCCAUCCUUUUGAGUACCUUUCUUCUACCAAGGGACAACCCGAGAUCUCUAAUCACAAAAGAGAGGGAGGCAGGGCCUUUUCUGGAAAGUAUUUGAGCUUCAGACAAUUACAGAGUUUCAAUUUGCUGAGGUUUUGAUGAUCAGCAAUUGAAGAAGACAGGCGUUAAUAAUUAUGAAGAACCGGUGUAAUUUAUAUCAUGUAGGAAGUCCUUCAGUUACUUCUUUGACCUUGCCCAAGCUCUUUUAAGGGCUAAUAUCAAAAUUUCGUGAUAUUGUGCCGAAAGAGCUUCAUACCUCAUUGUAACUGUUUCUAAAAGUUGAUGAGCCCAAAUAUCCAAUAAGUGAUACAGACGCAUGGAAAUCCCCCGUUUUGAGUUUAUGCUUGUUCUUGUCUGCUUGACAAAUAGGACAUCGGUGGACUAAGCAUCAUUGGAUAACUUGGGGGAAAAAUAGUGUCCAGCAAAAAGAAUCCAUCGUUAUGUGCCGCUUCCUAUUUAAUUACAUUUAUCUAACAUUUAAAAGAUGGAGGUAGAAAUUAAAACUCAGUUUUUCAGAUAUGGCUUAUAUACAUUAAUGCAAGUAUCAAGAUUUAAUUAGAGUUCACAUAUAUACAUGCGUCUAGUUCUUAUUGAGAGAUAAACCAAUCAUAAAUACUCAGUUGCUUCUAAAUGAUUGAAUAAUGAUAUUAUUGUUAUUUAUAAAUUUAUAAGGAUAAAUAACUAAUAGUCCAUCAUAAAUACCGAAAAGGGUCCCCAGCAUAACUUGAACAACUUUACUUGUGUUUGCUCAUUGAAUAAUGUUAUCAAAAAGAAAUACAUAUGUCAGAAGAUUCAUAGUAUAUUGGAGUGUUUUUUGUACUUGAAUGAGAAUGAAUGAAGGUAUGUUAAUUAUAUUUAAAUAAUUGUCUAAAAGGAAUAGAAAUGCUCUAUAACAUAUCAAAUACUACCUUAAUCAAAAUUUAGUUGACAAAAUUUUUUUAAAAAUGGAAUAAAACCCUAAUUAAAUAAUUGUCUUACAUCACCAAACUCUUUUUUUUUUUUUAAUUUUAAGGCAUCACCACACUCUGUAAAGCAUAAAAUAUAAUAGGCAAAUUUGAGUUAAAAAAAAAUGAAGUUAGGAAAAUGACUUGCAUACUGUCUUUGAUGAGCGCAUAAUUUUCUUGAAAAAAAAAGGAUUUUUGUGUGUUUUUUUUUUUUUGUAAAUUUAUGUCGUUUACUAGUCUUUUGGGUUUUGUUGUAUCAAUUCUUUGGAACGUGUUUAUCUUGCUUUUGUAUAUGUUAGGAAACGGAGUGAAAUCCCAAUCUUAAAAUAUGGAAAAAUGAUUUUUCAUGAAUAAAAUGAUUUAAUUUAUUUUUAUUUCUACAACAAAAAUUAUUAAGUUAUCAACAUAUUGAUUUCAUCUGUAAGUUCCAGUCAGUCAGUUUCUUACGUUCCAUUGUUAUCUUUUAAAAGAUACUGCAAUGCUUUAAGUGUGUUUGAUCACUUCACUAAUCAUUUGAUAUUUACAAAUUGAAAAAAUAAAUUAUUUCUGACCAAAGGUACUAGAGAAUGUCGAAAAGAGUUUGAUUAAUUUUUGUAUACGCACACAACACAAAAUUAAAUUACAUGGCAAUGUUGAUAGUGAGUCGUUUUUGGGAAUCCAUAAGUUCACAUGUGCACAGACGUCUGUUGCCUGCCAGCCCUUUCCUUUUUUUAUAUCUUCAAAACAUUUAUUAGAGUCCCAAAUUUAUCACACAUCAUUAAGUAAAAUGUGCCAAUUAGUAAGAGCCAGCUUCUUUCCUCUGUUUUCUUGCGUAUGCUGCAUUCAAGUAUCACUGAAAAUUUUAAUUAUACCGUCAACAGCUGCAGGAAAAUUAUAUACAUUCUAUCAACACCUGCAUGCUGCAAUCCUCAAUGACUGCCAAAUCUUCAUACCAUGAAUAUCAAGUAACUUCCAACUCUUCAUAUAGUGAAUCAGCAGGAUUCACGUCCGACCAACUCCACAGGCACGGCUAAAGCGAAAGAUUAUUUUUUCAGAUAUUAUCAAGAAAUUAAUUUAAGUGAAAUAAGCUAAGAGUGAUUUCGAUAAGGUUUUCAGAGAAGAUAUAGAAAGAAGAUAAAAUAAAUAAAUAAGUAAUUUCAGUCGAUGCAAAAAAUGGGCAUGUGUCUGACUAACAGGACAUGGCUUGGAGCAAAUAUCAAUGGAGGAAAUAUCAGCUUAUAAUUUUAUAAAAUAAGCAUCAAAAUAUUCGACAAGUUUGAGGUUUAUGAAAUAUUGGGAAAAUAGACAAAUAACAAAGACGCUCACACUACAAGUUAAGCAGAUCAAAUAAACAGAACAAAGGAAAUAACUGAUCAAUUUAAUUCUUUGUGCAAUGGCCACGGCAACAGCGAAAAUAUGUCUACAUGACUUUAAUGCUACUGGCGCGGAUGGUACCAUCACCGUGAUGAUAUGAGAUUAAAAGCAUUGAUUUCAUAAUUUUAUAAAAUUUCAUAUAGAAGAUAUAAUUGAUUUGAGUUAGUUUAACAUAGAAAGAAAGAAUAAUAAGGAAUGAUAUCGAUGUGGCGUGUAAUGAGAAUUGAUAGAGACAAAUAUUGAUCAUGUAAUAAUGAAAAAUUUAGUUACUGAAAAAUAUUUGGCAAUAAAAUGAUGCUAUAAAAAUUUAACAUUGUUUACCAGAAAAUAGUUUGCAAUUAAAAGAGAUAUAUAUGCAAUGCUUUGAGUUUAUUUUAUCAUUUCACUAACCAUUUUGUAACUACAUAUUAAAUAGAAGUUGAAUUAAUUCUGAUCUAAGACUCUAGAGAAUGUAGAAAAAUGAUUUGAUUAUGUAUACAAACAAUAUUAGAGAUGAGAUAUCAGAUAUGUCAAAAUCAAUGACAAGAACAAUAAAAAGAACAUAUUCUACAAAAGUUUUAAUUCAUAUAAUAUAAAUUUAGUUUCAAAUUACAAAAUUAUGAAUUUGUAUAGUAAAAGAGUCCAAUAGAAAAAUAGAAUUUUUUUAAAAAGAGAUUUGCUUAGGGAACAACUUUAGCUUGCUUUGGUUUGUGAAGGCUCAAGUAAUUGAAAGCAACGCAAUUGAAGGAAAUACAAACUUCCGCUUUUGACAAAGUAAUCGCAAAAAUGCUAAAAAUGUUGGGACAAUAGACAAAUAAUGAAGACCCUACAGGUUUGUGGAGCAAAUAAAUAGAGUAAAAUAGAGCAAAUAUUUACCAUUAUACAUAUAUUUUUUAUUUUUUAUUUCAAAAACGAUUGUUGCGAUUUUUUUAAGACAAAAAUGAAGCACAGUCUCCUAUUACUACUAUAGCAUGUUAGCUAUUAUAUAAGCGCGAGUCUAAUUAUCAAAUAAAUUCCACUUUAACAAAGAACAAAAGCUAAUUUCAUUGAUACUGCCUGUUGUGCUUUCUUUUAUUUUAUUUUCUUUUUGUUAUUGGAGUUGCCUUGCAAACUACUCCAAGCUGAUUACAAAAUUUCCUCUUGCUUUAGGAUCUUUUGAAUGGUCCUGCUAUUUGUAUUCGUUUAUGUGGGACUGGUUUUUUCUUUAAACAAAAUUUCAGCGAUGAGAAACCUUACCCAUUGAAUACCAACUUUGAAUUUUAUUCUUAUUCAAACUUAGAAAACUGCAGAAACAAAGUGCCUUCAUAACACCAGUUAAACUGUGUCUAGCUACCAUGCUGGUUCUACUUUUACUUUAUUAAUUAUAUACAGCAUUAAAUCACCUGAGCCUCCAGUUUCUCUAGUUUCCAACUUGAAAUUAAAACGUAGAAUUGAUGGUAAUGGAGUUCCUUAUUUAAUUUUGCUGUAGGUCAUGGGCAAUUAGACGGCCAUCCAUUUUUAUGUCUAUUUUAUGUACUAUUGGCCACUAAGUAGCUUGGAUAUUUUAUACGUAGUUUGAAAUAAGUCAAAAUCAAUUACUAGAACAACAAUAAAAGCAUAUUUUAUAAAGGCCAAAAAUACAUAAUAUAAAUUUAGUUUUGAAUUUUGUAAUUAUUAAUUCAUAUAUUAAGAGAGUCUUAUAGAAAAAUAGGAAUUUUUUGAAAGAGAUUUGCUAAAGUAAAAAAUUUCGUUUGGUUUAGUUUGUGAAGGCUCAAGUAAUUGAAAGCAAUGCAAGUGAAGGAUAUAUGAACUUGUAAUUUUUACAAAGUAAUUGCUAAAAUAUUUGACAAGCUUGAGAUUUUAAAAAGGCUGGGAAAAUAGAAAAACAAUGAAGACCCUACGAGUUGGCAGAGCAAAUAAACAGAGGAAAACAUGACAAAUAUUAUGUUGAUGCACAAUCUUAUUUUAUGUUGAUGCACAAUCCAACUUUUUAACAAAAAUAAUAUUUAAAUUGUCACAAAACGUAUUAUUCUUUAAAAAAAAUUCAUAUACAGUAGUUAAUUUUUCUUUACUCCAGGAUCCAACUACAUACCCCUCUUUUUUGUCGUUAUUCUGCUCAGUCGUUAGAUUUUAAUUACUGUAAAGAAUUGUGGAAAUGCUCAUAUAUUAUUUGUUGCUGUGUACAAGAUCCUUAUAUACAAAAAUACUAGAAUCAUCUAAGGCAAGUACCAAACGGUCAAAUAAUAGAAAAGGAAAGAAUAUAAAGGAGAAUGAAUAUUACAAUAUGCUAAGUUAGUGGCUAAGAUCAAGGACUGAUUGAUUCUUGUUCUAAUACUCCCCCUCAAGUUGGGAAGUGAAGAUCCGUAACUCCCAACUUGCCAAGAAGAUAUUGAAAUUGAUGUUUACCAAGAGCUUUGGUAAAAAUGUCAGCCAAUUGUUGUCGUGAAGGCACAUAAGUUAAGGAAAUGAUUUUGGCAUGAAGCUUUACACGAACAAGAUGGCAGUCUAUUUCUAUGUGCUUGGUACGCUCAUUGAAGAUGGGAUUGGCAGCGAUAUGAAGCGCAACUUGAUUGUCACAAUGUAAAGUUAUAGGCAUUGGAUGGGUCACAUGAAGAUCACGAAGUAGAGUUUUCAACCAAACCAAUUCACAUGUUGUUGUCGCCAUGGCUCGAUAUUCGGCUUCAGCGGAAGAGCGCGAUACAACUGGUUGCUUCUUGGUUUUCCAAUAAAUAGGACUAUUGCCAAGCAUGAUAAAAUAUCCAGUAGUGGAUCGACGGGUCAUGGGGCAACUUGCCCAAUCUGAAUCUGAGAAGGCAGAGAGUUCCAAAGAGUUAGUGGAGGACAAGAGGAUACCAGCGCCGGGAGAAAAUUUGAUGUAACGUAAGACACGCAGGGCAGCAUCAUAAUGUGGUCAUCUUGGAGUGUGCAUAAAUUGACUAAGUAUGUUCACAGCAUAUGUAAUUUAUGGCCGGGUGAUUGUCAAAUAGAUGAGACGUCCUACAAGUCGUCGGUAUUGGUCAGGAUUUUGACAAAGGGUUCCUUGAUCGUUAGAGAGCUUCAAGUUUUGUUCCAUUGGAAAAGAAGAUGGCCGUGUGCCUAAUUGUCCACUGUCUUGAAGUAUAUCUAAAGCAUAUUUCCUUUGAUUGAAGAAAAUCCCUUGCUUUGAGCGAGCCACUUCAAUUCCUAAAAAAGAUUUCAAAGUUCCCAAGUCUUUAAUAUGAAAUUGAGCCUGCAAAAACAUCUUCAAUGCAGUUAUAGUGUCAAGAUGGUUACCAGCAAUUAUUAUAUCACCAACAUACACAAGCACCAAUGUAAAAUGAGAAUCAUGCAUUUUAGUAAACAAACAAGAAUCAACAUAAAAUUGAAUGUAACCAAUUUGUUUAAGAGCGGAUGAGAAUUUUUCAAACCAAUUUCGAGAAGCUUGCUUGAGACCAUAAAGGGACUUGUUUAACUGACAAAAUUGAUAAGACUCCCCCUGUUUACAAACUCCUGGAGGUAAGGUCAUAUAAAUUUCCUCAUGCAAGUCACCAUGAAGAAAUGCAUUAUGAACAUCUAACUGAAAUAAUAACCACCCUCGAAUAGCUGCCAUUGCCAAUACACAUCUAACAGUCACAAGUUUUGCAACAGGUGCAAAUAUCUUAUGGUAAUCCAAACCUUCAGUUUGUGUGUAUCCUUUAGCAACAAGGCGUGCUUUGUAUCUCUCAAUAGAACCAUCAGCUUUUCUUUUAAUUUUGAACACCCAUUUACAACCAAUUGGUUUCUUGCCGGGAGGUAGAUCUUGUAUAGGGAUGGCAAAUUGGUCCAUCCAAAUUGGAUAUCCAUAUAUCCAAUCCAAUUGGAUUGGAUAAUAUCCAUCCAAAAUCUUCUUGGAUAUGGAUAUGGAUAUUUUUAAAAAUAUCCAAUUAGAUAUUGGAUGGGUAUGGAUAUUUAAUGGAUAUCCAAAAUCCAAUUAAUUUAUCCAUUUAAAGUUAAAAAAAUUUAUAUUGUUAAACUAAAAUAAAAAAAAAAAUCUAAUUUUCUCUUAUAUUAACUAGUGAAAAAUUUAAAUUUCUCUUAUAUUAAAAACUAAAGUUUUCAAAAUUACCCUUUAAUUUUUUAACUUAUUUAAUACUAUUUAUAAUUGUUAUUUUAUUUUAUUGAUUUAAUAUUAUAAAUGGAUUUCCACCGGAAAGUCACCGGACCACCACCGGAGUUCGCCGGACCACCGUCGGAUAUCGCUGGAAUUACCGCCGGACCUCGGCGGAAAGUCACCAGAAGACCGCCAGACCACCGUUGGCUUCACCGGAAGAUUGCCGGACCACCGCCGGAAUUCGCCGGAAGGUCGCCGGACUUUGCCGGAAAGUUGCCGGACCGCCACCACCGACCACCGGACCGCCAUUUUAUUAUAUAUAUAUAUUAUUACUAAUAUAAAUAGUUUAAUAGCCAAAUUUGAUAUUGAAAUUUUAACUAUUUUAUAUUAUUAUUUUUAUAUAAUUAAAAUAAAAUAUCCAUGGAUCUCCAUAAACUAUAUGGAUAAAAUCCAUAUCCAUGUCCAAUAUUAAAUAGUGGAUAUGGAUAUGGAUAUAUCCAUUAUGGAUAAUUAUGGAUUUAUGUUUAUCCAUCCAUCAUUGGAUAUUUGUCAUCCCUAAUCUUGUAUUGUCCAAGUGUUACUUUGCUCUAAAGCUUUAAUCUCUAUAUCCAUAGCAUUGCGCCAAUGAGCAUGUUGAACGGCUUGAGAAUAUGUAGUUGGUUCAACAUCGUGAGAUAUGGCUGAAAGAAAGGCUACAUGAUCACUAGAAAACUUGUCAUAUGAUAAAUACUUGGAUAAUGGAUAUAAAGAACUUACCAAUAGUGGAUGAUUAGUAAAAGUAUUAGAGUUGCCAAAUGUACCGUGAAGUGCAGUAGAGCAAAUAUAAUUCUGAAGAUAAUUUGGAUGACAAGACUGUCGUUGGGACCGUCGAAGAGGUGGAGAAGGGAGAACUACUGAAUCAGAUGUACCUUGGUGGAGUGGCUGCUCAUUGGAAGAAGUUGGAAGGAGCUGUGCAUUUUCAUUGGCAAGAAGUAUGAUAGGAAGAGGUAAAACAUUGUUAUUUUCUUGUUGAUUGGUGAUAGUUUUGAAUGGGAAUUCAGUUUCCACAAAAGUAACAUCACGAGAAAUAAAAGUCUUUUUGUUAAUGAUAUCAUAAACUUUGUAUCCGGGAUACCCAAAUGGGUAACCAACAAAUAUACACUUGGUAGCACGGGGAGCAAAUUUAUGAUGAUUAGCACUGUUGGUAUGAACAUAACAAAGACAACCAAAGACACGAAGACGAUCAUAGUGAGGUUUAGUCUUAAAAAGCAUUUCAUAAGGAGAUUGACCACCAAGAUUAGGAGUGGGUAUACGAUUAAUCAAAUGGGUUGCAGUUAAAACACAAUCUCCCCAGAAAGAUAAAGGUAAAUGUGCUUGAAAACAUAACGCACGUGCAACUUCUAAAAAAUAUGUCGGUGCUUGCGUUCUGCUACCUAAUUUUGUUGAGGUGUUUCAACACAAGUCCGUUCAUGCAAGAUGCCAUGCUCAUGAAAAAAAGAUUGCAUCUGAUUUGAUAAAAAUUCACGUCCUUGAUCAGUACGAAUUUUUUUAAUUUGUGACUGAAAUUGUGUUUUGAUCAAGAAGUAAAAGUUUUUUAAUAAUUGAAAAGCUUCAAACUUGUGCCGCAUGAGGUAAACCCAAGUACAACGAGUAUGGUCAUCAACAAUAGUAAGAAAAUAAUAUGAUCCCGUAUAUGUAGAUGUGCGAUGAGGUCCCCAAAUAUCACAAAAAAUUAAUUGAAAUGGCAUAUCAGAACGAUUUUUAUUCAAUUGAAAUGAACUUCUAGUGUUUUUUGAAAGUUGACAAAUUUCACAACAAGAAUUAAAUGAUGCAAUAUCAUAAAUAAAAGACAAACGCUGCAUUCGGUCUUUAGAAGGGUGACCGAGUCGCAAAUGCCAAAGAUUGGAAUUGGGUUCCUUUGCAACGUUCAUUACUGAAGGAAGGGAAGAAUGACCAUUGAUAUGCUCAUAAUAAUAUAGUACAUCCCGAACUUCACCCUUUCCAAUCAGCUUCUUCGUUGAAAGGUCCUGAAAAACACAAAAUGAAGGGAAAAAUAUAGCAGCACAGUUCAAAUCCUUGGUUAGCUUGCUUACAGAUAAUAGUUAAAAAUUAAAAUGAGGAACUAAUAAGGCAUUAUCUAAAGUCAAAGAGGAGGAUAAUUUAAUGGAUCCACAUUUUGUUGUAGGAACAGUUGUGACAUUUGGUAGUCUCACGGGUUUGACAUGAGACAUGGGCACAAAAUUUUUAAAGGAAGAAAUAUUAGGGUCAUGUGAUCAGAUGCCCCACUAUCAAUUAUCUAAGAAUUAUUAUAUGAGUUAAUAGCAGAAUUGCAAAAAGGAAUGAUUUUACCAGCUAAGUUUACAGUAGAUGGCUGCUUACUUGUUGAAAGUAUAGAUAAUAAAUGUUGAUAUUGUUCAGCCGUGAGACCGGGAAUUUGGAUAGUAGGCUGAGGUGAUGAAUUCUUGUCUUUUGGAAUGGGAUGAUCAUCUAGUUGUUGUGGCUUCGUGGUUGCAGGAGCAGCAACAUGCGAUCGAUUUGAAUGUUUCCAGUUUGGUGGGUAGCCAACAAUUUUGUAACAUUUGGCUUUUAUAUGCCCAUAUUUCUCGCAAUGAUCCCAUAAAGGUCUACCUCGUCCUUGUGUCUCUUGUACUCCAUGCAAUUGGCUAGGAUGUGAAUGAUUUUGACGGCUGGUCAUUUGAGUCUUAUUAUUGGCUGUCAAGGCUGUUGAUUCAAUAGAUGGUUGACUGGAAACAUGGAGAAGUCGUUGACGUUCUUCCUGAUGAAUAAUUGAAUAUGCUUUUCCAACAUUUGGAAGUGGUUCCAUGGCUAAGAUUUGACUUCAUACCGAAGAAUAUGAAUCAUUGAGACCCAUUAGGAAUUGAAACACCUUUUCAGUCUCCAGUAAUCCCUGUAAUUCAUUUGAAGUUUCACACUUGCAAGAAGAAAUAGUGGUUAAUGUGGACAAUUCAUCCCAAUAAAAUUUCAAAGUAUUAAAAUAAAUCACUAAUGAUUUUUGCUCUUGCUGGUGAUUGCAUAUGGCUCUCUUAAGUUCAUAAAUCCGUGGAUUAUUACUUUGUGAAAAACCUUCUUCCAACCCAAGCCAAAGAGAGCGUGGCGUAUCACAAUAGAUGAGGCCAUUGGCAAGAUUUUUCUCUAUUCCAUUGAGCAUCCAUGAAAGGACCAUGUCAUUGCAUCGCUCCCAAGUUUUUAAAUCUUGUGAGGUUGAUGAAGGUUUUUGUAUGCUUCCAUCAAUAAAACCCAAUUUGUUUUUGGCAUUUAAUGCCAUCUUCAUGGAUCUUUUCCAUGUUGAAUAAUUAUCACCCGUUAGCACAUUAGAUACAAGAAUGGCUCCAGGAUGAUCAGAUGAAUGAAGAAAGUAUGGUGAAGAAACAUCGGUAAUGAGGGAAUUUGAUGUUUCUAAUAUUGGAUUCAAACUACUAGACAUGAUUGUCAAAGAGAAAAGCAGAAAUGAGCAAAAUUUGCUCUGAUACCAUGUAAAGAAUUGUGGAAAUGCUCAUAUAUUAUUUGUUGUUGUGUACAAGAUUCUUAUAUACAAAAAUACUGGAAUCAUCUAAGGCAAGUACCAAACGGUCAAAUAAUAGAAAAGGAAAGAAUAUAAAGGAGAAUGAAUAUUACAAUAUGCUAAGUUAGUGGCUAAGAUCAAGGACUGAUUGAUUCUUGUUCUAAUAAUUACGUUGAUCUAACGGUUGGGAUUUGUAAAUGAAUAACGAAGUGGUGUUUUUGGCUACCGUCUGAACCCAUUGCAUCUAAUUGGUUUUGUGAUUUUUCGCUUUCUUCUCUGCAACGCUUGACUAGUUCUAGAAAUAUCGACAGCAAAUUUGGAGCAUGUAUUAUUUUUCAUUAAAAUAAGUUUCCACCACCGUACCAGUAUAUGGAUUUCUGAAUUAAUUAUUAAAAGAAGCAAACAAUACUGAGAAUAUAUUAAUUAUUAAUUUAUAUAAUAAUAUGUUUGCUUCAAAAUAUACUAUUUGAAUUUGAAAUAAUAUUUUUUUAAAAUUUUAAUAUCACAAUAAUAGUCAUGAUCCAAUUGGUUUGAUUUUUUUUUUUCAGAAAAAAUUUGGAAGAAUAGACAAAUAAUGAAGACACAACCUAAGGAGAGCCAAUAAACAGGGGAAAGUGAAUUGCGUACUGUCCUCGAGCUCUCAAUUAUCCAACAUUCUCAAAUUUCUAUGUACAUUUUCGUAAAUUCAUGUCAUAUACUAGAGCUAGUAUUUUGGGUUUUGUUGCAUUAGUUCUCUGGUGUUUAUCUUGUUUUAUUACCUUAUGAUGCAAGAUUCCUGGUAGCCAUACACCUCGAAUAAAACUAUUUUUAUUUUUUUGGCAUUUUUAUUAGCAAAAAUCAUUAUUAAUUAAUGAACCCAUCGAGAUAUUGGUUUCAUUUGUAACAACUUGCUAAUUGCUUAAUACAUUUUUGUAAUUCUAGUCAUGAAGUCAUAAAGAACCUGCAAAUAAAAUCAUAGAUGAGGUACAUUGUGAUGUGAUAAAUCUAAUUCAAAUCUAAACUAAGAGAUGAUUCCUAUACAGGUACAUAUAGAAUAAAGAUAUUUAAACAUAAGCAUUCAAUUUUAUGAUAAACCUAACUGUCAUUGGCUUAUUGCUAUUAAAGGAAGUGAACAGAAAUAGAUGUAGAAAGUCAGAAAUAUGAAUGAGUGGACUUGAUUUCUCGAAUAGAAAAUUAAAUUAAUAUCAUUUUUAAUAAAUGUGAGAUGAUUUAUACUCUAAAAUUUAUUUUGAACACUCAUAUUUUUAUUACAAAAAAUUUCAUAGUUCAAUUUAUUAGUAUGGACAAUUCAAUAUAAGUAAACAAAAUAAUAAUACUUUUGAAACUCAUCUAACCAUAGUGCGCACGCACCCAUAUAAACCUUAAACCAUAAUAAAACGUUCUUCCUCAACAUAAAGACUAAUUCAUUAUUUAAAAGCAUAUAUUAACAAAUUUGUACACACAGAUUCUAUGGUUCUAAUUUCUUUGACUUUAAUUUUUUACUUCUCCACCAAAGGAGGUUCUACACAAAUAAACAACAGCAGAAAAACAAAUAUAAAAUGUGAUUCGUGUGUAGAAGAUAUAUACUCAUCAUAACAAUAACUGAUAAAUUGUAUUAAGAAAUAAAAAUAUUAGUAGUGAUGACAUGAAAGAAGUCUGUUGUCUUCACUUUGACUAAAAAUAAUUUACAAUAAUCGACCAAGCGAAAUUCCUUAAGAAAUGAACUAGGUUGGGAAGGCAGAGCAGCCUCUGUUCUUUUUACUAUAAUGCUAAGAAUUGACUUCAAUUGGGAAGUCAGGCCAAUUGAAGAAGCUCCCCUGUUUUUCACUGAAUCAUAAUCCGAACAAUUUAUAAUUAAAUAAAUCAUUCAAAAUCUCCUUUAAUCGAACCCCCACUUCUGUGGUUUAAUGAAAUAUUAACGUUCAGCUCCUGAAGUUGCCAUUUUAUGUAUUGAAAAAGAAGAAAAUACAAGAAACUGAAAAUUAAUUGAUGCUGCAUCAUGUUGGAUUGUUAGUUGUUAUUAUGAUGGGGAUAUAAUCUUUGCCUUUUAAUUAUCAUCUAGCUAACGCAAGCCCACUAGUUUCAUUUGUGUCCAUCACUAAAAAGUAGAGUUGUUUAAUUCAAUAGUGUCACGUUACAUCACAUAAAGUCACUCAAUUUUCAUUGCCAUAUGUAGCUCAAAAGUGCAUGAACAUUGAACUUUCAACUAACUUAUAUUGAUUAAUUAAUACGACCAUCAGUUCUUAGUACCCAGCAACAUCCAUCAAUAAGAGCAAAAUCCCCAUUAAUUUCAUAAAUAAAAAUAAUAAUAAGUUACAAAGACAAUAUUUGACAAUCACGAAAACAACUAUAAUUCACUCCAAUAAACAACAUAACAGAUACAUUAUCAAUAUUGCAAGUCUUUUUAUGAUUUAAUUAAAAGAGAAAAUAUGAAGGACAUAUUUUUUAUAUAAUUGAAUGUUCUCCUUGAUAAUUAGACAAAAUAACACCAAUCUAACUACCUAAUUCAAUCAUCAUAAUGAUUCAAUUUUCAUUUUUUAAUUAUGUCCAAUCAUGCUAAUUUAAUAAAGAUUACUGAGCACUUAAAGUACCUAUAUCUUCAACAACUUUGGCUAAGUUAGAAAAGUGUUAGAGCUGCAUUUAUGCUUUGUGUUAUUAAGCAGGACAUGAUCAUAUUACGUUGCGUUUUUCCGAAAACUGAAAAUUAUUAAAAAAAAAAUCUGAAAAGAGAUGUUGAAUCGCGAGCUUAAACUGAGUUUUAGACAUGUUUGACUUGUCGGUUGAUAUCCCUGAUUGUGCAUGUGCUGUCGGUUUUUGGACGGAACACAAGAAUAUGACAGCUGUGUGUUGUCGUCUGGAUCACAUGUUCUUCACGUGAUUUCAUUUACCCUAUGCGGCACAUUUGGCAGUCGUUUUGGUCACUCAUUGAAGCACGAAUUAAGAACGUCAUUCAAGGUUGUUCAUUGACCUUUACAAGGCGGGAAAAUUCUGGGUUUGUUUUAACAAACCCAGAAUGCAGCUUGUGAGUGGGGGGAACUUUCUAGAUUCUUCAUGAUCUGUGUAUAUAGUCUUAGAGGCUACAGUUGAGGCAUAUGAAAAGCUUGUAACUUCUUCUUAAUGAUUGUAGUUUGAUCUCGGUGAUGGAGAUAAGAUUGCUGCCCUGUUCUUCACUUGAUAUAGGCUAUCUCCAAGCGGAACCACUUAAAUUGUGCCUCUGUUUUGCUUGUUUCGAGGUGUGUGAUUUGCUUGUCAUUUCUAAAUCAUCAAUUAGAGAGUUUAGUGAGAUCUUGGUGGUUUUAGAAUGAGUUUAAUCGAUCAAGAAUCAACAAGAUGUAAUGAAAGCAAAAUGAGAGACUAUUGCACGCACAUCAUAGCAAUGUUUCAUUCAUUUUCAAUCUAUAUAUACAAAACUUAUAUCUGGUGGUUUGUGUUUGUUUAAUCUAACGGCUAUAACAUGUAUAUUGUCAAAAGUUAGAGCGGCCAACUUUGUUUGUCCUCAUAGCAUCCUUGAUCUAAUAUCAUCCUGGUGAUUCUUGAGAGCUCUUCUCAUUCUCUCGUGUUGAGUCCCUUGCUGAGAUGAUAAAUACUUGAGGGUCCUUCCUUGAUAUAUUUCAGCAAACACUUGAUUCAUUCUAUCAAACAUUUGCAUCACUAAUCAUUAAAUGGUGUAAGAUAGUUCUGUUUUGAAAAAUCAAUAUAAAAUCAAUCACCUUAGAUUUUCUUAGUCUCAGAGCACAAUGGCUGAUGAUUUGAUGAGAAAUAUUAAUAUGCAUGCAUCCCCUGCAUUCGUUAGAGCUGCUCUCAACCUCUGUUUAAUAAGCUAGUCCUCUGCUGUAUCCUAGAAGGUGGAACAUUAUGCUUCCCAGCUGGCUCAAGAGGGAACUAUGCUUCUGCUGCCAAAUUUUUGAAAGCGAACAUCGUGGGAAGAGGUUGAUCUGAAGCCAUUGCAUCUGAUUGGUUUUGUGAUUUUUUGCUUUCUUCUCUGUAACGCUUGACUAGUUCUGGAAAUAUCGACCAUCAUCGAUGGCAAAUCUGGACCAUGUAUUUGCCCACUACUAAGAAAUAAAGUUUCCACCACCGUACCAGUAUGUCGAUUUACGAAUACAUUCAUUCAAAUAUUAAACGUACAGAGAAGAGAGCAAACUGUGGCAGGAUAGCAAAAACUGCGAAUGGUCAUUCCCAACACGAACGCUUAUGGCUGUUUUCCUUUUAAUUUUCUUCUUUGAAUUCUCCUUUUAUUAAUCAUUAGAAAAACUCCCUUUUUUUAAAUCAUGUGUUAUAAACAUUUACAUGGUUAAUGUCAUCGAAAUCAAAUGGUUGUUAUCUACGAAAAGAGAAUUGUUAGAAAUUUUGUAAGUCCCAUUGCAACAAUAUAUUGUUAUAAAUUGCAUUGUUUCCCAUAUAACAAAUAUAAUAAAAUCUCAAUAAAUUAAUAGUUUUGGGACCAUAAAAAAAUUUAUUAAAAUUUAACAAAUAUCAAUUAAUUGGCAAAUUAAUAAAUUAUUAAUUUAUGAAAAUAUUCAUUAUUUUAGAAAAACAUGAUCACGUUUUUAGUAUUGAUUUACCUUGAGUUAGUAUCUAUUAUGUUUUAUUUGUCUCUAUUAGUUUUCUCUUGGGAAGAUUUUUUAAGAGUUAGCUGCUUUAUAUUAACAGUAAUAAAAUUAUUGUAUGGUUUUGUUUUUCCAUGUUAAAGAUCGAUUAGUCCUCUGCUUCUCCUCAGAGUCAUCGAGCACCGCCUGAAUCAUCAACAGCGUGCUCUUCCACUUCAUCAGAUCGUCUUCGAUCUUCUCUUGGCGUGUGUUAAGGAAGUUAAGGAAGCUCAUAUUUGCAGUCAAGCAGAGGAUCACAGCAGCUUCUAUAAUCAGUUGCAAGUUGAUGACAUGUACUGCCAGCUGGCACCAGGUGGUUAUGUAGCUGCUUGUACUUAUACACGUGAUAAGUUUGUUAAUUAGUUUGUAAUUAGUUAGUUAGUUUUGUAACCAUCAGCUGAGAAGCAACACUUGUAUAUAUAUGCUUGUAAUCGUUCAGUAGCAUUUAAAAAAAAAGCUUGAGAAAAUAAAAGAAGAAAGUUUUCUAAAUCUCAGUUUAUUUUCUUAUUAGCCAAACACUCAUUUUCUGUUUUAUAACUUGGUAUCAGAGCCAGUCAUGGCAUCUCUGAAUAUUGCCUCAUCAAAUCACACUUCGAAUAUUCAUACAAACUCAACAAACUUCUCAUUCACAUUCAAUACCCCUGUGAAACUGGAUCAGGCAAACUAUCUGAUCUGGAGGUCCCAAGUUCUAGCUUCCAUACGCGGCAAUAGGCUAGAAAAGUUUAUUGAUGAAAAAUGUCACUCCUCCUCCAUCUCAUAUUGCUCAAAGGAUUGACGAUGAACUUAGAUCUGUUGAGAAUCCAGAUUCAUCAAGCUGGAAAGCACAAGGUCAAGUACUUCUUGGCUGGUUGUUGUCAUCGAUGAGUGAAGGUAUUAUAAGUCUGGUGUUUAAUUUGGAAACUUCUCUUGAGGUAUGGAAAGCUAUUGAAACUCAAUUUGGAUCACAGUCAAAAUCCAGACUCUUACAUUUGAGAUAUUUGAUGAAUUCAACUAGGAAAGAUGAUCUGAAAAUCAAUGAGUAUUUCAUUAAAAUGAAGAAUAUUGCUGAUAACAUGGCUGCGGCAGGAAGUGCCUUAAGCAGUGAUGAUUUAAUUUUGCAUGUACUCUCAGGACUAGGACCAGAUUAUAAUGCUGUUGCUACUUAUAUUACUGGUCAAAUAAGUGGUGAUAAAAUGAAUUUAAAUGAGGCUUAUGCUAUGUUGUUGACUCAAGAAGCUAGAAUUGAGCAACAAGCACAUAUGCUUUCUGGAAUGGAUGUUAAGCAUAAUUUUGAAGCUAAUUUUGCUCAGAACAGAGGUUUCAAGAAAGGAAAUUUCUCAGGUGGUAGAGGAUCUGGUAAUCAUGACUAUUUUACUGGAUUAGAUAAUGCUGGAAAUUUUGGAAAUAAUUACAGAAGUGGCUAUGGAAGAUCUGGUUUCUUUGGUAAUGGUUUUGGAAAUAAUCAUAAUAACCAAUUAAGAGGAUUUCAAAGUGAUAAUCAAAGGGGAUCAGGCUCAGGAAAUUGGAACAAUGGUGGGGGGUGGUAACAAUAACUCUAUCAGGCCUCAAAUGAAUCCAAAACCUCAGUGGAAUGCUUCUAAACCAACUUGUCAAAUCUACUUAAAAACUGGUCAUACUGCAAAUGUCUGCUGGAAGCUUGAAGAAUUCUUUACCUCUGGUGCUUGCAAACCUCCUCCAAACAGAAAUCCCAAAGCUGCAUAUCUAGCUGAUAUGGAUGGUGCAGUUGAUGCCAACUGGUAUCUGGAUAGUGGAGCUACACACCAUCUUACCAAUGACAUGAGGAAUAUGACUAUGGCAGAAUCCUUUGCAGGUAACUCUAAACUCAUCAUUGGAAAUAGUACUGGUUUACAUAUAACACAUGUUGGAAAUGCUGUGUUAAGAAUGCAUAACUCUUCUGCUCAUCAUAUACUCAAAUUAAACACAUGCUUCUUGUUCCACAAAUAUCCAAGAAUCUUAUUGGCAUAUCUCAGCUAACCAAAGAUAACAACAUUGUUAUUGAAUUUACUGAUAAAUCCUGUGUUGUGAAGGACAAGGUGAGGAAUUUGAUCAUACUGCAGGGCAAAGCUGAAAAAGGUUUAUACAGAUUGCUAUUGUUUCCCUCUAAUAAAGUCUCUUCUCAAUCAUGUCAAAGGUCUCUUGAAGCCACUCAAUCCAAAAUUUCAAAUGUUCCUAAUGUCUAUGUUUUCAGUUGUUCAGUCAGUUGUCAAUAAUCAAACAAGUCCUGCUUGCAUACUGCAGCAGAACCUUGUAUCAGUCCAAAUUGUAUGCUGAGUGUUUCUGUUUUGCAUCAGAAACUUGGUCAUCCUAAUUCCAAAGUUUUAAGUCAUGUAAUAAACUCUUGUUCAGCUUUCAAGAAUUUAAAUGGAAGUAACUUUCUUGAUUCAUGUGAUGCAUGUAAAAUGGGAAAAAUGCAUAGAUUACACUUUCCCAGUUUCUACUACAAAAACAAAGCAUGUAUUAGAAGUUUUGCACACUGAUUUAUGGGGACCUGCCCUGUGCUUUCAGUUCAAGGUUACAGAUAUUAUGUGAGUUUUGUGGAUGAUUUUUCGAGGUUCACAUGGAUAUUCCCAUUAAAAACCAAGGAUGAAACACUAGCUGUGUUUAAAAUCUUUAAGAAGCAAAUUGAGAAACAGCUAGAUAGAUCCAUUAAAUGCAUUCAAUCAGAUUGGGGUGGGGAGUAUAGAUCAUUUGUUAAUUUUCUUCAUGAGGAAGGUAUUCAAUUCAGACACUCAUGUCCCUAUACUCACAAUCAGAAUGGCUUAGUUGAGAGAAAACAUAGACACAUAACCGAGCUAGGUCUCACCUUAGUUGCUCAAGCUUCUUUGCCUCUCAAAUUUUGGUGGGAUUCCUUCCAUACAGCCACCUAUAUUAUCGAUAGACUUCCCACACCCAUACUAUCUAUGCAGUCACCUUAUGAAUAUGUCUUUAAAACCAAACCUGAUUACAAAUUUCUCAAGGUCUUUGGUUGUUCAUGCUUUCCAUUCUUAAGGGAUUAUAAUACUCACAAAUUCCAUUUUCAUACCUCAAAAUGUGUAUUUCUUGGUUACAGCCCUUUACAUAAGGGUUACAAGUGUAUGCAUUCUUCUGGAAAGAUUUUUAUAGCCAGUCAUGUGUUAUUUGAUGAAACUUCUUUUCCUUACACAUCAAAUUCACAAUUCUUAACUUCAUCAUUCAAACCCUCUGAUUUCCAUUACAGUCUUCUUCAAUCUUGUACUGUUUCACUUCCCAAUAGCAAUCAAGAAACCUUUGAAGCUAGCUCUGCAGAAAAUGAAGCUCCAUCUCAUCAUUUCAGUGAUCAUUCCUCACCUGACAGUCAUAAUACAACCUUUGAUGUUUCACCUUCUCAAAUACAUCUUCAACCCUCUACCAUAGCUACUUCACAAACACAACAGCCAUCCUCAUCUACUAUUCAAUCCACACAACCAUCCUAACAUCCUCUGCCGAAUCAUCCCAUGAUUACCAGAGCAAAAGCUGGUAUAUUCAAGCCUAAAGCAUUCUUAACAUCACAUAACAGCCUGGAACCAUCUACUGUUGAUGAAGCUUUGUCUGAUUCUAAGUGGAAAGCUGUAAUGCAAUUAGAGUUUGAUGCUUUAACCAGAAAUAAUACCUGGAAUCUAGUACCUAUGACAUCUCAGCACAAGUUGGUUGGUUGUAAAUGGGUCUUUAGAACCAAGUACAAUACAGAUGGUACAGUUUCUAAACACAAAGCAAGAUUGGUAGCCAAGGGCUUUCACCAGNNNNNNNNNNNNNNNNNNNNNNNNNNNNNNNNNNNNNNNNNNNNNNNNNNNNNNNNNNNNNNNNNNNNNNNNNNNNNNNNNNNNNNNNNNNNNNNNNNNNNNNNNNNNNNNNNNNNNNNNNNNNNNNNNNNNNNNNNNNNNNNNNNNNNNNNNNNNNNNNNNNNNNNNNNNNNNNNNNNNNNNNNNNNNNNNNNNNNNNNNNNNNNNNNNNNNNNNNNNNNNNNNNNNNNNNNNNNNNNNNNNNNNNNNNNNNNNNNNNNNNNNNNNNNNNNNNNNNNNNNNNNNNNNNNNNNNNNNNNNNNNNNNNNNNNNNNNNNNNNNNNNNNNNNNNNNNNNNNNNNNNNNNNNNNNNNNNNNNNNNNNNNNNNNNNNNNNNNNNNNNNNNNNNNNNNNNNNNNNNNNNNNNNNNNNNNNNNNNNNNNNNNNNNNNNNNNNNNNNNNNNNNNNNNNNNNNNNNNNNNNNNNNNNNNNNNNNNNNNNNNNNNNNNNNNNNNNNNNNNNNNNNNNNNNNNNNNNNNNNNNNNNNNNNNNNNNNNNNNNNNNNNNNNNNNNNNNNNNNNNNNNNNNNNNNNNNNNNNNNNNNNNNNNNNNNNNNNNNNNNNNNNNNNNNNNNNNNNNNNNNNNNNNNNNNNNNNNNNNNNNNNNNNNNNNNNNNNNNNNNNNNNNNNNNNNNNNNNNNNNNNNNNNNNNNNNNNNNNNNNNNNNNNNNNNNNNNNNNNNNNNNNNNNNNNNNNNNNNNNNNNNNNNNNNNNNNNNNNNNNNNNNNNNNNNNNNNNNNNNNNNNNNNNNNNNNNNNNNNNNNNNNNNNNNNNNNNNNNNNNNNNNNNNNNNNNNNNNNNNNNNNNNNNNNNNNNNNNNNNNNNNNNNNNNNNNNNNNNNNNNNNNNNNNNNNNNNNNNNNNNNNNNNNNNNNNNNNNNNNNNNNNNNNNNNNNNNNNNNNNNNNNNNNNNNNNNNNNNNNNNNNNNNNNNNNNNNNNNNNNNNNNNNNNNNNNNNNNNNNNNNNNNNNNNNNNNNNNNNNNNNNNNNNNNNNNNNNNNNNNNNNNNNNNNNNNNNNNNNNNNNNNNNNNNNNNNNNNNNNNNNNNNNNNNNNNNNNNNNNNNNNNNNNNNNNNNNNNNNNNNNNNNNNNNNNNNNNNNNNNNNNNNNNNNNNNNNNNNNNNNNNNNNNNNNNNNNNNNNNNNNNNNNNNNNNNNNNNNNNNNNNNNNNNNNNNNNNNNNNNNNNNNNNNNNNNNNNNNNNNNNNNNNNNNNNNNNNNNNNNNNNNNNNNNNNNNNNNNNNNNNNNNNNNNNNNNNNNNNNNNNNNNNNNNNNNNNNNNNNNNNNNNNNNNNNNNNNNNNNNNNNNNNNNNNNNNNNNNNNNNNNNNNNNNNNNNNNNNNNNNNNNNNNNNNNNNNNNNNNNNNNNNNNNNNNNNNNNNNNNNNNNNNNNNNNNNNNNNNNNNNNNNNNNNNNNNNNNNNNNNNNNNNNNNNNNNNNNNNNNNNNNNNNNNNNNNNNNNNNNNNNNNNNNNNNNNNNNNNNNNNNNNNNNNNNNNNNNNNNNNNNNNNNNNNNNNNNNNNNNNNNNNNNNNNNNNNNNNNNNNNNNNNNNNNNNNNNNNNNNNNNNNNNNNNNNNNNNNNNNNNNNNNNNNNNNNNNNNNNNNNNNNNNNNNNNNNNNNNNNNNNNNNNNNNNNNNNNNNNNNNNNNNNNNNNNNNNNNNNNNNNNNNNNNNNNNNNNNNNNNNNNNNNNNNNNNNNNNNNNNNNNNNNNNNNNNNNNNNNNNNNNNNNNNNNNNNNNNNNNNNNNNNNNNNNNNNNNNNNNNNNNNNNNNNNNNNNNNNNNNNNNNNNNNNNNNNNNNNNNNNNNNNNNNNNNNNNNNNNNNNNNNNNNNNNNNNNNNNNNNNNNNNNNNNNNNNNNNNNNNNNNNNNNNNNNNNNNNNNNNNNNNNNNNNNNNNNNNNNNNNNNNNNNNNNNNNNNNNNNNNNNNNNNNNNNNNNNNNNNNNNNNNNNNNNNNNNNNNNNNNNNNNNNNNNNNNNNNNNNNNNNNNNNNNNNNNNNNNNNNNNNNNNNNNNNNNNNNNNNNNNNNNNNNNNNNNNNNNNNNNNNNNNNNNNNNNNNNNNNNNNNNNNNNNNNNNNNNNNNNNNNNNNNNNNNNNNNNNNNNNNNNNNNNNNNNNNNNNNNNNNNNNNNNNNNNNNNNNNNNNNNNNNNNNNNNNNNNNNNNNNNNNNNNNNNNNNNNNNNNNNNNNNNNNNNNNNNNNNNNNNNNNNNNNNNNNNNNNNNNNNNNNNNNNNNNNNNNNNNNNNNNNNNNNNNNNNNNNNNNNNNNNNNNNNNNNNNNNNNNNNNNNNNNNNNNNNNNNNNNNNNNNNNNNNNNNNNNNNNNNNNNNNNNNNNNNNNNNNNNNNNNNNNNNNNNNNNNNNNNNNNNNNNNNNNNNNNNNNNNNNNNNNNNNNNNNNNNNNNNNNNNNNNNNNNNNNNNNNNNNNNNNNNNNNNNNNNNNNNNNNNNNNNNNNNNNNNNNNNNNNNNNNNNNNNNNNNNNNNNNNNNNNNNNNNNNNNNNNNNNNNNNNNNNNNNNNNNNNNNNNNNNNNNNNNNNNNNNNNNNNNNNNNNNNNNNNNNNNNNNNNNNNNNNNNNNNNNNNNNNNNNNNNNNNNNNNNNNNNNNNNNNNNNNNNNNNNNNNNNNNNNNNNNNNNNNNNNNNNNNNNNNNNNNNNNNNNNNNNNNNNNNNNNNNNNNNNNNNNNNNNNNNNNNNNNNNNNNNNNNNNNNNNNNNNNNNNNNNNNNNNNNNNNNNNNNNNNNNNNNNNNNNNNNNNNNNNNNNNNNNNNNNNNNNNNNNNNNNNNNNNNNNNNNNNNNNNNNNNNNNNNNNNNNNNNNNNNNNNNNNNNNNNNNNNNNNNNNNNNNNNNNNNNNNNNNNNNNNNNNNNNNNNNNNNNNNNNNNNNNNNNNNNNNNNNNNNNNNNNNNNNNNNNNNNNNNNNNNNNNNNNNNNNNNNNNNNNNNNNNNNNNNNNNNNNNNNNNNNNNNNNNNNNNNNNNNNNNNNNNNNNNNNNNNNNNNNNNNNNNNNNNNNNNNNNNNNNNNNNNNNNNNNNNNNNNNNNNNNNNNNNNNNNNNNNNNNNNNNNNNNNNNNNNNNNNNNNNNNNNNNNNNNNNNNNNNNNNNNNNNNNNNNNNNNNNNNNNNNNNNNNNNNNNNNNNNNNNNNNNNNNNNNNNNNNNNNNNNNNNNNNNNNNNNNNNNNNNNNNNNNNNNNNNNNNNNNNNNNNNNNNNNNNNNNNNNNNNNNNNNNNNNNNNNNNNNNNNNNNNNNNNNNNNNNNNNNNNNNNNNNNNNNNNNNNNNNNNNNNNNNNNNNNNNNNNNNNNNNNNNNNNNNNNNNNNNNNNNNNNNNNNNNNNNNNNNNNNNNNNNNNNNNNNNNNNNNNNNNNNNNNNNNNNNNNNNNNNNNNNNNNNNNNNNNNNNNNNNNNNNNNNNNNNNNNNNNNNNNNNNNNNNNNNNNNNNNNNNNNNNNNNNNNNNNNNNNNNNNAUAACACAUGUUGGAAAUGCUGUGUUAAGAAUGCAUAACUCUUCUGCUCAUCAUAUACUCAAAUUAAACAACAUGCUUCUUGUUCCACAAAUAUCCAAGAAUCUUAUUGGCAUAUCUCAGCUAACCAAAGAUAACAACAUUGUUAUUGAAUUUACUGAUAAAUCCUGUGUUGUGAAGGACAAGGUGAGGAAUUUGAUCAUACUGCAGGGCAAAGCUGAAAAAGGUUUAUACAGAUUGCUAUUGUUUCCCCUAAUAAGUCUCUUCUCAAUCAUGUCAAAGGUCUCUUGAAGCCACUCAAUCCAAAAUUUCAAAUGUUCCUAUGUCUAUGUUUUCAGUUGUUCAGUCAGUUGUCAAUAAUCAAACAAGUCCCUGCUUGCAUACUGCAGCAGAACCUUGUAUCAGUCCAAAUUGUAUGCUGAGUGUUUCUGUUUUGCAUCAGAAACUUGGUCAUCCUAAUUCCAAAGUUUUAAGUCAUGUAAUAAACUCUUGUUCAGCUUUCAAGAAUUUAAAUGGAAGUAACUUUCUUGAUUCAUGUGAUGCAUGUAAAAUGGGAAAAAUGCAUAGAUUACACUUUCCAGUUUCUACUACCAAAACAAAGCAUGUAUUAGAAGUUUUGCACACUGAUUUAUGGGGACCUGCCCCUGUGCUUUCAGUUCAAGGUUACAGAUAUUAUGUGAGUUUUGUGGAUGAUUUUUCGAGGUUCACAUGGAUAUUCCCAUUAAAAACCAAGGAUGAAACACUAGCUGUGUUUAAAAUCUUUAAGAAGCAAAUUGAGAAACAGCUAGAUAGAUCCAUUAAAUGCAUUCAAUCAGAUUGGGGUGGGGAGUAUAGAUCAUUUGUUAAUUUUCUUCAUGAGGAAGGUAUUCAAUUCAGACACUCAUGUCCCUAUACUCACAAUCAGAAUGGCUUAGUUGAGAGAAAACAUAGACACAUAACCGAGCUAGGUCUCACCUUAGUUGCUCAAGCUUCUUUGCCUCUCAAAUUUUGGUGGAUUCCUUCCAUACAGCCACCUAUAUUAUCAAUAGACUUCCCACACCCCAUACUAUCUAUGCAGUCACCUUAUGAAUAUGUCUUUAAAACCAAACCUGAUUACAAAUUUCUCAAGGUCUUUGGUUGUUCAUGCUUUCCAUUCUUAAGGGAUUAUAAUACUCACAAAUUCCAUUUCUCAUACCUCAAAAUGUUGUAUUUCUUGGUUACAGCCCUUUACAUAAGGGUUACAAGUGUAUGCAUUCUUCUGGAAAGAUUUUUAUAGCCAGUCAUGUGUUAUUUGAUGAAACUUCUUUUCCUUACACAUCAAAUUCACAAUUCUUAACUUCAUCAUUCAAACCCUCUGAUUUCCAUUACAGUCUUCUUCAAUCUUGUACUGUUUCACUUCCCAAUAGCAAUCAAGAAACCUUUGAAGCUAGCUCUGCAGAAGAUGAAGCUCCAUCUCAUCAUUUCAGUGAUCAUUCCUCACCUGACAGUCAUAAUACAACCUUUGAUGUUUCACCUUCUCAAAUACAUCUUCAACCCUCUACCAUAGCUACUUCACAAACACAACAGCCAUCCUCAUCUACUAUUCAAUCCACACAACCAUCCCAACAUCCUCUGCCGAAUCAUCCCAUGAUUACCAUAGCAAAAGCUGGUAUAUUCAAGCCUAAAGCAUUCUUAACAUCACAUAACAGCCUGGAACCAUCUACUGUUGAUGAAGCUUUGUCUGAUUCUAAGUGGAAAGCUGUAAUGCAAUUAGAGUUUGAUGCUUUAACCAGAAAUAAUACCUGGAAUCUAGUACCUAUGACAUCUCAGCACAAGUUGGUUGGUUGUAAAUGGGUCUUUAGAACCAAGUACAAUACAGAUGGUACAGUUUCUAAACACAAAGCAAGAUUGGUAGCCAAGGGCUUUCACCAGGCAGCAGGAGUGGAUUAUAAGGAAACUUUUAGUCCUGUGGUAAAGUCUUCUACAGUAAGAACUAUACUAAGUUUGGCAGUGAUGAAAGGUUGGAAAAGUCAGGCAAAUCGAUAUAAAUAAUGCCUUUCUUAAUGGAGAUAUUUCAGAGGAUAUAUACAUGACACAACUAGAGGGCUUCAUCACCAAAGAGGGCUAUGUCUGCAAACUUAGCAAGGCUCUUUAUGGCUUGAAGCAAGCUCCUAGAGCUUGGUAUGACAAACUCAAAGGGUGUCUUACAAGCUGGAAUUUCUUCAACUCCAAGGCUGAUACAUCCCUGUUCAUCAGACAUGACACGAGAGGUAUCAUUCUUGUUCUUAUCUAUGUGGAUGAUAUUCUUAUUACAGGACUAGAUUCUUCCCUGUUGGAAACAUUCAUCACUAAAUUUAGUAAGGUUUUUGCCUUAAAAGAUUUGGGAUUGGUAUCCUAUUUUCUGGGUGUUGAGGUGUGUUAUACUGAUAGUGGGAUGCAUUUAUCACAAACAAAAUAUAUUAAAGACCUCUUAAGUAGAGCUUCAAUGCAGAACUGUAAAGGUUCUGAUACACCUCUCAGCACAGGUCAAAAGUUAGAAAAGGUAGCAAAGGUCUGUUUGGGGAAAGAAUUUGAAGAUCCAACUCUCUAUAGAAGUAUUGUUGGACGGCUCCAAUACUUGAUACUCACCAGACCUGAUAUUGCAUACUCAGUUCAUAAGCUCAGUCAAUAUUUGAGUGCUCCUACACUUCAGCAUUGGCUUGCUGUAAGAAAGUACUUAGAUAUCUUCAAGCAACUGUCACUCAUGGAAUAUAUAUUCAGAAGGAAGGAGAGCUUGAAGUUACAGGUUUGAAUGGAUACUCAGAUGCAGAUUGGGCUUGUAAUACAGAUGAUAGAAAGUCCAUUGGAGCAUAUUGCAUCUAUCUUGGCAACAAUUUAAUUUCAUGGUCCUCUAAGAAACAAGCCAUAGUGGCCAAAUCCAGCACUGAAAGUGAGUAUAGAGCACUGUCAUCAGCAAGUUCAGAAAUCUCUUGGCUUGAAUCUCUAUUUUCUGAGCUCAACAUUGUAAAGCUGCCAACACCAGUGCUUUGGUGUGAUAAUCAGAGUGCUGGGGAAUUAGCCAAAAAUCCUGUGUUUCACUCCAGGUCUAAGCAUAUCGAGUUGGACAUUCAUUACAUUCGAGAUAAGGUACUUCAAAACCAAUUAGAAGUGAGAUACAUUCCUACAGAUGAACAAGUUGCUGAUGUCCUCACCAAAGCUUUAUCACUUCCAAAAUUCAGCUACUUCAGGUCCAAGCUCAAUGUCGUUAGCAGACCCUUGAGCUUGAGGGGGGAUGUUAAGGAAGUUAAGGAAGCUCAUAUUUGCAGUCAAGCAGAGGAUCACAGAGCAAAGGAUCACAGCAGCUUCUAUAAUCAGUUGCAAGUUGAUGACAUGUACAGCCAGCUGGCACCAGGUGGUUAUGUAGCUGCUUGUACUCAUACACGUGAUAAGUUUGUUAAUCAAUUUGUAAUUAGUUAGUUAGUUUUGUAACCAUCAGCUGAGAAGCAACACUUGUAUAUAUAUGCUUGUAAUCGUUCAGUAGCAUUUAAGAAAAAAGCUUGAGAAAAUAAAAGAAGAAAGUUUUCUAAAUCUCAGUUUAUUUUCUUAUUAGCCAAACACUCAUUUUCUAUUUUAUAACUGCGUGCAAACCACCGAAUCCCCUCUGAAGCUAACUUUGGCGUGCAGCUCUUCGAUGAUUGGCUUUUUUUUUCUUUUUUUUUUGGUUGUGUUUUUUUUUGGCUCCUAGUUUGAUUUAACUUUGUUUCGGUUAUUGACAUUGCUGAAGAGGCAGUAAAAGCUUGUUGAAUGUCAUCAAAUGCACAAAUUGGCAAUAUCGGUUGGCUUCUUUAUAGGCGCAUCCAUCACAAAAUGAAAGUAACAACAACCACCAUCGAAAAUUAAUUUUAAGAAUCUUUUUUACCUAAAAUCUUUGAAAAGAAAAAUUAACCUGACAUUUAUUUAUUUAUUUAUUUUUUGGGGGGCAAAGAAAGAAAGGAACAGAAUUAUGAGUUUUGGAAAGGAGAAUGAGAAAAUUGAACAGAUGAGAAAAUGGAUAAUUAACCAGAAUGAAUUUGCGAUUGGUCCAGCAAGCUUAGUAGAAAUCACGCGCUGAUACUUCAUUGACCAAUGACUAAUAAUUUGGCAAUUCACCCAUCACCAGCACUUGGUAAGCAAAACGAAAAUGCUUAGUAAGUGUCAAGGGUCAAGCAAGAUAUGACGUAAAAUGAGGCAAGUCUCCCCACUUGUUGUUCCUUGCAGCUAAGAAAAGAAAAAACAGAGCCCACCACCCAUUAAUAAUUUAGCAAUUCACCAAUCAAUCACCACCACUUGUUACGCAAUUCCAUUAGGUAUUCGUAUGUCAAGCAGUUAAUCCAGUGUCUAUUACCUAGAACCUUCACUUUACAAAUCUUCAUCUCAAAUGCCAAGUUAAAUCAAAACGUUUCUCUCUCACUCUUUCUUUUUAAACUCCGAAAACGUUUCUUUUUAGAAAUAUUUUACUUUAUUCAUGUAAAUAUGUUGUCUAACAAAUAGACACAAUUGAAAUCACUCUAAAGUGCAAAUAAAAAAAAAAAUCCAAUCACCAGUAAUUUAGCAAGCUUCACUUUAUUCCACCAAAGUGUAAAUAAAACCAGGCCUCACCGCCAUUAAUAGUUUUACAAGCUUCACACGCUUGUUGUUGUCUGCUUGACGAACUGGACAUGGGUUCAUCAAGAAUCAAUGAAAGAAUUAAAAAAAAAAACUGAAAUUUUCGAUUCAGAGUAGAACAGUAAUUAAUGCUAAAAUUUACUCCGCUAACAUUUUCAAGAUAUUGUUCUGUAUAAUUCUACAGCAAAUAAGACUAAGUUUUGGACAUUUUCAAAUUCACUACUUUCACAAGCAAUAUUUUGAAACAUUUUACAGAAUUAGCGAUUAUAUAAAGAGAAAAAUGCAAAGUUGCGUAAUUCUAAUGUUUUUCAGGCUGAGCUGCCUUUGGAUUUAACCUGAAAUGAUCCGAAGGCCAGAAAUUGUAACGGCGGGCUUAAAUGUCAACACGCCAAGACAGUUAAUAGCAGCUAAAUUGGAAAAAAAAAAAAAAAGGCAAUAGAAGUAUAGAUGGAACAAUUUUUCGCUUAGGUCAUAGGUGCAAGAUGAAACUAAAAAAAGGUGGCAGGCAAUUUUAUCACAGACGCUCAUGAUCGUUUUUUAUUUGGGUCGUCAACUCGCCAUGACCCAUGAUUGAAUUAGAGUGUCUAGAAAGAAAAUUAAUAAAUAACGGUUUAUAUAUUUGGCCGUCGGAAUAUUGUAAGUGAGAAAGAUUAUCUUUUUUUUUAUUAUUAUUAAUUAGGUUAGUAUUUAUGAUUGAGUGACUCAGAGCUGUAUUUUAGAUUGAGAAUCAAUUGUUCUCUCAUACUGAGAGGCUAUAAGAUUGUCGUUAGCUAUUUCAUCGAUAAGAGAACACCCAAAUUUAUUAAAAGAAGAAAUGUAUAAGGUCUCCUUUAUGAGAAAAUGUAUCUGAUCAUUCUUUUUGACUUGAAAAUCUCAUAUAUAAAAACUUAUUAAUAAAUAACAUAAUAUAUAUAAAAAUGAUACUCAAUGAUCCUGUACUAAAACUAUAAUUUACCUGCACUAGUAGUUUCCAUAAUUUUAAAUUCAAAAGUAAGCAGUUGAACGUGCUCUCUCUUCUGGUUAUAGAUAUCAUAUAUAUAAAUUGAAGUAAUCGCGCGACAAGUAGCAAAACAGAUAAUGCACGGAAGAUAAUGAUCAAUGGCUGAAGUUUAAUUUAAUUGCAGAUAAAAUGUCAAUCAAGAUUAAGGUCUACUUACAAUUUUAUUUUAUUUUUUAUGAUUUUCAAUCUUUACCAAAAGAAACAUAUUUAGUGAUCCCUUUUAUCAACUUGCUUUUAUUGACUUUCUUCCAAUAAUAGAAGUGAAAAGAGAAACAAAGGCCACCACCACCAAGUGUUACCGGAUUCUAUAAAGACAAAAUCAGUGCCCAGCAAAACGAAUCCAACUUUUCGUUAUGUGUUGCUUCCUAUUUAGUACAUGCACAUAUAGAUAUAAGAUAUCCACAUGCACAUGCAGCGCGUCUAUCUAAAAUUUUAAAAACAGAAUUAGAAACCUUCUUGAAUAGGAAUAGAAAUACUCUCUAAUACUUCCUAAAAUAAUUAACCCUAAAUAAUUUGUCCUGCAUCACCAAACUCCGGAUUUUACAAAGCACGCAUAAAGGAUAAUAGACACGUUUGAGGUUUUUUUUUUUAAAAGAAAAAAAGAUUAUGAAAAUAGACAAAUAAUGAAGACACAAGUUAAGCAGAGCAAAUAAAUAGAGGAGAAUGAAUUAAAUACUAUCCUUGAGAACUCAAUUCUUUAAUAAACUCAAUUUUUUAAAUGCAGGGGUAAACUCAUGUCAUAUACUGUAGUCUUUAAUUUGGGCUUUGUUGUAUCAAUUUUUUGGAGUUUAUCUUGUUUUGUUUUUUCGUUUUUAUAGUGCAAGAUUUUCGGUGGAGAUAAAUCAGGAAUAAGAGUGAAAUCCCAAUCUUAAAAUUUGGGAGAAAUGAAAUGCGAUAUGUUUUUUCAUGAAUAAAACAAUUCAAUUUUUUGUUAGCACUUGUAUAUGUUGCAAGUUAAUUACACCGUCAACACCUGCGGGAAAUUUAUAUAUUUUCUGUCAGCACUUGCAUACGUUGCAAUUUUCAAUGACUUCCAAAUCUUCAUAUCAUGAAUUAGCAGGAUUCAGGUCCGACCAACUCCCCGUGGCUAAAGCAAAGGAUUAAUUUUUGAGAAAUUAUAAAGAAAUUAAUACAAGUAAAGUGAGCCUAUUCAUUUGAUUUGAUAAUUGGCUGAGGGUGAUUUCGAUAACGUUUUCAAAGAAGAUAUAGAACAAAGAUCAAAAAGAAAAAACAAGUAAUUUCAGUCGAUGGAAGAAAUGAGCAAGAUUCGCACAUGCAUGCAUGCGUCUGACUAACAGGACAUGGCUUGGAGCAAGGAUCAAUGGACAAGUUUGAGGUUUAUGAAAUAUUGGGAAAACAGACAAAUUAUAAAGCCACUUGUUAGAGUGCAAUUUAUGCACUAGUUUUGCAUUGUUUACUUCCCUUAAUAUCGAUGUUUUGCAUUUAAUAAUAGUGAUUUACUUGUGUUUUACUUUUGUAGGUGCAAUUCUAUUGAUUGGUGAUAAAAUUGAGCUAUAAGAUGAUGUUUAAGGAUGAUUGUUCUCUUGGAGAAAUUAUAAGCGGCAGAAGAACUUUGUUGAUAAGGCGUGGGCGCGUGCUGUCAACUGCGGACCUGCAGUUUUUAGUUUAACGUGUUUUGUAUUUUUGGCUAUUUUUUAAUUACGAAUUUAAUAUUUCAAAUAUUAGUAUUUUAUUUUAAAUAGAACUCUAAAAGAGAAGAGAGAGAGAGUAUUUAAAGGAGGAAUCUAUUGUGAAAAAGGAGGGAAUUUUGAUUGGAGAAAAAGAAAAGAAACCCUAGAUCUAAUUUUUCUCUUCUCUCUAUGAAGAACUAAACUUAUUUUUCUGGUUGAAGAAUAAUGAAGCUUUGAUUCAUCACUACUGUGAGAUCUUUCUUGUGCUUUAAUUGUUUUAUUGCUUUUUGGGUAUUUGUUUAUUCUCUGAAUUAUUUUCAUGAUUAUGUUUGUUAAUUAGAUAAUUGGCCACUAUUUAAUUAUCAACUUAAUCUAUUGUCAAUUAAAGGAUUCAUCGUAUGAAGAAUUUAAUGUUUGUGACAAAUAACAUAGCAGAGAGUUGUGUUGUGAGAAUAAACAAUCUAAUUUAAAUAAAUCAUCAUAUGUGUUGAUUAGGAUUUGGGUCUCUCUGGUUUUUUAGGCUGUCAAUUGAUUAAAUCCUAUGAUCGUAUCUAGGGUUGUCUAUUGAUUAGGGAAAUAUCCAACGGUCGUACCUUGGUUAUCGACUAAUUAAGGAGAGAUUGGCUAUUAGAGGGUCUCAGUAGCUAUAACCGGUCUAUUCAUAAGUAAUAAUAAUUUAUAUUUGAAUCAAUGAUCAGUAGUCGAAUCAAGCUGAGUUAAUUCCUUCAACCAGAGCUUUCUCCAAUUUGAAUCACAACUUUAAUUUACAUUCUCGUUAUUUUAAUUUGAUUUUUAUUAUUGUCAACAAUUCCCCCAUUUUACAUUUUACGUUUCAAAAGGAUUUAAAUAAUUACCGAUCUCUGUGGACACGACCCUGCUCAAUCACUAUACACAAUUUAUUUAGAGUAGGAAUUUAUUUUUGUUGGCUUCGACAACCAUCAAAUUUUGGCGCCGUUGCCGGGGAUUGGUGUCAUUUAUUUAAUCCUUUUUACGUUUUACUUGGUGUAUGGUUCGUUCUUCUCGUACAGGUACACUUUCGUUUGAUCCUGAAAUUGAGAAGACAGCUCGCCAGCUGAGACAGCAGACGAAGCGAGCUAAGCAACGAUCCUCGUCGCCUUUGCUUUCUGAAACAGAUACGGUGCCUGAUUUAGUUCAAUCAUCUAGCGAUUCGGAAGAACAAGUGAUGAAUAGAGCUGCACCUGUAGAAAGAACUCUUAGAGAGUUAGCUGAACCAGACUUGAAUCAGCAACCACUCUGCAUUCAAUAUGUAGACUUGGAGGUAAAUUUUGAAUUAAAGUCUGGUUUUAUUCAUUUAUUACCCAAGUUUCAUGGUUUUGCAGGUGAAGAUCCUCAUAAACAUCUUAAGGAGUUUCAUGUUGUAUGUUCAAGUAUGAGACCACAAGGCGUGACUGAAGAGCAGAUUAAGCUGCGUGCUUUUCCGUUCUCUGUAGAUGGGCUAGCUAAAGAUUGGUUGUACUACUUGCCUCUUGGAUCGAUUACAACGUGGAAUGGUUUGAAGAAGCAGUUCCUCGAGAAGUACUUUCCUGCUUCAAGAGCUGCCAACAUCAGAAAAGAUAUUUGUGGGAUCAGACAACUUCCUGGGGAGACUUUGUAUGAGUAUUGGGAGCGAUUCAAACAAUUGUGUGCCAGUUGUCCUCAGCAUCAGAUUUCUGAUCAACUUCUUAUUCAAUAUUUUUACGAAGGACUGUCAUUGAUGGAUAGGAGUAUGAUAGAUGCUGCUAGUGGAGGCGUGUUAGUGAACAAGACCCCUACUCAAGCAAGGGAGUUGAUAUCAAAUAUGGCUGCCAACGCACAACAAUUUGGCAGCAGGCAAGAUCCUACUUCAAGGAAGGUGAAUGAGGUAAAUAUUUCUUCUGUUGAACAACGUUUAGAUAAACUUACUUCUCUUGUGGAAAAGUUUGUUGUAGGCAAUGUGCAACAGGUGAAGACUUGUGGCAUUUGUUACAAUAUGGGUCAUUCAACUGAUAUGUGUCCUACACUUCAAGAAGAACCUGUUGAACAAGCCAAUGUAGUUGGAGGAUUUCCAGGCAUGCCUCAGAGGAGGUAUGAUCCUUAUGCACAAACAUACAAUCCGGGAUGGAAGGAUCAUCCCAACUUCAGCUAUGGAGUUAGGCCGUCAGGAUUCCCACAACAGUAUCCACCAAGACAACCAGCACCUCCACAGUCAACCUCCAAGUCAGGUAUAUCUCUUGAAGAAAUUGUUAAAUCGCUUGCGACUAAUACUCAACAAUUUCAGCAGGCAACUACAGCAAGCAUUCAGAACUUGGAGAACCAAAUGAGUCAAUUGGCGACUACAGUGAGCCGUCUGGAGUCUCAAGUAUUAGGGAGAUUGCCUUCACAAUCUGAGGUGAAUCCAAAGCAAAACGUUAGUGUUGUCAUCCUUAGAAGUGGGAAGGAGUUGCAAGAGCCUAGUAAGAAAGUGACAGAGCAUGUAGAAGAUGAGCUUAAGAAGAAUGAAUUGAUGCCUCAAUCUCAAGAUGCACAACCCACCAGAGUGAAACCCCUACCUAUUGUGAUACCUCCUCCUUUUCCAAGCCGGUUUGCAAAAUCCAAGAAGGAGGAACAAGAGAAAGACAUCCUUGAGACAUUUCGCAAGGUUGAGGUAAAUAUUCCUUUAUUAGAUGCUAUUAAACAAAUACCUCGAUAUGCUAAAGUCCUUAAGGAACUGUGCACCUCUAAGAGAAAAUUAAGAGGAGAUGAAAAAGUUCAUAUGGGGGAGAAUGUUUCAGCAGCUCUCCAAAAGAAAUUACCUCCCAAGUGCAAGGAUCCAGGUAUGUUUACUAUCCCUUGCAAAAUUGGUAGUGUUAGAGUCGAGAAGGCUAUGUUAGAUCUAGGAGCUUCUAUUAAUGUCAUGCCUCGUUCCAUUUAUUCAUCUUUGAAUGUUGGUCCAUUAAAAAAAACUGGCGUGAUAAUUCAACUAGCUGAUAGGUCUAAUGCAUAUCCUGAUGGGGUAUUAGAAGAUGUCUUAGUACAAGUUAAUGAGUUGGUUUUUCCUGCUGAUUUUUAUGUACUUGAUAUGGAAGAUGAUAACUCCUCUAAUUCUGUCUCAAUUUUGCUAGGAAGACCUUUUCUUAAGACUGCUAGAACUAAAAUGGAUGUACAUAAAGGGACUCUCACUAUGGAGUUUGAUGGAGAGGUUAUAGAAUUCAAUAUGAAUGAUGCCAUGAAAUAUCCUAGUGAGGAACAUUCGGUAUUUUCUGUGGAUGUUAUUAACCCUAUAGUGCAGGAAGUUUUUUACAAGAAAAAAACGAAGACAUUUCAUGAUAGAAUGAUUUUGAGAAAGGAGUUCUCUGUUGGUCAAAAAGUUCUUCUUUUUCAUUCUAAGCUUAAACUUUUUCCGGGUAAAUUACGUUCUUGCUGGGUUGGACCUUUUAUUAUUACUAAUAUUUUUCCUCAUGGUGCAGUUGAGAUUCGGAGUCCGACCUCUGACAAAGUUUUUAAGGUUAACGGUCAUCGCUUAAAACCUUUUUAUGAAGGUUUUUCGGUGAAUAUUGUGGAGGAUGUGGCUCUCGAGAGUCCCAAUUAUGGAGAUUGAUGCAUAAAUGUGUCUAGCCAAAGACAUAAAACAAAGGCGCUUUUUGGGAGGCAACCCAAAGGAUUUAUUUAUUUUGACUUUUGUUAUAUCUUUUAUUUUUAAUUUAGAUUUAGAUUUUUUUUUAUAAUGUUUUUGCUUAUUUUGGUCAGAAGAAAAUUUUUGAUAAGGCGUGCCCACGUCUUAACUAAUAAGUACUUUUGUGAUUUUUAAAGUAAAAUGGUUUUAAGGCGUGCCCACGUCCUUAUUAGAAAAGUACUUCUGAAAUUCUUUGUGUCUCAAAGUGAUUCAUCACUAAAAAAAAAUUAUUUAUUUAUUUGAAAAUUAAAAAAAAGGAAAAAAAAAACUUUUUUUUCCUUUCUUUUCUUGCUUUUUUAUAUAUAUUUUUUUAUUUGAAAAAAAAACGAAAAAAAAUUUACUGUUCACAAAAUCCCUAAUUCACAGAAUUGGUUUUCUUCUCCAGCUUUCACCGACCAGCCCACGCAGCAGCAGCAGCACGCAGAACCAGCGUCAGCCCAGCCCUCGCGUGCAAUCAACCCCAGCACGCAAAUCCAGCAGCCCACUAGCGCAACAGGACCAGCCCCAGCAGCGCACAGCAGAAUCAGCCCCAGUGCACAGCAUCCCGCACGCAACCAGCGUCACCAGCGCGCAACCAGCAAUCCACCAUCGGGCCAAGCUCCAGCCGAGCAGUAAUCGUCCGCAACCAGCCUACGCCCUUAUUCCAGCCGGGUGAAUCGAAAUCCGUGAGUGAAAUUAUUGUAACAAUGCCGAAGAGGAAAGCAUCAACUUCCAAGUCAUCUAAAAAGACACCCGUCGCAAAGAUAUCCAAGAUUGCCGCUCUCAUUACAGUUUCAUGGAACACAGUUUCAGAUUCACGCCAAGUCGUGAGACAAAGAUCGAACCAUGGAAAAGGCAUGAGUGUUUUGCCACUUGCGGAAUCCAAUCUCGGAGGGUGCCUUGAAUUUACGACUCAACAAGAGAAAGAAAGUUUACUGAACCAGGACCCACUCAACCUCCAAAGAAGCUUUAUGCUAGAAGUGGUGCUACCUCUGAUGACGAGUUUGACGACGACACUGCUGCCCCGCCGACUAUUCCUUCUACAUCCACACCACCUUUGAGCAUUCAGUUAGAGAAAAUGGAGCACAAGUUGAACAAGAUGGAGCAGAAUUUGGCCGCAUACUUCAAGAGUGUAGGAUUUAUCCCACCAUUUCCGCCAAGCUCAUAGACGUUAUGAGGAUCAAAGCUCACAAUUCAGGGAAGUUUUUGCCUUUAAUCUUUUAUCCUUACGCUUUAAUUUUUAUGUGAGCUUUGAUUAUCUUACAUUGGGGACAAUGUAAGUUCUUGGUGUGGGGGAGGGAUUUUUGCAUUAUUGAUGUCUGGAAGUAUUAUUUUCACUCUACUAAUCUAUUUUCAUUCUACUCAUCCUUAAAUGAUUUUGGAGUUAGUAUGCUUCAUAUAUUAUUAUUUUUCUUUUCUUUUCUUUCUCACUACUCUUUUUCCAUCUAUCUCAAAUUAUUUACAUCUAUUUUUAUUCUAUCAUACUCUUUCAUCACUCACAUUUUAUCUUUCACUUUUCAUAUUACUACGUACAUCUUUCUCACUUCUUAUCAUUUUUACCUUUCCUUCACUCAUACAUUCUUCUCAUUCUACACCACUAUUGAUGGUUGAUUCAUUUGAAGAGUGUACAUGAUUUGAUGGCAAAUUUACCAACUUUGUGAGGAUUUGAGCCAAUGAGCAACCACUUUGCUCUAAUUAUUUUUGUUAUGUGAAUAUCAAUCUUAGUUUGUUUAUUCUAGAACUUGCUUUGUUAUGCAUGUUGAAGCCACAUUACGGGAUUUUUUGCAUUAAAAUGAUAAGGGCAAACCAUUUACCAUUUUUCUAUUCUCGCAUUUUCCUUUUUCUCUACCCGAAGACCUUUAUUUGCUACCUUUGUUUGAGCCUUAACCAUUACCCAUCUAAUUCUCUCCGUCUACUUAACCAUUUUUCUUCUUUUUGAGCCUCAAUUUAAAGAGAUUUUUGGACUCAUUGUGUGGAUAUAUUUUGUUGCUUUUUCUACCUUGUAUUAAAGUUUCUCAAUUAGAUCAACAAGCAUUAUGCUUGAAUUAAAUUGUGCAAGGUUCGUUUCUUUUGUUUGAUUCAAAAACAAAACAAAAAAAAAGAAAAAAAAGAACAAAAAAAAAGAAAAAAAAGAACAAAAAAAAAGAAGAAAAAGAAAAAUAAAAAAAAAAGAAAAAAAAGUUUACAUUCUUGGUGACUUGAGUAGAAAUAAGCAUUUUGAUAUCACAAGUUCAUUCAAUGAGUUCAUUCUUCUCAUUUUAAUAUCUUUUUCUUUCGUAAACCUUUCUUUUCCAUUCAACCUAUUUAACCUCAUUACAACCCUUAGAUUUUUGCAUUUUAUUCAUGUUUUGUGGAUUGAGAUGUGAUAUAUGAGCAAGCUUAUGGUAAUAGCAUUCUUUGAUUUGAUUUGAGUGCAUAAAUGAUACCCUAAACACUUUGAGUGCAUGGAGUGAAGUUAUUGAGAGGGCUAUUAAAUCUUGUUGCACUUGAAUUUUGAAUGGAUCCUCUUGGUGGUUGAAUGUUCUUAUUCUAUCUUAUGAAAUUCUAUGCUCUAAAAUCCUUGUCUCUCGAAUGUUGAUCGACUUAAUUUCUUGAGGUAUGCUUGCUUAAAAUUGUUUUUGGAUGAGUUGAGAUGAGAAUUGAGUGGAGAUUUGAGAUUAAUCUUGAGUUAUAUGCUUGAGGACAAGCAUCAUCUUGGUGUGGGGGAAUUUGUUAGAGUGCAAUUUAUGCACUAGUUUUGCAUUGUUUACUUCCCUUAAUAUCGAUGUUUUGCAUUUAAUAAUAGUGAUUUACUUGUGUUUUACUUUUGUAGGUGCAAUUCUAUUGAUUGGUGAUAAAAUUGAGCUAUAAGAUGAUGUUUAAGGAUGAUUGUUCUCUUGGAGAAAUUAUGAGCGGCAGAAGAACUUUGUUGAUAAGGCGUGGGCGCGUGCUGUCAACUGCGGACCUGCAGUUUUUAGUUUAACGUGUUUUGUAUUUUUGGCUAUUUUUUAAUUACGAAUUUAAUAUUUCAAAUAUUAGUAUUUUAUUUUAAAUAGAACUCUAAAAGAGAAGAGAGAGAGAGUAUUUAAGGGAGGAAUCUAUUGUGAAAAAGGAGGGAAUUUUGAUUGGAGAAAAAGAAAAGAAACCCUAGAUCUAAUUUUUCUCUUCUCUCUAUGAAGAACUAAACUUAUUUUUCUGGUUGAAGAAUAAUGAAGCUUUGAUUCAUCACUACUGUGAGAUCUUUCUUGUGCUUUAAUUGUUUUAUUGCUUUUUGGGUAUUUGUUUAUUCUCUGAAUUAUUUUCAUGAUUAUGUUUGUUAAUUAGAUAAUUGGCCACUAUUUAAUUAUCAACUUAAUCUAUUGUCAAUUAAAGGAUUCAUCGUAUGAAGAAUUUAAUGUUUGUGACAAAUAACAUAGCAGAGAGUUGUGUUGUGAGAAUAAACAAUCUAAUUUAAAUAAAUCAUCAUAUGUGUUGAUUAGGAUUUGGGUCUCUCUGGUUUUUUAGGCUGUCAAUUGAUUAAAUCCUAUGAUCGUAUCUAGGGUUGUCUAUUGAUUAGGGAAAUAUCCAACGGUCGUACCUUGGUUAUCGACUAAUUAAGGAGAGAUUGACUAUUGAGGGUCUUAGUAGCUAUAACCGGUCUAUUCAUAAGUAAUAAUAAUUUAUAUUUGAAUCAAUGAUCAGUAGUCGAAUCAAGCUGAGUUAAUUCCUUCAACCAGAGCUUUCUCCAAUUUGAAUCACAACUUUAAUUUACAUUCUCGUUAUUUUAAUUUGAUUUUUAUUAUUGUCAACAAUUCCCCCAUUUUACAUUUUACGUUUCAAAAGGAUUUAAAUAAUUACCGAUCUCUGUGGACACGACCCUGCUCAAUCACUAUACACAAUUUAUUUAGAGUAGGAAUUUAUUUUUAUUGGCUUCGACAACCAUCAAAUAAACAGAGAAAAUAACCGAUCAAUUCUUUGUGCAGUGGCCACAGCAACAGCGAAAAUAUGUCUGCAUGACUACAUUAAUUAAUCCUACCAUCACCAUGCAACAUUAAAUCAACAUUUGAUCAUCUAUCAAUUUUCAUGAUAUGAGAUUAGAAACAUUGAGUUCAUAAUUUCGUGUAAUUUCAUGUACUAGAUGUAUAUAAUUGAUUUGAGUUAGUUUAACAUCUAAAGAAAGAGUAAUGGGGAAUGAUGUCGAUGUGGCAUUUGAUGAGUAAUGAUAGACAACAAAUACUGAUCAUGUAAGAAUGAAGUCUGUAUUUACUGAAAAAUAUUUGGCAAUAAAAUGAUGCUUUAAAAAAUUAAUAUUAGUUGCACGAAAAUAAAUUGGCAACUAAAAUUAAUAGAUAUAUAUCCAAUGCUUCGAGUUUAUUUUAUCACUUCGCUAACAAUUUUGUAACUACAUUUUAAUUAUAAUGUCGAAAAGAGAUUUGAUUUUUGUAUUAAAAAAAAUUAGAAAUGAAACAAGUCAAAAUCAAUCAUAAGAACAACAAUAAGAGCAUAUUUUUAUAAAAACCACAAAUACAUAAUAUAAAUUUAGUUUCGAAUUAGGUGAUUAUUAAUUUACAUAGUAAGAGAGUCUUAUAGAAAAAUAGGAAUUUUUUUAAAAGAGAUUUGCUUAAGGAACAAAUUUAGUAAAUUAACAAUCACCAAAUAUGGUAGGGUGGCAGGCAGAGGAAGCGUGGUUCCUAAUCCUAAUCUUGAGUGAUAACUGGCUAUGUAACAUGUGGCAUUCUACAUUCUUGCAAUGCCAUUAAUUUCUUGUUAUGGCAGCAGCGUUCUUUCAUCAUGGCAUCACAAGCAAAUGUUUGAUUUGAAGACUUGCUUAGCUGAGAAAAAUAAGGAGAGCAAAGGUAAUGAAUUUUGGUGUGAUAAAUAUUUUUAUGGAUGUACUAAGAAAAAUAAAGAUAAUAGAAGUGAUGUUAUUGAGGAGCAUUUUGAUAUUUACCAAAGUGUUCAAAGAAAAAAGUUAUUUUUUGAAAUCUAUUUGCUGGUGCACAUAACAAAAGGGCAUUCUGAGUAAAUUUAAAACUACAAAUAGUUUCACUCUUUUAACAAUAUUCUUCAAUUAAUUCUGUUUAUUUCAAAAUAAAUAUUCUAUCUCUUUAUUACUUUCUAACUAGUCAUGCUAAUAUGCUAAUAAUUAUGAAGAACUAGUGUAAUUUAUAUGAUAUAAGAAGCCCUUUAGCACAUUAACCCGAAUUUAGCUAAUACAUGUGCCUAAUAUAGCGAAAUCAACAUUCAGCGCAUUAGAGUGCCAUUAUAUAUAUUGAGAGAGAAAUUAACACAAAAAACUGAAUAUUAAUUGACACUGGAUCAUAUUGGAUUGUCAGUUGUUAAUUAUGAUGGGAAUACAAUCUUCAUCUUUUGAUUAUCAGCUAGCUAAUGCAUGUGCACUUUCAUUUGUGUCUAUCACUGAAAAGUAAAGUUGCUUGAUUGAGUAGUAUCAUAUCACAGGAACUCCAAACUCAAUUUCAUUGCCGGAGCAUACCAUGCCAUAUGUAGCUUAAAAGUGCAGCUAUCUUAUACUAAUUAUUUAAUACGACUAUUAGCUCUUUAUGAUUAAUUAAAAGAGAAAAUGUUUGACAAUCACGAAAAUAAUAACAAUUCACUCCUAUAAACAACAUAACAAAUACAUGGUCUAUAUUGCAAAUCUUUUUAUGAUUAUAAUUAAAAGAGAAAAUACGAAGACAUAUUAUAUAUAAUAAUUGAAUGUUCUCCUUGAUAAUUAGACAAAAUAACACCAAUCUAGCUAAUUAAUCCAAUCAUCAUACUAAUCCAAUUUUCAUUAUUUAAUUAUGUCCAAUCAUGCUAAUUUAAUAAAGAGCACUGAACACUCGAGUACUUAUAUGUUCAGCAACUUUGGCCGAGUUUGAAAAAGAUUAGAGCUGCAUUUAUGCUUUGUGUUAUUACUUACGACAUGAUCAUAUUAUGUCGCAUUUGUCAGAGAACCGAAAACUGUGGGGGGAAAAAAAAUCCUAAAAGAGAUGUAACGAAAACAAAAUGAGAAAAUAAUGCACACACAUCAUAGCAAUGCUUCAUUCAUUUUGAUUCUAUCUAUACAAAAACUUGUAUCCGAUGGUUUACAUUUGUUUAAUCUAACGGCUAUAACAUGUAUACAGUCAAACGCUACUGCUGCCAUCUUUCUUUGUCCUCGUUGUAUCCUUGAUCUUAUAUUAUCCUGGUGAUUCUUGAAAGAUCUUCUCAUUCUCAUAUGCUGAGUCGCUUGCUGGGAUGAUUAAUACUCGAAGGUCCUUCAUUGAGACAUUUCAGCAAACACCUGAUUCAUUAUAUCAAACAUCUGCAUCACUAAUCGCUAAAAGAUAUAAAAUAGUUCUGUUUUGAAAAAUUGAUAUAAACCAGUCACCUUAGAUUUUCUUAGUCUCAGAGGACAACGGGUGAUGAUUCGAUGAGAAAUAUUAAUAUGCAUGCAUCCGCUGCAUUAGUUAGAGCUGCUUGUCAUUUUCUUCUUUCUUUUGGAUACUAUUUUAAAUUUUUAAUCAGUCUAAUUCAGCUGUAUGUUUGCUUUCAGUCCAAAUCGAACUCAGAUAUUAAGUACUUCUACAGGAAUGGACGCACCCAAAAAUCUAUGGGAUCCGUAGUUCUUGCAGAAGCGGCAGAAUGCUGCCAGCAAUUCAGGCAGAUAGAAGCUUGGUUGAGUGGUUGUUCUUCAAUGUGAAAUUCUACAUAAUGGCGAUCCUUUCAAUGGGGUUUAAAUUUUUUUUUUUUUGAGUUGUUGAUUUAGAGCAGAUUAAGUAACAUGUGGCAUUCUAUAUUCUUGCAAUGCCAUUUCUUGUUAUGGUAUCAACAUUCUUGACCAUGGUUUGAUUUGCGUAAUUUUGCUUUCUGUUUUUGAUAUUUUCUUCGCAUUGUUGUUGUGGGAUUUGUAGAUAGUGUAUAUGUAUGAAGAUAACGUAAUAAAGUGCUUUUGAUAAAUUCCCCUGGUUUGUUUACUUCACUAAUUCAUUAAUGAGCAAGUCCUCUAUAGAGCUGUGUUGUGCGUACAAGUUUUGCUACAUGAAAUCGUUAGGUGAGGAGAAUUUUUAAAAGCAUACAUCAAAGUAAUGAUUAAAGGGACAAAAUCAACGUAAAUAUUGAUUAUCUUGAGUUAGAUUAUACAAAGAUGAAAUAAUGAUAAUCUAAUAAAUUUAUCAUAAUACACUACUCAAAAAUGCAUUUUAAUGACACAAAUUUUAUGACAUACAUCUUUAUGUCAUGAAAAUAUUUGCAUGAUGUAUAAUGCUUUCGUGAUUAUUUGAUGAUAAAUUCAUAAUUGCUGCUGAUAUGAAAUGAAGUGAUGAUAGGUAAAUAUUAUGCGAUUUUUUUUUUAUGGGUAAGAAUAUUUGAACCCACCAAAUUACUCUUUAAACUUAUUUUUUUAUUGAUAAUUUUAUUACAAAAUUACCGAUAAUUUGAAUUACUAUUACAGACAAACAAUAAUUAUAUAAAAUUAUUUUAUUUUUACUCAUUGUUUAAACCUACCGCAAAACUCAAUCAAAGUAUGCCUUUUUUUUUCUUCUGCAAGUUUUUAAUAAGUUCAUCCUUCAUCCACAGUUGAGAACUUUCUAAUUUUUUUUUCUUGUUCUAGUAAUUUGGAUAUGCUGUGUUAGAUACUGAAUUUAUUAAAUUUCUUCUUCUCUUUUGAAUAAAAUCUCUUUAAAAUUCAAUUCAUAAAAAAAUAAAAAAUUAAUCUCCUUCUAAUUUAAUAUGUUUCAGCUGUCUUAGUGGAAUGAUGCAAUUUGUUUCCAUCAAAGUUUUGAAGCAUCCUGAAAUUUUGAGAUCGACAUGAUAACAAAUUAAUUUAAUUCAUGGUGUACUCUAAAUUUUCAGCCACAAAAAAAAUAGCCAAAUUGAAGCGUACCUGGGCAAGAAGAAACUGCGAUUAUACAAUUUCAGUGUUUGACUCUAUCAACAAAAAAGAAAAUAAAAAAGAACUCUCAUUGUUCCAUUGUUUUUCCCAUAAAUAAUGAUAUACAGAGAAUUUAGUUUGAUAAAAGGAUAUAAUAAAUAUUUAGGUGAGUUUAUAAAGUAAAUUUUAAAAAUUUUAAAAUUUAGUAAUGGGUUUAUAAAUAAUUGAGUUCAUAUAAUAUUUUAAUGAAUUCAAAUAACCCCACUCCCUUUUUAUUUUUUAAAAAGAUCUAAUUACAAAAAUACCAUUCCAAUCGGCAGCAUUUUAUAUUUUAUUUUAUUUUUAAAUUACUAGUGACGCACGAAACGGCAUCAUUUAUUGAUAUUUUUAAAUUGUUUAAGAUUUGUUUAAUUAGAAAAUUGCCAUCGUUGAUAUUUAAUUAAUUUUAAAAAAUAAAAAUAAUUAAAUUGGUAAGCUCUACUCCAUCAGUGAUGAACGAAUUGACAAAUUUGCAAUAAGUGAUGAACGAAUUGAUAAGCUCUACUCCAUCAGUUCCUUAAUUGAGAAAAAACCCAAGCCCGUGCAGCGCAGCCUCACAAUUGAUAGAGACCCUAAGCCACCAAACUCGACAAUCAUCACUCAACGUCGUCGCAAGCUACCGGUCGCUCAACAAGCACCAGUUCCUUGCUCUACAGCCAUCGCUCAACCGCUGCCAUUACCUGUUAAUUAUUCGCUUGAAUUAGGGUUCUGAUAUUUGGGAAUUUUUUGUUAGUUGUGGAAUUAUGAAGCAAUGAUGACGAUGACGAAGAUGUGGUGGUUGACGACGGCAAUGGCAACGUUGAAUAUUGAGGCACCGGAGGAAAAAGCAUUGGCUAUGUAUCUUGGUCGAUUUGCCUCGAAUUGAUCACUAAACAUGGGGAUAUCGUGGGCCGAGCUUCAACGCAGUCGCAAAUUUCAUCUGGGUAACUGAAAUUUUUGUUUUGUUUAAUUUGUUUAGAGUUCAAUUGUUUAGAUCUAGGCUAAUUUUUAUGAUUAAACUAUAUGAGUAUGCUUAAAUUUUAUUCCUUCAAAUUUAUUUUAUGAUGUUGCAUUUGGUUAGCAAAAAGAUAAAAAUAGUAGAAAAUGUCAGAAUUAUUGUUAUGAAAAUGUUGUUUUAGUCUGAUAUUGGGAAAAUAUCAUUAUACAUAUUGGCAUGAUAUUCAUGGGAGACAAAAUUGAGAAUGAUGACAGACUAUGCAUUGCUCACAACUAAUUUAAAACUCGCUAUUUCUAUUGUUUGUGUUUCAGUAACUUCGGGGGAAUUCCAACUAUAUUUAAUAAGCUAUAAACUUGUUUAGGAUUACUAAUCAAUUUGCUAGAAAGAGUUGCAAACUAAUUAGCUUUCUCUUAUAACUUUUACAGAUCAUCUGUGGAGGAGAACUGCAAGGAGUUGAAGACUCUAGACCCUAAACUUCAUAUCUUGAUUUAUAAGUGCAAUGGGCAUAAGUUCGAAUUAUGGGCUGGAGAUGGUAUAUGUAAUCUUUCUACUCUUGGUGUUUUUUUUUUCCUCUAGUUAUUUUUUGUUCUCUACUCCAUUGUAUAUUUGUAUUCAAAAGUAUUUUUUCUUUGCUUUAAGCUUUUAAAUUUAUGGAGAUGAUCUUAUUAGGUGUUAAAAAAAAUAGCUGUAGAGCUUUACUAAAACUAUGUAAACUCUUAUUGAGAUUUGGGUUUGAUUUUGUAAGAUUGCUAAAAAUUUCAUAUUUUAUACUUGUUUUAUACUUUUCUAGUUGAAUUUCUUGCUUGUGGAAGAUAAAAUAAAAGUCCAAUUCAUGUUGUAAAAUUUUUUUUCCUCCCUUCUUUCUUUCCUUAUAAUCUGGCUCUGGCUUUGGUGCUAUGCUUGGUGCAGUUUAUGGUUUCAAUGCAGGGAACCAAUUUCAUCAUAAUCAUCUUAAAGGAUCAAAAUGGCUUUCUUUUGUAACUGGGUAAGUCAAUGCUACUUCCUGAAUUCGAUUUGGAGUUCUUUCGGAAUAGAUUUCCUUCCCUUACAUCACUUGGCUUCUAGUUGCAUCUUCUUGGCUUUCUCCAGCGGACUUUUUUAUUGGCAAAUUCCUUUGUUUCUAUUGUUUUCAAGUGCUAGUGCUGGAUUUAGAGGUUAAAUGGUGCCUUCAUUUUUAUUUUUUAUUUUUUUAUUUUGGGAGUAUAGUACUGUAAUAUACUUCUUUGUAUAGCUAGUACAAAAUAGUUCUUCAACUUCUUACUUUUGGCUUUAAUGGGUUCGAUAUAUGAUAGCGGAGCCCUAUCACCAUUUGAUGUCAGACAACAAAUAGGGGACAGAUGGGGUUAGAAAAAUAAGAAACAUGACCAAAAUAAAAAUCUAAUCUACUCAUAUAAGCAGCUCAUCAAAUAAGUGUGUCACAUACUUAAGUGAAUAAGAUUCCGUGAUUUCUAGGAAUCCAAGUCAAAUUAUAACAUUCUUUAAAUAAGACUCACAAGCUUAUUAGGUGUUAUAUUGAAUCAUCUAAGUUGAAUAAUCUUUUGGGUUGAAUAUGUUAAUUUCUUAUUCCAUAUGUUUCAGCCUCUCAAUAGUUGAAUUAGCAAUGAAAAUUUGAAAAUGGAAAAACUCAAUGCAAUUAUUUUAGGUGCUUAUCAUAGAUAAGAAUUUCACUUUUUACACUUCAUUGUCUGUUGUCAAAUUUAUUAAGUAUGAACCCGGAUUAGGUUUGUGCUCUCAAGGAUUUAUAAAUAAGUGCUACUUGACUUAGAUGUAAGAAAAUUGAAAAGCAGAGUUGCUUGAUUGAAUAGCUUCAUAUUUUACAUCAUAGAAACUCAAUUUUCAUUGCCAUAUGUAGCUCAAAAGAGCAUGAACAUUGAACAUUCAGCUAAUUUAUACUAAUUAAUUAACACAACUAUCAGUUCUUACUUCUUGGUACCCGGCAACAUCCAUCCAUAAGAGUGAAACCCCCAUUGAUUUCAUAUAUACAAAAUAAAUAACUUACAAAGACAAUACCUGACAAUCACAACAAAAACACCAAUUCACUCCAAUAAACAACAUAACGAAUACAUGGUUUAAAUUGCAAGUCUUGUUACGAUUUUAAUUAAAAGAGAAAAUGUGAAGGACAUGUUAUAUAUAAUUGAAUGUUAUCCUUGAUAAUUAGACAAAAUAGCACUAAUGUAGCUAACUAAUCCAAUCAUUGUAAUAAUUGGAUUUUCUUUUUUUAAUUAUGUCUAUUGAUGCUAAUUUAAUCAGGAACACUGAAUACUUGAGUGUUUUUAUGUUCAACAGCUUUGGCUAAGUUUGAAAAGAUCAUAUUAAUUAUUAAUAUAAAUAAAUAAGCCAACAAGGUACAUAUUACAUAUAUGUGUAGUUGCAAUAAAUACAUAUGUAAUAAAGAUCAUAAAGCUCAGGGCCAUUAAUUCAACAUUACCAAAUCAAUAUCCCAAUAAUGGUUUGAUUACUAAUCUAAGCAUUAAAUGAUCAGCAAACUUUAUUUGGCCAAAACAAAUGCUUCCUUGUUGCCUCCUUGAUCUUUUCCUGGCUGGUGAUUCCUGAAUGUUCUUCUCAUUUUGAUAUGCUGAGUCGUUUGCUGAUUAUAAAUGCUAAUCACCUUGAAUUUUCUUAGUCUUCUUCUUCAUGUGAAAUUCUACCUAAUGGCUAUCCUUUUAUCUGGUUUGAAUUCUUCUUUUUUCUUUGAAUUGUUGAUUUCUAAUGUUCUUGUCAUUCGCACAUGUGACGUUCUGCACUCUUGCAAUGCCAUUUCUUAUUAUGGCAGCAGCAUUCUUGGUCAUGGCAUCACUAGCAAAUGCUUUUGAAUUGCUUUGUUUGAUUUUUGUUUCUAAUAUUUUUUUUUUGGCAUUGUGGGAUACUGUUUCUCUUUUGAUUUUCUGUCUUUGUUGUUAUGGGAUUCUGGCAUAGUAUGCAUCAGUACACGUAUGAAGAUGAUGUGAUAAAGUGCUUUUGAUAAAUUGCCCCAGUCAGUUUACUUCACAAACCAACCAUUAAUGAGCAAAUCCUUCUAAUGACCCUUGUACACAUUAGAAUAAAUACAAUUCUAUUUAUACACAAAAAUAAAUAACUCUCAAGUAUAUUAUUUGAUAAUCGCAAAAGCAACAAUUCACUCCAAUAAAUCUCAUAACACACUCAUGGUCUAUGUUGCAAGUCUUUGUAGAGAAAAAAAUGAAGGACACACAAUUAAAUUUUUUCUAUGAUAAAGAACUCUAAACAAAUUCAUAUACAUAUUGCAGUACCCCUUACAAAUUCAUUUGUUUCUUUUUUUUUUUAGAAGAAAAUAGACUUUCUAUUAAGCAAAAUUUUUAAAAAUACAAGCAAUCUCAUUCGGGAAAGAGUCCAUCCAAACACUAGACUUUUUACUCUUGAGGGCAUACUUAGCUAAUCUAUGAGCAAGUUCAUUGGUGAAUCUAGGGGUGUGUUGAAAGGUAACCUUGUGAAAGUCACCUGUCAUAUCUUGAGCAGCGGAUAUCACCCAGCAAAUUUCUGUUUUACUCCAUUUCUUAUGGUUGACCAGAUCAACAACUUCCUGGCAGUCUGUCUCAAUGAUAAUCGAUGUCAAUUGAACAUCUUUGGCCACUUGAAGUCCCAGCUCGACAGCCUCUGCUUCUGCAAACUGCACGUCCAAGCUUAGUCUUGAUGGUUUAACUGCAGCUGCCACUACUCUUCCUUUAUCAUCCCUGAUAACAGCCCCCAAGCCUACUGAUUUAGCUUCAACAUUGAUAGCAGCAUCCACGUUAAUCUUGAAACUUCCAGCAGGGGGUGCAGUCCACUGAUGAUGCUUCUUGUCUUCUCGGUUUGCAGCUUGAGAGCUUCCACCAUGCUUCACUCUUCGAUAGUCUUCGACUAUAGCUUGGGCCUUUGCAGCUGAGACAUUUGAGUUAAUUUUCUCCCCUUUGAAAAGCAGCCGAUUUCUAGCAUUCCAAGUAAUCCACCAGGUAGCACCUAAUAAUUCCAAAUCUGCUUUGCACAGCCUCUUAGACAUCUGAAACCACACUUCCAGCAUAUCUUGCCCUUUAUAAACUUCAAUGCCUUUAUCAGCUAGGAUUGACUUCUUCCAAAUCUUACCCGCUGCUUUGCACUCGAUCAGGGCAUGAGAAAUAGUUUCCACGCUUCUUCUGCAAAUUUGGCAUAGAGGGGAUGCAGUCACUUUCUUUUUCCAUAAAUUCUCCACCAUUGGUAGCAUGUUUUGAGCAGCUCUCCAUAAGAAGAUUUUUGUUUUUUCAGGCAGCUCCAAUCUCCAUAUGGCCUUCCAGUAACAAGAGCAAUCCUCCGAGGUGCUGGGGAUAUCAGGAUAUUUCAGUCUUAGAGCAAUCUGAUAGCCGCUCUUAACUGUGUACAUGCCUUUCUUGUCAAAAUGCUAGCAAACUUCAUCCAUCUUUGGGCUUCUAGGGAGAGGGAUCCUCAUUAUGGCUGCUGCAUCUUCUUUAUUAAAGUGCUCCAAAAUUAGAUCUGCUUUCCACUGGUUCCUUGCAUCAAUUAGCUCUGCCACUUUAGCAUCCUCCGACAGAGAUGGUACUGAGAAGGGUUUAAACGUAUUUGGCCUUGGGAUCCAAUUACUCUUAUAAACUUGCACCAUAUCGCCUCUACCUAUUCUCCAUCUAGCCCCAUUUUUUAAAACUUGUCUACCCCACAACAAGCUCCUCUAGAGGAAGGAUGGGUUUGAUCCCAAGUUAGCAUUCCAGAAAUCUGAACAUUUAAAGUAUUUGGCUUUUAGAACUUGGGCAGUCAAAGAAUUCGGAUCCUGAAGUAUUCUCCACCCCUGCUUUGCCACCAUCGCUUGGUUGAAACUACAAAAAUCUCUAAAGCCCAUACCACCUCUACACUUUGCAUGGCUUAGUCUCUCCCAUCUUGUCCAGUGAAUUUUGUGUUUGUCUUCCUUGGAGCCCCACCAGAAUUUUGCUACCGCUCUUUGAAUAUCUUCGCACAGCCCGAUAGGGAGCUUAAAAACACUCAUGGCGUAGGCUGGAAUCGCUUGAGCUACUGCCUUAAUUAACACCUCUUUCUCUCCAGUUGAAAAGAAUUUAUCCUGUCAAUUAGAUAUCUUACUCAAUACCCUGAGCUUUACAUCAUUAAAAAAGCUCAUCUUUUUCCGACCAAUCAUCGAAGGCAGCCCCAAAUACUUCUCGUGUCUCGAUAUUACAUUGAGCUGGAAGAUAUUUUUAAUGGUUUCAGCUUGCUGCUCACUCACCUUGCCGCCAAAGAACAACGAUGACUUCUCAUAGUUGAAUAUUUGCCCUGAGGCUGAUGCAUAAGAGUCAAACAAAGCUUUCAACUGAUUACACUCAUUUGUUGAGGCUCUUGCAAAAAUUAAACUGUCAUCAGCAAAUAAUAAGUGAGUGAUGGAGAUCUCCUGCCCAAACCAUAGCCCAUGGAUCAAGUUUUGUCUUUCUGUCUGCAGCAACAGAUUUGAAAAAGCUUCCGCACAUAUAAGGAAUAGAUAUGAAGAUAGAGGGCACCCUUGCCUAAGACCUCUUUGAGCACGGAACAGCCCUUUGGGUUUUCCAUUUAUGAUUAUAGAAAAAUUUGCUGUUGUAAUACAAUUCAAAACUAGCUUUAUCCAUUUAUGCGAAAAGCCUAGCCGCUCCAUAGUUUGUUCAAGGAACCUCCAUUCCACUCUAUCAUAGACCUUACUAAUAUCUAGUUUUAAAGCUACCAACCCCUUUUUUGUACUUUUAUUAUGCCUAAUUUUGUGAAGACAUUCAUACCCAAUAAUAAUGUUAUCUGUGAUAAGUCUAUUAGGAAUAAAAGCACUUUGUGUAGGUGAGAUAACUUGAUGCAGGAUCUAUUUUAGUCCAUUAGCCAUAGUCUUCGCCACUAUUCUGUAAAUCACAUUACACAAAUUUAUUGGCCUAAACUCGGUCACCUUUUUAGGCUUGGCAACCUUCGGGAUAAGAGCUAUAUAAGUGUGGUUAAGUGGAGUAACAUCACCUUGUGCAUUGAGGAUGUGUAAGCAUGUGUCGAUGACUCCGCUGCCGACAAUUUGCCAAUGCUUUUGGAAGAACGCUGCUGGUAGCCCGUUAGGUCCAGGAGCCUUAGUUGGACACAUUUGGAAUAGAGCGUCAAAGAUCUCCUCAACUGUGAAUGGUUGAUCUAAUGCUUUAUUCAUCUCUACAGUCACCUUUGGGUUCAGGCCUGCUAAGACAUCAUUGAUUUGGUUUUGGUUUGGACUUGAGGUUGUGAACAGAUCUUGGAAAUAUUCACCAAACUCUCUCUCAAUCUCUUCUCCAUCUUCCAGCCAAUGCCCUUGCUGAUUUUCAAUGCCAGAGAUCCUAUUCUUUCUCCUUCGCGAUGAAGCUUUAAAGUGAAAAAACUUCAUGUUUUUAUCCCCCUCCUUAAGCCAAUCAGCCCUUGAUCGUUGCUUCCAAUAAAUCUCCUCAUCAGUUAAUAAGUUGUUGAUCUGUCUUUCCAGGUUCUUGAUUUCAGCACCAUUGUCAUACUACAAAUUAUUGCUUACAGCACACUGGAGCUUUUCCAUCAGAAUUUUCAGCCUUUCUUUUCGCUCCCCGAACUCUCCUUUACUCCACCAUUGCAAUUGGGCCAUCGUAGCUUUUGAUAGCCUUUGGCAAAUCUGCAUUGGAUUUAUAUCAUCUUUACAACCAACACCUGACCACACCUCCUUAACAAUAUUUUUACAGCCUUCAUACGGAGUCCAAAAAUCCUCAUAAUGAACUCUAGAGAAAGUUCUUUGAUCAUAGCUUACUCUACUUUUUUUCUCUUGAACAUUCAUCACAAGCAAAUUAUGAUCUGAUUCCCACAUAACCAUGUUUGUCACAGUCUCUUCCUGAAAAAGGUUCCCCCAAUCCUUACUACAUAAAGCUCUAUCCAGCCUCUCUUCAAUAUGGUGAGAUCCGAAUUGUCUAUUGGACCAUGUAUAGGGAUGCCCUUUAUACCCCAUGUCAAUAAGGUUACAUUCAUAAACUACUUCUCUGAAUUCGGAGAUCAUGCUUACAUUUCUAGCAUUCCCACCAGAUUUUUCAUUUGGAUGCAUAAUUUCAUUGAAAUCACCAAUGCAGAGCCAAGGCAGAGGAGACAAACCUUUCAAUCUUCGCAUCAAAGUCCAUGUAUGCCUUUUUUGCUGAGCUUCUGGAUGACCAUAGAUUCCGAUACAUCUCCACCUUUUACCACUCUCAUUUUGAAUUAUGGCGUCAAUAUGAUGGCUACUGUAAGAGGUAAUGUUUACAGUUAUCUCUGAGUUCCACAUCAUUGCCAACCCCCCACUCAUCCCAGUUCUACUAACCGCAAAAUAAUUAUCUAAGUUCAGUCUUCUACACUCUUCAUCUGCUUGCCUAGACAAUAGCUUUGUUUCAUAGAGAAACAAUAGCUGAGGCCUAUGCAAUUGGAGAAUUUUCUUCAUUGCGAGACGCGUUCGGGGAUUCCCCAAACCCCGAACGUUCCAGCUUACGAGUUUCAUGGCUGUCGGCGGGGCUGGCUCCCAGCCUCCGCCGCUGAUUUCUCCAUUUGCUGAACUGUGUCACUUUCAUCAGCCUUUCCUUUGGUUUCCCAGGCCAGCUUCAGCUUUGGCGCUAUGGGAGUUUCCUGGGGGCUCACAUUCUUCAACCUCUUACUGUUUGGACUCGGCCAAUCUAAUUCACUGCAUGACCUUUUCAUAGAAGUAGGUCCACCAGUCAUCUUGGUAGUAAGGUUUGAGUCUCUAGCUUGCGUUUUCCACUUUCGGCUCUUUGAGUGAGAUUUUGGUUUCGUGGGCUCAAGAUUUGAUUCUGUGCCUCUUGAAGACCCCUGGGUUUGGUUUUCGUUUUUGGCAUGUUGGCCCAUCAAGCCCAUUUUUCGUUCCCCACUCCUCAAUGCAUCUACUUUCUCUUUCCCGCCUAAGUUUCCUUUUGUCUUGCCCUCUGCUCUGUGGAUUUCCCCAGUUGUAGCUGCUGCCCCAGCAAGCUUUUCAUAUUCUAGGUACGACUCUCUCGAUUCCUCAGCCGCUUUCAUUAAUGAUUCCUCACCUACUUCUGCCACAUAAGUCACCUCCACUGACAUUUCCUCAUUGGGGCUAUCCAUUUGGGUUGCACCCGAUCCAUCAUGCUUACUCGGGUUUGGGUUUCUUGGUUGCUCUUUCGGUUUUGGUUGUAUCUGUAUCUUAACACUUGUGUUUCCGGUGGUUGCAUCUGGUUGAUCAUCCCUCCUACCUUUUCUGUUUUUGCCUUUGUUGAGCUUAGCUAAUUCAAAAGGGGUAAGUGCUUUCAUCCAUCCUCCAUAACUGAGCUUCUCCUUUGGUUGGCCCUUGUACUGGAUGCAUUCCCUAAACUGAUGUCCAAUAAGUCCACAGCAGAAGCAAAAAUCUAGUAGCCUCUCAUACUUACUAAGCAUCACAAUAUCUUCCUCGACUUCCUGUUUUAGUAUAAGGAUUCUCUUUAAUGGUUUAGUAAUGUCCACUGAAAUUCUCACCCGAGCAAAAGGACCUAUGCAUUCCCCUUCUUCGUCGGUCUCUACUUCCUCCACUCGUCCUAUCUUUUCCCCCAAUUUUUCAAUGGUUCCUUUCACCAUACACUUGAUGGGCAUUCCAUGGAUUUGCACCCAAAAGGAUGUAUGUGUAAAAGGCUGCCAUUUUAUGCUCCCCAUUCCCACAGGUUCUACAAGCACAAUUAAAGCUUUGUCGAAAUGUCAUGGCCCUUCUGUCAGUACUCUCUUUUUAUCGUGUUCUGUAGCAAGCUUAAAGACAAAAAUGUUGUCUCCCUGACUCUCCACCUUAAUCUCCUUAGUGGUUUUCCAAGCUAGUUGCAUUGCGUAUCUCAACCCCUCCUUAUUUACAUCUCUGUUGAGAAGAAUCUUACCCACAAGACAAUGGGCUGCUACCCUUUCUCCAUCCUUUUCCAUUUCUCCGAUGAACAUGACUGCAUCCUCUUCUUCCUCCUUCAAAGUGAUAGACUUACAUCUACGUAUGAACUCCUCUGUAUCCAUUUUCUGAUCUCGUAUUUAAACCUUCCUUAAUAAAUGGCUCUCACCAACCACUACUUUCGCAACAAAUUAAGUUCUUCAGAAAGUAACCAACCACCCGCCAACAGUAGUUAAGCUUCUGUAUUUGACUGCCUUUUACACUACUUCCAGAACUUAAAUGCUGAAAAAACACCCAACAUGUGAGUGACGUAAAUCGGGUUAUGGCAACCCCCCUAUUCUUCCAUACCGAGUUCUUUUUCUAGAGAGGAAAAGAACUCUCAUAGGAGAUCUCCGUUUGAGGCGUAUUUUUAUCACUUAACUUUCUAUUGAAAUUUUCAAAUUCAUUUGUUUCUUCUUUUCCUUUGAUUAAGUGCUAAUUAUAGCCUUGAUAUUUCAUUUGGUUUUAGUUAAUUUUCUAUAGGGUUGUGUUGUGUGAAAUUAAUUACAAAACAAUCUUUAACGAAGUCUUAUGAAAAUACCAUAUUAUAACUACAAAGUUAGGCUUCCUAAUCAAGCUACUGUUCAUCAGAUUGUGUAUUGUGUUACUGGUGAGCUCUUAUGUCAAUUAUGACCAGACGGCGCCUUGGCUAACUGUGAGUUAUGUGCGAACAUAAGAGCUGCAAAUGAGUUAUGUACUAUUUUUAUGUGACAAGGUAUGUGCUCUGUUUUUAUGGUCUUUCUCUCUGUAGUUCGCUCUGUAGUUUUUUUUUUUGGGAUACAUUGAUAAUAAAUUUAGAAGUCUACUAAUAUGUACAACCAGAAACCUAUUAGGGACUUUUUGUCUUUUGAUGCAGUUGUAGGGCACAGCUCAAAUAUUCUUUCCUCAUUUAAUAUUGGAGAAAUCCGACUCCCAAGCGAUUCUGUCUACGGUUGUUGGACAAACUGUAAUGUGAAUUUCUAUCUAAUGGGUGUGAUCAUCCUUGCAGUCAGUUUAGGAUUGUUGAUAUAGAUAUGAUGUUUAGUCUCCAAAAUUCAGAUGAUGAUAAUCUUGUGAGUACUUUUUGUCAUAUUUUCUUUUGUGUUGGUGUUGGGAUCUUAAUUUUGUAUCCAAUGUCAGGACAAUAUGAACCCAUUUUAAGUGAUAUGAUGCAAGUUCAUGUUCAAGAAUCUAUUUAAUGAAACAUUCCAGUGUUUAAUAAUGAUGAAUAAUUGGUUUAAGAUUAAUACCAAAUAUUUUAAGUAACAUGUGGCGUAUUCUAGUGAGAUCCUCCAACUCAGAUUUCUAACUCAAAUGGAAACGUUUCGAAUUUCUUCAGAACAUUCUGCAGAACGGUUCGUCUUGUCUUUACAGUUUCUUUUGUGAAUUUCUCCCAGUUUCUUUUGUGAAGACUUCUGAAUAAGCUUCCAGAUAUUGAGAUACAAUCCAAUCUAAGCCCAUACGUUUAUCCGCCUCACAUUUGUCCAUUUCCCCAGAAAAUCAAAAAGCACUUUAGUUCGAAACAAACACUCUAAAAAAAACCAUCUAGCUACCCAGAUGGCGAAAUCAAGAAUCUUGCAAUGGCAAUGUCAUCUCUUGUUAUGGCAGUAGCAUUGAUGAUCAUGGCAUCACAAGCAAAUGCUCUGAUGCCGUACACACGAUCACCUUUCUUUGACGUGAUGUUCCCAAUGACGGAAGAUCCUUUCAGGGUUCUUGAACAAACCCCGUUAACAAUCCCAAAAGAGCUGAACAUCAUCAAACUCUAGCACUGGCGAGAGCAGACUGAAAGGAGACACCAACAUCACACGUGAUCACACUCGACAUUACAGGGAUGAAGAAAGACGAUGUGAAGAUUGAAGUUGAAGAGAACAGGGUACUGAGAGUGAGUGGGGAGUGGAAGAGCGAUGAUUAUUAUAAGGAGGAAGUUGAAGGAGAAAAAUGGCAGAGUAGAGAGAACAUUUGGCAAGUUUUGGAGGCAGUUCAGGAUGCCUAUGAGUGCUGACUUGGAUCAUGUUAAGGCUCAUUGGGAAAAUGGUGUUCUGAGGAUCACAGUGCCAAAACUCGCUGAGGAGAAGAAGAGGCAGCCUAAGGUUAUUAACAUUGAUGAAGAGCCUGGUAAUUCUUCCGGUGAAAAUAUUAAGGCGGCUAAGGCUCAAAUGUGAUUGAUUAAAGAAAGAAGUACUUGCUUUGCUUGAUGUGCUAUUUGUUUUGUGAUCUUUUCUUGGUUUUGUUGUGGGAUGUUUUUCUUUGGAUGUUCUGUUUAUUGUAUUUUGAUGGAUUUUUAAAGAUGGCUUGUAUGUAUUAACAAUAAUAAAGUGUUUUUUUUAAAUCCGGGUCCUAAAUUUGUAAAAGAAAUUAAUAAUACGCUUGGUUUCUUGUUAAUAAAAAUAAAAAAGAAGUCUCUUUUUCUUUAGCAUAUAUUAUGCAUUUUAAGGAAAAAAAAUUAUCACAUUCUAAUUCAUAAAGAUAUUCCUCUUCUGUCAUAUUAAUGUGUUAAUACCAAGGUCUAUUGGAAUUAUAAUAGUUUAGAUGAAUCCAAAAUAUUCAAUAAUUGAUAAAUAGUAUAUAUAAAUAUUAAUAGCAAUGGCACAUAAUCAAUUAAUUCAAGAAUUUGCCCACAGUGCAUUAAGUUAAAAGAGUAAAAAUAACAUUGCAAUCAGGGAUAUUUAUAACACUGUUGCUGAUGAGGCAGCUGUUAAUUCUUUUGGUGAAGAUGUUAAGGCCACUAAAGCUGGAACGUAAUCAGGGAAAUAUAAUGUAUUCACUUAGUUUGCUAUUUGUGUUUUUAUAUUUGUUUGGCUAAUUCUUUGAUCAGAUUGCUUUUUGUUUUUGAGAUUUUAUUGGCUUAGUCGUGGGAUAUUAUUUAAUCUUUUAAUUUUGUGUUUUUAUUGUUAUGGGAUUUGAUGAUGGCAUACAUAUAGGAAAAUUAUGUAAGAAAGUGCUUUUAAUAAAUUAUGGUCGGUUUACUAUUAAUUAACUAAAUUUAAUUUACUCAAAUUACUCCUAUACACGAUCAAAAUAAUUUCAAUUCCAUGAUAUAAAUACGCCCGUGCGGACACACAAAAUGUAAAUAACUUUCAAAUACAAAAUAUUUAAAAUAAUCAUCAUACUAACAAUUCACAAGUUAGAUUAUAAUAAGGCCACCAAGACUUAAAUGUAAUUGAUUAAAGAAAGAAGUGCUUGCUUUGCUUGAUGUGCCAUUUGUCUAUGAUGUUUUCUUGGUUUUGUUGUGUGAUGCUUCUCUUUAGAUGUGCUGUUUAUUGUAUUUUGAUGGGUUUUUGAGGAUGGUUGUAUGUAUUAGCAACAACAAGGUGCUUUUUUAUAAAUCCGGGUUCUAAUUUUGUAAAAGAAAUUAAUACUCUCGGUUUAUUGUUAAUAAAAAAGAAAAAAGAAAAAACCUUUUUUCUGUGGCAUAUAUUUUGCAUUUUAAGAAAAAAAAAUCACAUUCCAAUUCAUGAAACACAUUCCUUCUGUCAUAUUGAUGUGUUAAUAGAAAGAUCUAUGUGAAUUAUAACAAUUUUAAUGAAUCUAAAUAUUUAAUAACUGAUAAAUUGCAUUUAUAAAUAUUAAUACCGGUGGCACAUAAGCACUUAAUUCAAGAACUCCCCUAUGGUGCAUUAAUUUAAAGAGUAGAAAUAUUUAAUAAAUCAUGCUCGGUUUACUAUUAAUUAAUCAAAUUUAAUUUACUCAAAUUACUCCUCUACAUGAUCAAAGUAAUUUCAAAUAUACAACACACAAAAUGUAAAUGACUUUGAAAUAUAAAAUAUUUAAAAUAAUCACCCCCACUAACAAUUCACCAGCAAGAUUAUAAAUAGUCGAAAUAAUGAUAAUCUAGGAGGUCCAGUCAUAAUAAUUUGAUUUUUAUUUAUAUUAAUUAUAUCGAAUCAUACUAUUUUAAUAAGAAAGAGUACACGAGAUUAUAUAUAUCCAACAGGGGCUAAAAUUUCAAAACAAUAUUUGCCAAAGUCUGAUGAAGAGAAUACAUACAUAUAACAUGCACUCGCACACAUUUUAUUGUUUAAUUAAAAAAUUCGAAAGUCCAUUAUAUACAUGAUAAAGACUCACCGACACCGAACCAUAUUCAUUUAAAGGAAUUGUUUUCAACUGAGAUUUGAAAUUAUAUACACAAACGCAUCCAAUUGAAAAAAAAAAUCAAAAUAAUUAUAAAGUAUUUCAGUCAUCCUCUGUUCAAUCAUAAAAGAAUAAAAUCUAUGCGAACACGCGGUAUAUGGGUUAACAAGUCCCAAUAUUGUCCUCCAUCCUUUCUGCACUUCUCUGCUAUCAACGGACAUGCCUCGAUCUGUAAUUGCAAAAGUGAGGAAGGCAAGCCCUUCUCCGGAAAGUAUUUGAGCUUGGGACAAUCAAUGAGUCGCAAUUCAGUGAGGUUUUGAAGAUCAACAAUUGAAGAAGAUAGGCGUUCCAGAUUUGGAAAUCUACAAAUCCACAGAGAUGUUAGAGAGGCAGGAAGAGGAAGCGCGGUCCCCGAUCCUUUGUCAUCUGCCUUUGGUGGGAAUGACACCAUGUCGUCAUCACAUUUAAUGAUUCUAAGUUUUCGCAGAGAGGAGAAUCUGUGAAAUCCCCGGCCCCACUCAAUCAUUUGUGGGGGACAAUCCUUUCUGUACUUCUCUGCUAUCAACGGACAUCUAUGGAUGUAUAAACGCAAAAGUGAGGAAGGCAGGCCGUUCUCUGGAAAGUAUUUGAGCCUGGGACAAUUAUAGAGUUCCAAUGAAGUGAGGCUUUGAAGAUCAACAAUUGAAGAAGAUAGCCGUUCCAGAUCAACAUUUUUAUGGGGGUACUAAGAAAAAUAAAGAUAAUAUAAGGAAUGUUGUUGAGGAGUAUUUUGAUAUUUACAAAAGUGUUCAAAGUAAAAAUUGAUUUCUUAAAACUCAUUAGCUAGCGCACAUAAUAAUGGGGAGUAAAUUUUAGACUACGAAUAGUCCCACCCAUUUAAUAAUAUUCUUCGAUCAAUUAUGUUUACUUCAAAAAAAAAAAAAAAACCCAUCUGUUUAUUACUUUCUAACUAUUCAUAUUAAUGUGUUAAUAAUUAUGAAGAACCGGUGUAAUUUAUAUGAUGUAGGAAGCACUUUAGGCAAAAUCAUCUGAAUCUCAAAAUUUCGUGAUAUUGUGCCAAAUAUCCAAAACAGAGCUUCCUACAUUGCUAUAGCAGUUUUUAAAAGUUGAGGAGUCCAAAUAUCCAAUAACUGAUAAAUUGUGUUAAGAAAUAAAAAUAUUAAUGGUGAUGACACAUACGCAUGGAAUAUCUAUAUCCAACAGGUAAAAUUUCAAAACACCAUUUGCCAAAGUCUGAUGAAGAGAAUACAAAUACACACGCGCGCGCUCAUAUAUAUAACCGCACAGCAGAAGGAUAUAUAAAAUAAAUUGAAGUUUCAACAGUUGAACAAUGCAAACUCAUUUUAAAAAAGCCUUCUAUUGUUUAAUUAAAAAAUUCGAAAGCCAUUAUAUACAUGAUAAAGACUCACGGACACCGAACCAUAUUAAUUUAAAAUUAUUUUCAACUGAGAUUUGAAUUUUGAAAUUACAUACACCAACACGCCCGAUUUAAAAAAAAACUAAUAAUAAAAUAUUUAAGUCAUCCUCUGUUCAGUCAUCAAAAACCAAUUUACGAUUUAUUUCAACACAAACACACCCGAUCUAAAAUAAAAUCAAAAUAACAAUAAAAUAUUUCAACCGUCCUCUGUUCAGCCGUCAAAAACGGAUUUCCAAUCUAUGCGAACACGCGGUAUAUGGGUUAACAAGUCCCAAUAUUGUCCUCCAUCCUUUCUGCACUUCUCUGCUAUCAACGGACAUGCCUCGAUCUGUAAUUGCAAAAGUGAGGAAGGCAAGCCCUUCUCCGGAAAGUAUUUGAGCUUGGGACAAUCAAUGAGUCGCAAUUCAGUGAGGUUUUGAAGAUCAACAAUUGAAGAAGAUAGGCGUUCCAGAUUUGGAAAUCUACAAAUCCACAGAGAUGUUAGAGAGGCAGGAAGAGGAAGCGCGGUCCCCGAUCCUUUGUCAUCUGCCUUUGGUGGGAAUGACACCAUGUCGUCAUCACAUUUAAUGAUUCUAAGUUUUCGCAGAGAGGAGAAUCUGUGAAAUCCCCGGCCCCACUCAAUCAUUUGUGGGGGACAAUCCUUUCUGUACUUCUCUGCUAUCAACGGACAUCUAUGGAUGUAUAAACGCAAAAGUGAGGAAGGCAGGCCGUUCUCUGGAAAGUAUUUGAGCCUGGGACAAUUAUAGAGUUCCAAUGAAGUGAGGCUUUGAAGAUCAACAAUUGAAGAAGAUAGCCGUUCCAGAUCAACAUUUUUAUGGGGGUACUAAGAAAAAUAAAGAUAAUAUAAGGAAUGUUGUUGAGGAGUAUUUUGAUAUUUACAAAAGUGUUCAAAGUAAAAAUUGAUUUCUUAAAACUCAUUAGCUAGCGCACAUAAUAAUGGGGAGUAAAUUUUAGACUACGAAUAGUCCCACCCAUUUAAUAAUAUUCUUCGAUCAAUUAUGUUUACUUCAAAAAAAAAAAAAAAACCCAUCUGUUUAUUACUUUCUAACUAUUCAUAUUAAUGUGUUAAUAAUUAUGAAGAACCGGUGUAAUUUAUAUGAUGUAGGAAGCACUUUAGGCAAAAUCAUCUGAAUCUCAAAAUUUCGUGAUAUUGUGCCAAAUAUCCAAAACAGAGCUUCCUACAUUGCUAUAGCAGUUUUUAAAAGUUGAGGAGUCCAAAUAUCCAAUAACUGAUAAAUUGUGUUAAGAAAUAAAAAUAUUAAUGGUGAUGACACAUACGCAUGGAAUAUCUAUAUCCAACAGGUAAAAUUUCAAAACACCAUUUGCCAAAGUCUGAUGAAGAGAAUACAAAUACACACGCGCGCGCUCAUAUAUAUAACCGCACAGCAGAAGGAUAUAUAAAAUAAAUUGAAGUUUCAACAGUUGAACAAUGCAAACUCAUUUUAAAAAAGCCUUCUAUUGUUUAAUUAAAAAAUUCGAAAGCCAUUAUAUACAUGAUAAAGACUCACGGACACCGAACCAUAUUAAUUUAAAAUUAUUUUCAACUGAGAUUUGAAUUUUGAAAUUACAUACACCAACACGCCCGAUUUAAAAAAAAACUAAUAAUAAAAUAUUUAAGUCAUCCUCUGUUCAGUCAUCAAAAACCAAUUUACGAUUUAUUUCAACACAAACACACCCGAUCUAAAAUAAAAUCAAAAUAACAAUAAAAUAUUUCAACCGUCCUCUGUUCAGCCGUCAAAAACGGAUUUCCAAUCUAUGCGAACACGCGGUAUAUGGGUUAACAAGUCCCAAUAUUGUCCUCCAUCCUUUCUGCACUUCUCUGCUAUCAACGGACAUGCCUCGAUCUGUAAUUGCAAAAGUGAGGAAGGCAAGCCCUUCUCCGGAAAGUAUUUGAGCUUGGGACAAUCAAUGAGUCGCAAUUCAGUGAGGUUUUGAAGAUCAACAAUUGAAGAAGAUAGGCGUUCCAGAUUUGGAAAUCUACAAAUCCACAGAGAUGUUAGAGAGGCAGGAAGAGGAAGCGCGGUCCCCGAUCCUUUGUCAUCUGCCUUUGGUGGGAAUGACACCAUGUCGUCAUCACAUUUAAUGAUUCUAAGUUUUCGCAGAGAGGAGAAUCUGUGAAAUCCCCGGCCCCACUCAAUCAUUUGUGGGGACAAUCCUUUCUGUACUUCUCUGCUAUCAACGGACAUCUAUGGAUGUAUAAACGCAAAAGUGAGGAAGGCAGGCCGUUCUCUGGAAAGUAUUUGAGCCUGGGACAAUUAUAGAGUUCCAAUGAAGUGAGGCUUUGAAGAUCAACAAUUGAAGAAGAUAGCCGUUCCAGAUCAACAUUUUUAUGGGGGUACUAAGAAAAAUAAAGAUAAUAUAAGGAAUGUUGUUGAGGAGUAUUUUGAUAUUUACAAAAGUGUUCAAAGUAAAAAUUGAUUUCUUAAAACUCAUUAGCUAGCGCACAUAAUAAUGGGGAGUAAAUUUUAGACUACGAAUAGUCCCACCCAUUUAAUAAUAUUCUUCGAUCAAUUAUGUUUACUUCAAAAAAAAAAAAAAACCCAUCUGUUUAUUACUUUCUAACUAUUCAUAUUAAUGUGUUAAUAAUUAUGAAGAACCGGUGUAAUUUAUAUGAUGUAGGAAGCACUUUAGGCAAAAUCAUCUGAAUCUCAAAAUUUCGUGAUAUUGUGCCAAAUAUCCAAAACAGAGCUUCCUACAUUGCUAUAGCAGUUUUUAAAAGUUGAGGAGUCCAAAUAUCCAAUAACUGAUAAAUUGUGUUAAGAAAUAAAAAUAUUAAUGGUGAUGACACAUACGCAUGGAAUAUCUAUAUCCAACAGGUAAAAUUUCAAAACACCAUUUGCCAAAGUCUGAUGAAGAGAAUACAAAUACACACGCGCGCGCUCAUAUAUAUAACCGCACAGCAGAAGGAUAUAUAAAAUAAAUUGAAGUUUCAACAGUUGAACAAUGCAAACUCAUUUUAAAAAAGCCUUCUAUUGUUUAAUUAAAAAAUUCGAAAGCCAUUAUAUACAUGAUAAAGACUCACGGACACCGAACCAUAUUAAUUUAAAAUUAUUUUCAACUGAGAUUUGAAUUUUGAAAUUACAUACACCAACACGCCCGAUUUAAAAAAAAACUAAUAAUAAAAUAUUUAAGUCAUCCACUGUUCAGUCAUCAAAAACCAAUUUACGAUUUAUUUCAACACAAACACACCCGAUCUAAAAUAAAAUCAAAAUAACAAUAAAAUAUUUCAACCGUCCUCUGUUCAGCCGUCAAAAACGGAUUUCCAAUCUAUGCGAACACGCGGUAUAUGGGUUAACAAGUCCCAAUAUUGUCCUCCAUCCUUUCUGCACUUCUCUGCUAUCAACGGACAUGCCUCGAUCUGUAAUUGCAAAAGUGAGGAAGGCAAGCCCUUCUCCGGAAAGUAUUUGAGCUUGGGACAAUCAAUGAGUCGCAAUUCAGUGAGGUUUUGAAGAUCAACAAUUGAAGAAGAUAGGCGUUCCAGAUUUGGAAAUCUACAAAUCCACAGAGAUGUUAGAGAGGCAGGAAGAGGAAGCGCGGUCCCCGAUCCUUUGUCAUCUGCCUUUGGUGGGAAUGACACCAUGUCGUCAUCACAUUUAAUGAUUCUAAGUUUUCGCAGAGAGGAGAAUCUGUGAAAUCCCCGGCCCCGCUCAAUCAUUGACUUCCAAAUCUCCAUAUUACCCCGAAUCCCAAGUAAAUGAAGGUUGGUGGGAAGGCCGUCUUCUUCAAGGCUUGGAAGCUCACCUCCUAUUAUUCUUAAUUCUUGAAGAGAGGUCAGAUUGUGCAAUCCCUUGGGUAAGGCCUCUAGUCUCUCACAGCUUUCGAUCCAGAGCUUAGUCAGUUUCGCACAAGGCAAUCCCCCUUCGGGAAAGGACACCAGAUUUCCACACCUCUGUAUAGUAAUCUCUUGAAGCUGGCGGAGAUUGUGUAAACCACUCGGUAAAAUUUUCAGAUUUUCACAAUCAGAAAUCCUGAUUAUUUCAAGAGAUGUGUUGUUGUCCAACCUUUCUGCUAUUGACUCCAGCUUUGAACAACCCGAUAUCCUUAUCUCUUGAAGCUGGCGGAGAUUAUGUAAACCACUCGGUAAAAAUUUCAGAUUUUCACAAUAAUCAACUGUGAUUGUUUCAAGAGAUGUGUUGUUGUCCAACCUUUCUGCUAUUGACUCCAGCUUUGAACAUUUAUAAACAGAAAGGGACUCAAGCAUGGCAGGUAACUCGUUUUUUGAAAAUAUACAUGUCAGAGACGGACAACUCUCAAUGUGUAAGUGCUCAAGAAGAGAUGAGGUGUACCUUCUGCUGCUGCUGCUGCUACUCUGGAUGCCCUCUUCCACUGUCAAAGUCCUUAUAUUAUCACAAUUCUGGAUGUCCAACUGCUUAAGGCUCGAUGGUAGAUGGACUCCAGCAAUAUAUGUCAACGAAUGGCAAUCCCGAAUCUUCAAGAUCUCGAGAGAUGAAUUGAUGUCGCACAUCCAUGCCUCUGGUAACGAUUUCAGUGCUUCACAAGAACUAAUAUGAAUUUCCCUCAACUUGGAAGGCAGAGCAAUCUCAGGGAAGGAAACAAGGGAACUGCAGUUGCUGAUUUGUAUCUCUCUCAAGGAACUCAGGCUGAGCGAUGAUUGUGGCAGCUUCACAAGGCCUUCGCAUCCGCACAAUGCUAGAUAUUCAAGUCUGCAUGACAACUCGCAGAGCUGCUGUUGUUGGUCUUUCUCUUCCUCCGCCACCAAGGAUUGAAGUUUGGGACAGCUUCUUAUCUCCAGACUUUUGAGAGAGCAAAUGUCUUGUAGUAAUCCGUCAUGACUCUUCCAUAUAUAUGUUUGCUCUUCUGUCGACAAAAAUAAUUCUUCCAAUUUCGGUAGUUGUGGCUUCAAUGGCCCCGCAAGAAACACUUGAUUUGAUGUAUCUCUACAAACCACUGAACUCUGUGAUCCGAGAUGACCAGUUGCACUUUCCCACACAACCUUUUUGCAUCCACCAAUUUCCAAUUUGCAAAGAGCUGGAAGACUCGAAACUGAAACUAACAAUUCUUCACAUCCUUCAAUAACAAGCAUCUCCAAUGCAGGAAGGUGCUCUGGAAAUGUUCCUUUCAGUUUAGAACAUCUUAAAAUGUGAAGCUCUCUCAAUUUAGGAAACCCUUCAACUCCUUGACUGGAUCCAUGAGGAAUCCAGUCUUCCCAUUCUUGCAUGUUUUCAAAAAGAAGAGUCUCCAAGCAUGGAAAAGGAAUUGGAGGAUCAUUCCCAUAGAACUCUGAACCCAACCUCUUUACUCUGCUCAUUCCACAUACUGCAAGAUGCUUUAGAGAGGGUAGUUGCCCGACUGACGGUAGGGCAGUACACAUGUCACAAUUUUCAAAUAUUAGGGUCACCAAAUUUGACAAUGAGGAAUCUCCUAACCAUAUUGGAAAUUUUGUACCUCCAUAGCCACUGAUAAAAAAUUGCUCCAGAUUUUUAUGGGGUUUCAGCAUGUCAAGCACGCCCUUUUGAGUUUCUGCCUCCCUUAAAGAUGAACCAUCGGUACUGUUUGUCCACCGAAGCAUUAACACUUUAAGGUUCUUCUUUCCAUCCAAUUGAGCCUCCUUGGCAUCACCAACGUAUUUUACGUUCUCCAAUUUUGAAAUGGUAAGUGUCCCACGAAGAUGCGUCAACAACUUUAGCUCUCGCAACCGGGAACCACUGUCUUUUCCUACAACAAAAUUACACAAUGUCUGAAGACAAGUCAACUUGCCAAUUCCUAGUGGCAUUUCCUCCAACGAAUCUGUAUUUGAAUUAUUGAGAUGAUGCAACUUGAUGAGAUUUCCCAUGCCUGCACACAACUUCCUCAGUCCCCGACAACCCUCCAACGAAAGGGUGUGCAAAUUGUAAAGCUUGUUGACUGAUUCAGGCAGAGUUCUAAUCUCAGUUCCAGACAAGUUAAGGUACCUUAAAUACCUCAAAUCACCAACUGAAUCCGGCAGCUCAGGGAUGCAGUAUCCACGCAAAGAGAAGACCCUCAAGCGUUGGAGUUUGAGCAACUUAGGAAGAAUGCUAGGAGCCAAGUAGCCAGGCUCACUAUUUGUCAACAUUACUGGUAAAAAAGUUCUCAAAUGUUGGAUAUCAUACAAGUCCCCAAACCUUUGAACGCCAUCAUAAUCUCCACAAAUGUAUGAUAGAUGACGAAGAUUUCUGGAAAAACAUUGUUGCUUGUUAACCUCCGAGGUAUACUCCAGUGUGAAGUAUGUCUCCCCUGCAGCCCAACGGGCAAGGUCGUUGAUAAGAUCGUGCAUAACAAAUCGUGAUGCAUCGGUGGCCGAUUGCUGGAAAAAAGAUCUUGAACAUAGCUCCUUAAAGAAAUCACGACCUAAAUCUUCACUAGGAUUCUCAUCUUCUUUGUGAUCCAAAAAACUGGAGGCACACCAUAAUAAAAUUAUCUCCUCCUCUUCAAAUUCAUAAUCCUUUGGUAACAAUGAGCAGUAUGCAAAGCAUUGUUUCAAAGUUGGAGGAAGAUAAUAAUAGCUCACUGCAAGGGCUGGUAUAAUGCGACACCUCUGUUCUGGUAAUUCCCAUAUCUUGCUACUGAGCACUCUCUCCCAAUAACAUCUGUCAUCGUUUCCUCGCAAAAGUCCUCCAAGUGUUUGCGCCGCCAAGGGCAAGCCAUCGCAUUUGGCCACUAUCUUCUUGCCAAUUUCCUCCAAUAACUUAUCUGACCCCAAAGAAUGUUGAGCGAAUACAGCUAGACAAUCAUCAAAUGACAACUUUUUUAAUUGAUAAGGUGAGGCAGUUCCCAUGAUGUCUGCAACCUGUUGAUUGCGAGUUGUGACAAUAAUCUUACUUCCCUUCGCUCCAGCUUCAAACGGACGGCUGAGGCGAACCCAAUCAUUGUAAUUCUCAUUCCAAACGUCGUCUAAAACAAGCAGAAAUUUCUUUUGAGAUAACUUGUUCUUCAGCUCCUCUUGAAGCAAAUUUAAAUUACUGUCAUCAAUAGUCUGCUUGGUAUCGGAUAUUAGAAUUUUUUUUGUUAGCCUGUUAACGUCGAAAUCCUCAGAGACACAAGUCCAUACCUUCAGAUCAAAAUGAUCCUGCACUCGCUUAUCUUUGUAGACAAGCUGAGCAAGAGUAGUUUUGCCCAGGCCACCCAUACCUAUAAUAGGAAUAACAGAGAAUCCACCAUCGUUGCUUAAAUCAUCCCUCAACAGCAGUUCAACAACAUCCUUCUUUUCUGUUUCCCUGCCAUAUACUGUGGGUUCCUCCACCAAAGAGGUUGUCUCCUCUAGCCUUUGCCUGGCUUUUUUGGACCCCCCAGCUAAACUUUUUAUCAAAUUCAGCGAGCGUAUUCCUUCUUCAAUAUCUUGAAAUCUGCUGUUGGUCUCUUUGAUUUUGGACAUCAUGGCGUAAUCGAACUGAAUCGAUUGUGGAGUAAAAGUGGUGCAGCAAGUAGGAAUGAGCUUCCGAAACUUACUUGUUCUUGUACGACUGCUACUGGGUUGAUCAUGAGCAGCAGCUGGUUCUCCAUUCCCAAGCAGCAACCUCCUCCGGAAAGCCUCAGUUUGAAACUCAUCCAACAAGUCUUCAACAUCAUAAGCCAAGUUCUGAAGCUUGCCAAGCCACUUCUUCACAAACUGAUUAGUCGUCUUCUUCUCCUCAGCAUCAUCAAGCACCGCCUUGAUCAUCUCCAACAUAUUCGCCCACUUCAUUAGAUCGUCUUGGAUCUUCUCUUGGCGUGCAAAAAACAGAAUCCCCUCUGAAGCUAACUUAUUGACCAGCAAAUCAACGGACACAGUUAGGAUUGCCUCUCCGAUGAAUGACAUUUUUUUUUCUUUUUUUGGGCAAAGGAAGAAAGGAGCAGAAUUAUGGGUUAUGGAAAGCAGAAUGAGAAAAUGGAACAUGAGUGAGAAAAUGGAUAAUUAAGCAGAAUGAGUUUGUGAUUGUGAAGGGUCUGGCCCAGCUAGAAAUCACGCGUUUAUACUUUAUUGACCAAUGACUAAUAAUUUGGCAAUUCACUCAUCACCACCACUUGGUGAGGAAAAUGCUUAGUAAUUAAGUGUCAAGGGUCACGCAAAAUACGGCGUCAAACGUGGCAAGUCUCCCCACUUGUUGUUCCUUGCAGCUAAGAAAAGAAAAAACAGAGCCGUAAUUAAUGACAGAAUUUUAAAAAUAAUAAUAAGAGAAAAACCUACAUUUUUUUUUAAUCUCAAUGCGCAGUCGUAUCAUAAUGUUAUAUUCAUGUUGUAAAACGAAAUUUUAGAUAAAACAAAUUCGACUCAUUUGUUAACGAUAUAUAUUUAGUAGGUUUCUAACAUAACUAAUAAAACGUGAUUAUUACACUAAAUGAAAUAAAAGACAGUACUUCCUCUAAUAGUUUAGCAAGUUUCGCAUGCUCGUGUUUCCGGAAACAUUAUAUGGAAUCAAUCAACAGUGAUACAAAGAGAAAAAUGGUAAUCCUAUCGCUGUUUUUUUUUUCUUUUUCAAAAGAGAUGGUGGGGUUGGGUUGUUUGCAAAGUUAAUAGCGUGGGUCUAUUUGUUUUUGUUUUAACUUUAUUAAUCAAUUAGUGAAGCAAACACGUAAUGAUUUGUAAAGAUCACUAGCAUUAGAUUAUUGAGAGGUAUUGCGCUUAGUAUUCACAAUUUUUGUAAGAUGAAUUUGUAAGACUUAUGAAUUUCGAUGAAAAUGUAUGGUUGUUAAGCUAUUAUUUAAUUCAUUAAUUCACUAAUUGUAACAGUAAGUGUGAAUUAAUGAGAAAAAGUGUGAAUUAAUUCGUUAUUAAGCUUUUUUUUUUUUUUUUUUUUGCAAAGAAAGAAACAGAAUUUGGAGUUUUGAAAAGCAAAAUGAGAAAAUUGUAACAGUAAGUGUGAAGGGUCAAGCAAAAUGCGUGUAGCAAGUCUUCCACUUGUUGUUUAUUCCAGUAAAGUGAAAAAUAAAAGGGAGAGCCCACCACCCAUUAAUAAUUUAGCAAUUCACCAAUCACCAGUCACCACCACUCGCUGCCAGAUUCAAUGAAUAUAAAAUCGCACGUUGAUAUUUGUAGGGUCAAGCCACGUUAAUCCAGUGUCCGGGUAAAUGCUGAUUGAAGAGGAAAAUGGAAUGCAUCUACCACGAACCUUCGCUUUACAAAUCUUCAAACUAAAUCAAAACGUUUCUCUCUCUCUCUCUCUCUUUCUGCCAUUAACUUACUUUAUUUAUUGAAUUAAUUUCCAUGCUGAAACGAAGACUUAAAAAGUACACCACAAUUUUUUAAUAAUUACAAUGAGAAUUCCUACCAUCAUGUUAUAUUACUGCCGUGCCAAAAUAAAUUAUAACAAAAUUUUAGCUGACCAUAAAUUUGACUCAUUUAUACUUAAUAAAAUAACAAGACGAUUAAUGUGUCAUCAACUGAAAUAACUCUAAUGUGAAAACAAAAAAAGUCCCGCCACCAAUAAUUUAGCAAACUUCACUUUUUUUUUUUCUUUUUUUUGAAAAAGUAGCAAACUUCACUUUAUUACACUAAAGUGAAACCAAGAGUCAGAAGCAGCCCCCACCACCAUCAAUAAUUUAGCAAGCAUCACGCGCUUGUGCUUCUCUUCUUGACGAACUGGACAUGGGUGGACCAAGCAUCCAUUGAAUAGUUGGAAAAACUAAAAAAUAAAAAUCAGUGCCCCGCAAAAAGAAUCCAUCUCAUAUGUAAUACAAGUGUCAAGAUUUAAUUAGAGUUCACAUAUAUACAUGCGUUUAGUUUUAAUUGUGGGAUAAAUUAAUCAUUAAUACUCAAGUAUUUCUAAAUAAUUGAAACAGUUAUCUGUUGUAAUAACAGUUGUAAAUAUUUUAAUAUUUAAAAAUAAUAAUAUUAUUGAUAUUUACAAAAUUUUUAGGAAGUGAUAACUAAUAUACUAGGGAUAUAUAUUUGUGGGGAAUGGUAAAUAUAGAGAAUAACAAUAAAAAAAUAUUAGAACUGUAAUAUAAAUUACUAUAAGUAAUUAUAUUUAUUUGGUUUGUCUAUUUAUAAAAUUAUGAAAUAAAUUAAAAAUAUAUAUACAUACAUAUAAUGUUAUAAAAUAUAAAAUCCAACCUUUCUAGGGUGAAAUAAAAGCCUAGCCCAAUGUGCCCCAAAAAUAUGUCUGGGUUGGAUCCAGGCAUUGCCAUACCCGAACUUGACCCCUAGUUUUGCCAUUACUCUAGAUCGUUAUAAAUAUUCUAAAUUUCAGUCUAAUUUACUUGUGUGAUGCAAAAAUUACAUUUAUCACUUCUUUCAAAUAAAUACUCAUAAAUUUCACCUAAAUUGUCACCCAAAAAAAGAGAAAAAUGUAUAGUUAAUUUUUCUAUUUCUUUACUCCAUUAUUCAAUGGGAAUAUAAUAAAUUAGGAGAAAGGAGAAAUUAAAGACAAUAUUAGAGUGCUUGUUGCAAUGAUAAAAUCUCAUGCAAAUGCUUAUUUCAGAUGUAAGCGAGGCAUUCAUUAAUUUGACCAAAAAUAAGUGAAUUUAUUUGUAUUUUAAUCAAAAUCGAGGGAUAUAAACAAAAUUUUCCCACUCCAGAUAUUUAUCAUUUUCUCGUUAGAAAAUAAAAUUGCAUAAAAUUAAGAAACCAGUAGGCACUGAAAGAGAGAAACAGACUGAGAAGAGAUCAAAAGAUGGAUUUGGAACUGAAAGAGAGCUUGGGCUGAUUCAUUCAUGAUAAUAUUCUGCGUUCGCUGUGAUAGAGACAAAAGUUGGCUCUUUGUAUGGUUCCCCACUGACGGCGCCAAAUGUCGAUGCCAAAAUUUGGACUAAUUAGUUACAUACUGGAUACCAAAUUUUGCGUCAGCAUUAAAUUUAUUUGUUAGGGAAGCGGCUUACAAAUCACCAAGGACGCCCUGCGAUCACUAGCAGAUAACUCGCAAACACCUGAAAUCAUAAAGAAUGGUAAGAGGCGCCAUAAGUUUUUCCAGCGUGAACUCUCUAACAGUCAAGUUAGUUAUCGGGUUUACAAGAAAAAUAAAAUAUGCAAUUUCUAUUUUUUUUAAUAAAUAAUCUUAAGUAAAUGUAAAAGAAAAAUCAAAAUUGAGAAAGAAAGGUGAGCCUCCCUCUUUAUUUAUUCCCCUAGGGAUUUUUUAUAAAGAUUUAACUUUCCCCCCACUCCCCCCCCCGCCCCCCAACAAAAUCUUUGUGAUCAGAAGAUGGAUGAGAUAAAAUAUGAGCCCCCCAAAAUGAUCUCAAUCAUGGAGGAGUCCUCCCUAGUUUGUUGCCCUAUUUUCGAAUUUGUUCUCCUCUUCUCUCGAAAGUUAAGGAUGAGAUAAAAGUAACCCCUUCACUCUCCAUUUUUUUCCUCACCAAACAGUUACGAAUUUAAAAUAUGAGUAUGAUUUAAUAAGAGAGAAUGAGAAUUGAUGAUGUCCCAAGAGACUGAAAAUAAAAGAUUAUACAAAUUUGCAUGGAGGCAUAUCAUAUAUUAAUCUUAAUUUUUUGUUGUUCAAAUAAUAAAUUAAUUCCAUUAAUCCUUUUUCUAAUUAUAUGGUGUGUAACACAUUGGCCACUUCUGAAUUAUGUUGAAUAUUUGUUAACUCAAAUAAAUAGUACACUUUUCUAUCAAUCUAACUCACUUUAUUAAUAUUCUUCAUCAUUAUGGUUAAUGGCUUAGCAAAUGUAGAACAAGGAGUUUUGAGUUUUCUGUUAUAAUACCAGGUCAUCUGGUCUUGAUUCUUUUCCUAUUUUGUUGCAUUAUUUGUUUAGUUUCCAGCUCUAAGACUAUUAUAAAUAGUCAGUUUUGAGUUGAAUAAAGGGAGCAUUACAGAAACAUUUGUCCUCUCUUUUAUCUCUCUACUUCCUUCUUCUUCUUAACUCUUAUUCUAAAUCAUACUAUAUCAUUUUGUUUCAGAUUUUGGCUGAUACUUGCCCUUUUGAAUGACUCGGGGGUCAAGUAUUGCUUCAAGCUGAGGAAGAAUAAUACAAUCGUCUGAUACAAGAGGAAGUUGAUUUGAAGACGAGGUGUGAAUAGGUGCCAAAUGCUUCCGAAGCAUGCUAACAUGAAACAAGUUAUAAAUUUGUGAGCUUGAGGGUAGAGCCAACCGAUAUGCUAUUGUCCCCACCUUCCCAAUAAUUUGAUAUGGCCCAAAAAAUCAAGGAGCAAGCUUAAUAGAAGCACGAAAGGCCAUUGACGUCUGUCGAUAUGGUUGGAGCUUGAGAUACACAUAGUCACCAACCUCAAAGGAUACCUCUCGAUGUUUUAAACCUGCCCGGCUUUUCAUUCGUUGUCUUGCCAAAGAGAGGUUGUGGCAGAGCUCUCGUAAAAUUGUGUCGCGAUCCCGAAGGUACUCAUCCACUGCUUGGAUAUGGGAAGUGCCAGGAACAUAAGUAAGCAAGUGAGGUGGAGGAAUACCUUAGACAGCUUCAAAUGGGGUCAUUUUGGUGGCAGAAUGGAUGGACGUUUUUUAGUUUAAUUCAGCCCAUGGAAUCCAUUCAACACAUUUUCGUGACUGAUCUCCGGCAAAACAUUGCAAGUAUUGCUCUAAAGUACGGUUCACUACCUCAAUUUGGUCAUCCGUCUGAGGAUGGUAACUAGAACUCAUACUAAGUUUAGUUCCUUGUAAUUGAAAUAAUGCUUGCCAAAAUGAACUUACAAAUACUUUAUCCCGAUCACUUACAAUGUCUGUUGGAAUGCCAUGGAGACGAACCACAUUAGCUACAAAUGCUUUAGCAAUCGUGACUGCCGUGUAUGGAUGUUUGAGAGCCACAAAAUGAGCAUACUUGGAUAAGCGAUCAACAAUUACCAUGAUGACAGUAUAACCAUUUGACGACGGAAGUCCCUCGACAAAAUCCAUUGAUACUUCAGUCCAUAUCUGAAGAGGAAUGGGUACUGGUUGCAGCAAACCGGCCGGACACAUAAAAUCAGAUUUGUACCUUUGGCAGAUGGUACAGUGCUAUAUAAAUUCCUUCACAAUUUUAUGCAAGUUUGGCCACCAGAAGCCGAGUUUAAUACGAGAUAGUGUCUCAUGGAACCCAAAAUGCCCACCAACUGGAGACGAGUGACGAUCAGUCAUGACUUGUGAAAUUAAAGUAGAAGUGGGAUUCAAAUAAAUUCUACCCCUUUUAAACCAUACUCCAUCUCGUUGUGCCAACUGUUGUGAUGAAUGAGAAUGACUCAGUUUCUUAUAAAAAGAGUCAUGUUGUACCUCUCCUUGCAAUUUUUGCCACCAAUCUACAUGUGGUCCCAAAAUAGACAUGAACCGAAAUUCAACAACACUAGAGAGUGAGUUAGCAGCUUGAUUUUCAGGUCCGCGUUUAUACUCAAUUUUGUAGUCAUAACCAAGGAUCUUUGAAAGCCAUCGAGCCUGUGCAGGAGUGGUAAUUCGCUGCUCAAGUAAAUACUUGAGGCUUUUUUUAUCGGUGUGGACAGUAGAUGGUUUCUCGAGGAGAUAUGGGCGCCAUUUCCGAAUUGAUUUGACAACAGCCAACAUUUCUUUCUCAUAGGUAGAUAGUAAUAAUGUCGUCCCUUUCAAAGCUUCACUAUAGUAUGCUAUUGGCUGGUUAUUCUGAGUGAGUACUGCUUUCCAAUCCCGCUAGCAUCACAUUCGAUUACGAAUUGUUGAGAAAAAUCUGGAAGGCUUAGGACUGGUGGAGACGUUAGUGCUUCUUUUAGCUUGGUAAAAGCUAACUCGGCUUCCUCGUUCCACUUGAAUCCUUCAUUUGAUAACAACUGAUAUAAAGGGGCUGCUAUACAUCUGAAGUGGCGGAUAAUUUUUCAGUAACAGCCUGCUAGGCCGAGGAACCCCCGUACUUCUCUGACAGUGGUUGGCGAUGGCUAUUCAAGAACAGCUUGUAUUUUGGAGGGACUUACUACUACUUCUUGUUCUGAAAUGACGUGACCCAAAUAAUCCACCUGAGAAACACCAAACCUGCAUUUUGCUUCCUUAACAAAUAAUUUGUUAGUAUGCAAAAUAGAGAGAACAAUCCGAAGAUGUGCAAGGUGAUCAUUCCAUGUCUUUGAGUACACGAGGAUGUCAUCAAAGAAGACUAAGAUAAACUUCCUUAGAUAAGGGCGAAAAAGAUCAUUCACGAGGCAUUGGAAGGUGGAUGGGGCGUUGGUCAAGCCAAACGGCAUACGAGAUAUUUGUAGUGCCCUUCGUGUGUUCUAAAGGUUGUUUUUGGUAUAUCCGCAUCUUAUACUCGAAUUUGGUGAUACCCAGCCCUUAAAUCUAACUUGGAGAAGAGUUUAGCUCCAUGGAGCUCAUCUAGAAGUUCAUCAAUUACAGGAAUUGGGUAUUUAUCUUUGAUCGUGAUGUUGUUCAAUGCACGGUAAUCCACACAAAAUCGCCAAUCACCAUAUGCUUUUUUUACUAAGAGGACUGGUGAUGAAAAUGGACUUUUACUCGGUCUUACCAGCCCUGAUUGCAAAAUUUCUCUCGCCAUCUUCUCUAUUUGUGUUUUCUGGUAAUAAGGGUAACGGUAGGGUCUUACGUUGACAGGGUGUGUAUUUGGUUGUAGUGGGAUGUAGUGAUCAUGUGGUCUCUUUGGCGGCAGGCCCAUAGGUGGCUUAAAAACAUUAGAGAAUUCGGUUAAAAUCUGAAUUAUGUCACCUAGGUAAAGAUUCGGCUGGAAAUUAUUGGGAGAAAGAGAGAUUUGGAAUAAGAAUCCACUACCUUGAACAGAGUUGAAUUCUUUAUCAGAUAAGGUCGCUAAAGGGGUGUGUUUAAGACCUUGGAAUGUGUAGGUCUCUUAUCCAGCUUUGUAGGUCAUCGUCAACUGCUGGUAAUCCAUCUCUAUUGGUCCAAUAGUCUCUAGCCAUUGCACACCCAAAAUCAAGUGAUAGGCUGCCACAUGAAGCACAAAAAAACAGCAGUAAUUGAUUUACCUUGAAUGGAGAUCGUGAGUGCUUGGCACAGGCCUUUGCAUUCGAUUUGUUCUUGGUUGGCGACCGUCACUUGGAACUUUUUUUUUUUGAAGAACAGGUAGCCCAUAUUUAGUGACUACAGCUUGAUCAAUGAAAUUGUGCGUGCUGCCGCCAUCUAUGAGCACCGUUACCGAUUUGUUCUUCAGUUUACCCAUCACACAGAAUGUUUGCGGAUGACUGGCUCCUGAAAUGGCGUAGGUAGAAACUUCAGGCAUGACUUCAUGGUCCUCAGAUUCAGGUUCGGCAGGUUCCUUAGCAAGGUUUAUUUGAUUCGAAUCCUCUAUCAUGAAUAAUUGCGGCCUUUGGCAACAGUGACCGGGAACAAAUUUUUCGUCACAAUAAUAACAAAGUCCAUUUGCCAUCGUUCUCGUGCCUCUUGAUUUGUGAUGCGUCAAAAUGGAAUUGUUGAAUUGCUGGCAUUUUGGUUUAUUUUGGAAGUUGAUGGGGGCCUAAUACGCCACCGGAAUGGUGUGGUAUGAUUCUUUGUGCUCCUGUAAUUGCGGAUGGACGAAAGGAAGUGCUUAUUUUCUUUUGCAGGUUAUUUCAUUCCUCAACUAGUCGAGCAACUCCAAUAGCAUUAGUUAAUGUUCGCGGCUGCUUGAUUUUGACAUCCAAGCGAAUUUCAUCUUUGAGACCUGCAAUAAAACAACCCACAAAAAAUUUUUCAGGUAAUUCGUCAAUACAGUGGCAUAAUUUUUCGAAAGCCUCCUAGUAAGCCUUUAAAGUUGAGGUCUGUUUUAAUCGUGUGAGAGCUUCAAAGGGAUCUUCAUAGUCUAUUGGGCCAAACCUUUGAAGCAUGGCUUUUGUGAAUUCUUGCCAAGAUAAUGGUCCCUUAAAUUUUGUUAACCACCGAUGCCACUGUAAGGCAAUACCUUCAAGAUGGAAAGAGGCAAGUUGAACUUAUAGGCUUGGUGUAAUGUUUUUAAAUUCAACGUAUUGUUCUGCCUUGUAAAUCCAACCGCUUGGGUCUUCUUCGUUAAAUCAUGGGAAGUGAAGUUUGAGGUGGUGAUAUUGUGCAUUUGGUGUGUGGGGUGUGUUAGUGUUUGUGGUAUGUGAGGUUUCUCUGGGGUAAAAAGGGUUGAUUUCAGGCUAGAUGGUUGGUUGAGGUCGAGACUCACAAAGCUUGUAACUCAGUUAACACCUUAUGCAAGGAAUCAUUGAUCUGAUCAAAAUUGGAUUCAUGUCGAGCUAAGGCUUUGUUGACAUCAUUGCGGAAUUCGGCAUUAGAUUUACCGCGAGUGUCCAUUGACAAACCGACUUUGAUACCAAAAUGAUAUGGUAUAAUUUAGAAUAAGAGUUAAGAAGAAGGAGGAAGCAAAGAGAUAAAAGAGAGGGAAAAUGUUUCUAUAAUUCUCCCUUUAUUCAACUUAGAACUGAUUAUUUAUAAUAGUCUUACAGCUGGAAACUAAACAAAUAAUGCAAACAAAAUAGGAAAAGAAUCAAGCUCAGAUCACCUGGUAUUAUAACAGAAAACUCAAAACAGAAUGUUAAAGACUAGCUCCACUAGUUUAUUAACAGAAUUGAUGACCAAGUCUUACAAAGCACAUGUAUCACUGUUGUAGUUAAAAUAAUUUUAAAACAAGUUAAAACAGUUCCAACUCAAAAUCAGUAGGCUGCAAUUGGGUUGUUACACAUAUUUCUAAAUUUCACUCUAAUUUAAUUGUGUAUGGACAAACUAACUUUGUCACUUCUUUCAUAUUAUUACUCAUAAAUUUCAACCUUAUUAUGAUGAUGCACAAUCUAACUUAACAAAAAUAAUGUUCAAAUUGUCACAAAAUGUUUUUUUCUUAAAAAAGAAAAGAAAAUCAUAUAUAGUAGUUAAUUUUUCUUCAUCUUUACUCCAGGAUCCAACUCCGUACUCCACUUUUUUGUUGUUAUUGUACCCAGCCGUUAGAUUUUAAUUACAUUGAUUUAACGGUUUGGAUUUGUAAAUGAAUAACGACGUAGUGUUUGGCUACCAUAUGAACCCACUGCAUCUAAUUGGUUUUGUGAUUUUUUGCUUUCUUCUCUGUAACGCCUGACUAGUUCUGGAAAUAUCGACCGCCAUCGACAACAAAUCUGAACCAUGUAUUAUUUCUUAGUAGUGGGCAAAUAAAGUUUGCCCACUACUAAGAAAUAAAGUUUCCACCACCGUACCAGUGUGUCGAUUUGCGAAUACAUUCAUUCAAAUAUUAAACAUUCAGAGAAGAAAGCAAACCGUGGCAGGAUAGCAAAACCUGCAAAUGGUCAUUCCCAACACGAACCCCUAUGGCUGUUUUCCUUUUAAUUUUCUUCUUUGAAUUCUCCUUUUAUUAAUCAUUCGAAAAACUCCCUUUUUUUAAAUCAUGUGUUAUUAACAUUUACAUGGUUAAUGUCAUCGAAAUCAAAUGGUUGUUAUCUACGAAAAGAGAAUUGCUAGAAAUUUUGUUAGUCCCAUUGCAACAAUAUAUUGUUAUAAAUUGCAUUGUUUCCCAUAUAACAAAUAUAAUAAAAUCUCAAUAAAUUAAUAGUUUUGGGAACAAUAAAAAAAUUUAUUAAAAUUUAACAAAUAUCAAUUAAUCAAUAAAUUAUUAAAUUAUUAAUUUAUGAAAAUAUUCAUUAUUUUGAAAAAAACAUGAUCACGUUUUUAAUAUUGAUUUCCCUUGAGUUAACAUCUAUUAUGUUUUAUUUGUCUAUUAGUUUUAUCUUGGGAAGAUUUUUUAAGAGUUAGCUGCUUUAUAUUAAGUUAUUAACAGUAAUAAAAUUAUUAGUUGAUACUGGCGAAUUUUCUGACCAAAAUCGUACAAAGUAGUUGAAAGUGUUUAUUUUUGUUAUUUCAUGACAUUCUAACAAACUAUAUGGGGUCACAAAAAGGUUGAUACCCCUACUUCUUGUUCUUUUUUUCCUCAAGGGUCAAGCAAAAUACGACGUAAAAUGUGGCGAGUCUUCCCACUUGUUGUUCUUUGCAGCUAACAAAAGAAAAACAGAGCCCGCCACCCAUUAAUAAUUUAGCAAUUCACCAAUCACAACAAAAUUCCAUUAGAUAUUCGUCGAUCAAGUAGUUAAUCCAGUGUCUGCUACGUAGAGCCUUCACUUUACGAAUCUUCAACUCAUAAACCAAGUUAAAUCAAGACGUUUCUCUCUCUGUAUAUAUAUUUUUUAACUCCUAAAACGUUUCUUUUUAGAAAUAUUUUACUUUAUUCAUCUAAUAUGUUAUCUAACAAAUUGACACAGAUGAAAUCACUCUAAAGUGAAGAUAAAAGGGGAAAAAAAAAACAUUCCAACCACCAAUAAUUUAGCAAGCUUCACUUUUAUUCCACCAAAGUGUAAAUAAAGCCAGCCCCCACCACCAUCAAUAAUUUAGCAAGCUUCACACGCUUGUUGUCUUCUCCUUGUCGAACUGGACGGGGUGGACCAAGAAUCAAUGAAAGAAUUUUAAAAAUAAUAAUAAAAGAAAAACAUAAACAUUUUGGACUCAGAGUAGAACCGUAAUUAAUGCUAAAAUUUACUCCGCUAACGUUUUCAAAAUAUUGUUCUUUAUAAUUGUCCAGCAAAUAAGACUAAGUUUUGGACAUUUUCAUUCUUCACUUACUUUCAAAAGCAAUAUUUCGAAACAUUUUACAGAAUCAAGUAACAGUUAUAUAACGAGAAAAGUGCAAAGUUGUGUAAUUCUAAUGUUUUUUUUAUCACAGACACUCAGAUCAUUUUUUAUUUGGGUCGCCAACUCGCCAAUGAACCCAUGAUUGAAUGAGUGUUUAGAAAGAAAAUCAAUAAAAAACAGUUUAUUUUUGGCCGUCGAAAUAUAGUAAGUGAGAAAGAUUAUUCUUUUUUUUUGUUAAUCAGGUUAGUAAUUAUGAUUGAGUGACUCAGAAUUAUAUUCUAGAUUGAGAAUCAAUGGUUCUCCAAUCUCCCACACUGAGAGGCUGUAAGUUUAAGAUUGUCGUUUGCUAUUAAUUUCAUUGACAAGAGAGCACUUGAAUUUAUUAAAAGGAGAAGGCUAUAAAGGUUUUCCUUUAUGAGAAAUGUAUCUGAUCAUUCCUUUUUACUUGAAAAUUUCAUAUAUAAAAACUUAUUAAUAAAUGAAAGAAUAUGCAUAAACUAUUAAUUCAUUUUAUAGUGAUUAUCGAAUGACAUGUGACCCAUGGAAGCAUGGAGUCUAUAAAAUAAUUCUUUUUUUUUUAUUAAACAAAAAAUCGGUGAUGUUGAAAAGUAAUAUUAUUAUUACUCUAAUUGGGGUGAACAUUCAUAAAAAGAAUGCCGUAUGAAACUAAAUUAUUAAUUCGUUUGAUAGUUGGUUAUUGAAAGAGCAAAGCAGUCACUUCAAAACUAAAUUAUUACACGUGCACAUGCAGCACAUCUAUCUAAAAUUUAAAAAACGGAAUUAGAAAUACAGGAUUUAUGGUAGAAAUACAACAGGAAUAAGAGUGAAAUUCCGAUUUUAAAAUUUGGGAGAAAUGAAAUGCGAUAUUUUUUUAUGAAUAAAAUAAUUUAAUUUUUUUUUUUUAAUUCUACCAGCAAAAACCAUUAACUUGUCAAGUUAUUGGUUUCAUUUACAGCUGACAGUCGGUUUCUUAGUUUCAUUCCUUAAUUCUACAAGAAAAAAAUAGAAUACUUAACAUUUUUUAUUUGACAAUUUUUAAGAAAUGUCAAAAAUAUAUGACAUUUUGUGAAAAACUGAGUAAUUGUGAAAUAUAAAUGACAAUUUAUUUAAACGUCAAAUAAUUAUGACGUUUAUCAAAUAAAUGAUAAAUAUAUUACAUAUUUAUUGAAUAAUUAUUAUUUACCUUUUCCUUUUAUUGACUUGAGAAAAAAACAAAAAAAACUGACUAUACUGCUUUUGUUUUUGUUCUUAGAACAGAUUUUAGUUUCUUUUGAGAAAAUUCAAACUCAUUCCCAUUACUUUCUUUUCAAUAAUCACCUCUCAGGUUUUCGUCAAUCACUCAAUUCCGAAUUUCAUCUCCAUUCUCUUUCGAAGAAGAACGCACGGAGAAUUUUAGCUUGCUUUCGCUGCUUCUCGAAUAUUGGGUAUUGUUUCUGUUGAGUACAUAAAAGCCCCAGGUCGGCCAUGCUACUAUUUCCACCCCGGCAUGGAUCACCUCGGCCAAAUGGUAUGAGCAGAACGCGGGAUGAACACGAGCCAACCAGAGACGAGUACCGGCCAGGGUAAUGUACCGACCAGAAUCUUAUACCGAGCCGACACCAAUUCCCCAAAAAAGCGGGAACACGAUCCCACAGAAUCACGGUAGUUGCGCUUUUCCUAGAACCGUUGUGGGAGAUGCGAGAUCCCACGUUUGCCCACAAUGUAGCAGUUAAAAUCCCAUGAGAGGCUACCACUACUCGAGAAAGGGGGGGAUGAAGGGUGAGUGAAAACGUGGGACAGCGGCUAUAAAAGAAGAAGAAACCGAUGAAGAAAGGGACAGAAAAAUUGAGAGAGGGAAAACGCUGCCAAAUUGCAAUCAGGCCAUUUUCUUACAAGACUCCGAAUAAUUUAGAAACCAUUUUUAGAUCUAAAUUGCACUGUUUUCCCAUAAACACCUUGAGCUAACUUAGGCAUCGGAGGGUUUACGCCGGCAAAACCAUUGGCGACUCUGAUCCGUUUUUGGUGAACGCAGGUCUAGUAAGAGAAAGAAGGGUGAUUCCAACCUCAGAGGUUCGCGCAACAGUUGACAACAUAAACGUUGGUGAAAGAAUCUGGUCGGUCAAAAGGCGAGCAGAUUUAAGCAUCAACAUUUUGGCGCCGUCUGUGGGGAGCUGGAUAAAAAGCUACCACCGAAUUAGUAGUUACCGGAGAAACAGCGAACGAUCAGACAUGGAUUUGCCAAGGAAGGACGCUUUGAGGGAGGAUAACGAAUCGGGGGAGACAAUCACCCUUCGGGAAAUUGCAAAUGAAGCCCGAGAGAGGGUGAUGCAAGAUCGAUUGGAACGGAUGGAGAAGCAAAUGGAGACUCUCGCUACCAUACUGAAUGAGUUGAGAGAUGAACGGAGAAGGGAUGGCGAAAUCCCCGUGGGGAGAGAUGAUGUGGGAGCAGAGCCCAACCUCCGGAGGCGUAGAGUCGAGGAGAUCCCUCCGCCGGCGGACCAACCUUAUGGGGUGGAUCCCCACAGAAGUACUGGUCGGGUUCCUGGAGAACAAGUAGAUGAAGGGAGGAACCAACCUCUCCCCAGGCGAGUACCGGAAGCUGAUGGCCGAGGAGCCAGUGCUGAUGAAGGAGAGUUAAGACAGCGGUUGCAGAAUGUCGAGCAUGAGCGAGAUCAGAUAGAUGCACGUGAUCCUGACCGUGUUGUAGAAUUGGAGGGAGAGGUGCGCAGACUGGCGUAGGUGAUGGAGGAGAUACAAGGCAAGAGAAAGCCCCCGAGCUGGAGGAUAAUGCUGGAUGAGGAAUCCCCGUUGUCAGCCGAGAUCAUGGGUACAGUAAUCCCAAGAGAUUUCCGCUUUCCCGACUUCAAAUACUCCGGUCGAAGUGAUCCCCUGGUGCAUAUUGAGCGUUUUAACGACAUGACGGGGGUGCAGGGGUUGACACCAGCUCAGAGGUGUAGGGUGUUCCCGUUGACUCUCGAGGGGCGAGCCCGAGAAUGGUACCGCAAGCUGCCCCGAGGAGGUAUAAAAAGGUACGAGCAGAUGUGCCAAGAGUUGGUCGAACAGUUCCGAGGUGCAGUAGCCCCAGAGGACGACAUGAUGGAACUGAUGGGGAUGAAACAGGAGGAGGAUGAGUCCCUUCGGGAUUUUGUAAAGCGAUAUCACCAGGCCGUGCUAGACUUGGGAGCUUUUAAUCACCCACAGGCGCUGAGGGGAUUAAAAGAAGGUGUAAGAAUCGGCCGAUUGUGGUAUAACUUGAGAAGCCCCCUUGUGCAGAAUUAUUCGACGGGGUAUGAACAGGCGAGGUGAGACAUAGAGAUCAAAGAGGAGAAAUCGGCAAGGAUAAAGAGUGAACAGCUGGAAGAGCUGAGGCGAAAAGAACGGAGAGUCCCGAUCGGGAGCAGAUCGGGAAAACGAGCUGGGGAAUCAUCAGUUAUGGGCGGAAUAUCAGCUCGGUCCCGCCCUUACCCCAUAGCUCAUAGGCCGCAACAGUUCCAACACAGCCGAGCCCAACCUCCGCGCACCCCGUUUCCGGAGCAGCAACGAGAAUUCAGGCAGAUGGCUGCCCACCCUUAUCACAACACUCCCAGAGGGUUACGUGCAACUGGUUCCAGAUCUGGACGACCAGAUCAGCUAGCAACUAUACCUGCCAGAGAUGACGUUCAUGAUAGCCGAGCAGUUCAGCUGGUAGACCAGAGCUUGGCCUAUAGACAGUACACUCCAUUAAAGAUCUCUAUGGAGGAAUUGUAUGAGAGGAUCGAGGGACGAGGCCUGCUGUACCCUCCCACCUAAUAACAAAACCUGCUCAUCGACGGGAUAAGAGCAGAUUCUGCAAAUUCCACGACACUCACGGUCACACUAUCAGCCAAUGUCGUGACCUGAAGAUUCAGGUGGAGGAUUUAGUAAGGAACCGAUACUUGGAUGAGUAUGUAGACGGAGUGUCCCCUAUCAUUGAGUCAGAGUACACACGGGAUGAAGGAGUUGAGAGGGGUCUGGAACGAGAACAGCCGACCAUCCGUGUGAUAGCAGGAGGGCCAACAUUGGCCGGGGAUUCAAACAGAGCACGGAAGAACUAUAGGAGAUACGCCAUGACUGGCAAAGAGGUGCUUCUAAAUUUGCCAGCAGCCAAGAGAGCAAAAGUGCGGCAAGUUCCCAUUAUGUGGACGGAGGAUGACGAAGAGGGUAUUUUGUAUCCUCAUGAGGAUGCCUUGGUGAUUAAGGCAAUGGUGGCCGGUACAGAAUUGCGACGAAUACUAGUGGACAUGGGCAGCUCAGUCGAUAUUCUGUUUAAGUCGGCCCUAGAUGAUAUGGGAAUUUCAGACCUAAAGCUGGAACGGACGAAUACAUCCUUGAAGGGAUUUAGAGGGGGACGGUUAACUCCCAUGGGGAUCAUUGAACUCCCGAUUACUAUGGAAAUAAAGCCGUUUGAAAGAACGACGAUGCUGGACUUUGUCGUGGUAGAGGAAAGAAGCCCUUACCAGAUGAUAUUAGGGAGGCCAUUCAUGAGGAUAAGCCAAUGCGUUGUAUCCACGCAUUACCUGGCGCUGAAGUAUAGAGUAAACGGAAUGGUUGGUGUAGUCAAAGGCGACCAGAGGAUGGCAAGGAGCUGUUAUGCUACAGCAGCCAAAGAGACACUAUAGGUUACUUCUCUAGAUAAUCGAGGAGAUUCAAAAAAGGGUCGCCAAGAACCUGUUGAGAAGCUAGAGGAGGUUGUGGUAAGCAAAAACAACCCGAGCAGAGUGGUUAGGAUUGGAUCAGGAUUGGUCGGGGCAAUAAAAGGAGAGCUGGUAAAGUGCCUACAGUCCCAUGCAGAUAUAUUCGCCUGGUCUCACGAGGACAUGCCAGGAAUUGAUCGCGGGGUAGCUUGCCACAGGCUGGCGAUCAAGAAAGGGGCGAGGCCGGUGAGGCAGAAGAGGAGGUGCUUUAACCAGGAAAGGUAUGAGGCCAUAAAUGCCGAGGUUGAGAAAUUGUUGAAAGCAAGAUUUAUAAGGGAGGCCAAAUACCCGGAGUGGAUUUCCAAUGCAGUACUGGUAAAGAAGGCCAACGGGAAAUGGAGAAUGUGUGUGGAUUUCACAGACCUUAACAAGGCAUGCCCGAAGGACAGUUUUCCCUUACCAAAGAUAGAUCAAUUGGUGGACUCCACAGCUGGUCACAGUCUGCUCAGCUUCAUGGAUGCCUUUUCAGGAUACAACCAGAUACCCAUGGACGAGCAAGAUGAGGAGAACACCACCUUUAUAACUAACAUGGGUUUGUUUUGCUACAGGGUGAUGCCUUUCGGCAUGAAAAAUACAGGAGCUACCUACCAAAGGUUGGUGAACAAGAUCUUCAAGCCCUUGAUCGGACAUACAAUGGAGGUAUAUGUGGACGAUAUGAUCACAAAGUCCAAAGAAUCGAGGGAUCACGUGAAGCACCUUGAAGAAACCUUUGAAUUACUGAGGAAGUAUGAGAUGAAGCUAAACCCGGAGAAAUGUGCAUUUGGGGUCAGCUCGGGCAAAUUUCUGGGAUUCCUGGUGAGCCACCGAGGGAUUGAGGCCAACCCAGAAAAAAUACGGGCGGUUACGGAGAUGAGGUCUCCACGGACAGUUAAGGAGGUGCAGAGCCUUACAGGGAAGUUGGCAGCGCUGAACCAAUUCAUCUCAAGGGCCACAGAUAAAUGCCACCAUUUCUUCCAAACCAUAAAGAAAGGGAGAAAGAUGGAGUGGACGGCAGAGUGCGAGGAAGCAUUUGGGCAGCUGAAGGAAUAUCUAAUCCGUGCCCCGUUGCUAUCAACUCCGAGAGCGGGUGACCAGCUGUUUCUGUACUUAGCAAUCUCUAAAUGGGCUACCAGCUCAGUUUUGGUCAGGGAAGAAGAAGGAAAGCAACACCCGGUAUACUACACAAGCAAGGCCCUGGUAGACGCAGAAACCAGAUAUCCAUUGCUGGAGAGAUGGGCGUUGGCUCUAAUAACAGCAGCACGAAAACUCCGACCAUAUUUUCAGGCCCACCAGAUUGUUGUGAUGACAGACCAGCCCCUUCGUCAAACGCUUCAAAAACCAGAUGCAUCCAGUCGAUUAGUAAAAUGGUCCGUGGAGCUAAGCGAAUUUGACCUAUCCUACAGGCCCCGAGGAGCAAUCAAAGCUCAAGCUCUGGCAGAAUUUAUGGUAGACCGAGCUGAACCGGGGGAAGAAAUUCGGGAGGAGCAACCGAUAGAACAGGAGAAACCAGAGGGGGUGUGGCUGGUAAUGGUUGACGGAUCAUGUAGUGAGCAAGGACCCGGAACAGGAGUUGUAAUACGAACCCCAGAAGGAAUCGAAAUAACAUAUGCAGUGAAGUUCGAAUUUCAGCUCACAAACAACCAAGCUGAAUAUGAAGCCUUUAUCACCGGGCUCAGAGUGGCGCACACUUUAAGAGCAGAGAGGGUAGAAAUUCGAGCGGACUCCGAAUUAGUAUGUAAUCAGCUCAAUGACCAGUUCCAAGCAAGAUGAGAGAAGAUGGGCCUUUAUCUGAAGAAAGCAAAGCAGAUGGUUGAGCUUUUCCAAGAGGUGGAGGUGAAGCAGAUAUCUCGGAACGAGAAUUACCGAGCAGAUAUAUUGGCUAGGAUGCCUGCAAUUGCAGAUCCGAAAUUACCUAAGUCGGUUCCACUAGAGGUAAAGACCUCGCCAAGUAUAGGAGAGGAGAUAGAGGUGAUGAGAGUAAGCAUUGUAGAAUCAUGGAUGGACCCGAUUCGCGCAUAUAUCCGGGAUGGAAUCUUACCAGAGGACAAACGGCAAGCCAGGAAAUUAAAAUGCCGAGCAGCGAGGUACACUUUACUAGAUGGAGUGCUGUAUCACCGAGGGUUCACCUUGCCCCUUUUGAGAUGUGUGGAUGAUGAGGAGGCAGAUUAUAUACUGAGGGAGAUUCAUGAAGGAAUAUGCGGCAAUCACUCGGGAGCAAGAACUUUAGCCAUCAAGGCACUCCGGCAAGGAUACUUUUGGCCAACUAUGCACCAGGAUGCGCAAAGGAUGGCAAAGAACUGUAAAACCUGCCAAAGCUUCUCUGAGGUUCCUGCACAACCCCCAGAAAAGCUGACCACUAUGACAUCCCCGUGGCCUUUCGCUCAAUGGGGAAUCGACUUGAUUGGUCCGUUACCUAAGGGCCGAGGAGCGGCGACACAUGCAAUUGUGGCAAUAGACUACUUCACUAAGUGGGUAGAAGUGGGAAGCCUCAGCCAAAUCACUGAGAGGAAGACAACAGAUUUUAUUUGGAGGAAUAUCAUCUGCAGAUACGGGAUCCCCUAUGCCAUCAUUACAGACAAUGGGAGACAAUUUGACAACAACAACUUCAGGGAAUUUUGCCGAAAUAUGGGGGUGGACCUGAAGUUCUGCACCCCCGCACACCCCCAGGCAAACGGACAAGUGGAAGCAGCCAAUAAAGUAAUAAAGAAGCUCUUGAAAACUAGAUUGGGAGAGAAGAAGGGAGCCUGAGUUGACGAACUACCAGGAGUAUUGUGGGCCUACCGGACAACUCACAAAACCGCCACAGGGGAAACCCCGUUCGCUUUAGCCUUUGGUCAUGAGGCGGUAAUCCCAGCAGAAAUCGAAGUGGGAACACAUCGAACAGAAUAUUUCGCUGAGGAGCAAAACGACGAGCAGAUCUGCUUAAGCCUGGACCUGCUGGAGGAGAAAAGGGAAGGGGCCUAGCAGAGAGUGGCCCAAUGUCAGCAACGGGUCAUGCGCUAUUACAACAAGAAUGUACGCGUGAGGCAGUUCCGAGCAGGAGAUUGGGUACUUAGGAAGGUGAACCAAAACACCAGGGAUCCUAACCACGGUGCUCUUGGCCCAAAAUGGGAAGGUCCGUACAGGGUGAUACGAGCCACUGGACCAGGAGCUUAUAAGUUAGCGCACCAAGAUGGACGAGACGUGAAGAGGUCAUGGAACGCCGAGCACUUAAAGAAGUAUUUCCAGUGAGCAAAGUGCUCUACUAAAUCUUCAUUUUGACAAGUUAUUUGUGUUAAUUGCAUGAUGUCUUGUUGCACAUGUAUGUAUUCAGUAUUUUUGUAAUACAUUCAAAUUCCGAAUAAAGAUGAAUUCAGCAUGAAAUCCCCCUGUUAGCAAGCCCAACAAAAAUUUUACCAAGGCAAGCAAAUGCCUACUUCUGCUCGGUCAAUGAAAGACCAGCGGCUAAUUUUACGAGAAAUUUACCAAGGCAAGCAAAUGCCUACUUUUGCUCGAUCAACGAAAGACCAGCAGCCAAUCUACUAAGGCAAGUAAAUGCCUGCCUCUGCUCGGUCAACGAAAGACCAGCAGCUAAUCUACUAAGGCAAGAAAGUGUCUGCCUCUGCUCGGUCAACGAAAGACCAGCAGCUAAUUUUACGAGAAAUUUACCAAGGCAAGCAAAUGCCUACUUCUGCUCGAUCAACGAAAGACCAGUAGCCAAUCUACUAAGGCAAGUAAAUGCCUGCCUCUGCUCGGUCAACGAAAGACCAGCAGCUAAUCUACUAAGGCAAGAAAGUGUCUGCCUCUGCUCGGUCAAACGAACGACCAGCAGCUAUUCUACUAAGGCAAGUAAAUGCCCGCCUCUGCUCGUUCAACGAAAGACCAGCAGCUAAUCUACUAAGGCAAGAAAGUGCCUGCCUUUGCUCGGUCAACGAAAGACCAGCAGCUAAUCUACGAAGGCAAGUGAGUGCCUGCUUCUGCUCGGUCAACAAAAGACCAGCAGCUAAUCCUACGAAAAUCCUACUAAGGCAUGAAAGUGCCUACUUCUGCUCGGUCAACGAAGGACCGGCAGCUAAAUUUAUGAGACUUUUGCUAAGGCAAAUAUGUGUCUGCUCCUGCUCAGUCACCGAAGACCAGCAGGCAAUUUUGCGAAAAUUUUUACCAAGGCAAACAGAUGCCUAUUCCUAAUUCGAUGCACUAAAGAACCAACAGGCGAAACCAGACAAGAAAGCCAAUAGAGAGCAUUUAAAAAAUUUUAUAAGCGUUCAAAUGUUUACAAAGCAAAUGAAAAACUAGAGUCUUUACAAAAAUAGACCUAAGGAUUAGGAGGAUCAACGGCCUCAGCAGGUGAAGGGUCAGCUAUCUCGGGAGGUAGAAGAUCAGCAAUAUCGGGAGGAGGAGGCACGGACCCCUGCCCCACUUCAAAAACACGCUGCCCAGCUUCUCCCUCCUGCACCCCAUUCAAAGGAACCUCCACCUGCUCCUGCUCAUCUUGCUCCUUAUCUCCCUAGCCGGCCCCAGCCAUAUACCUCUCCACCCCAUAUUCCAGCUUGCUCAUGUCGAGCUCGGGGUAUUCUUCCUUGAGUACAGACAUGAUGCACUUAUAGCUGAAAGCAACCCCGGAGUUAUACUCAGCAUCCAACCGAUCAUCCACAUCAGCGGAUUUGCCUUUCUCUUCAGCCAGCUGGUCACUCAGGGAUUUGAUCUCUCCCUCAAGGGCGGUCCUCAGAGUAUCUCUUUCACUUUGAGUAGCCUGAAGAUCGGACUUCAGAUCACCCAGCUCACCCUCAAGCUUGGAGGAAGUAGACUCAGCAAUCGCAACUUUCUCCUCAAGCUCCGUAAGCUGCUUGUUCAGCUCGGCCAGCUUCUCCUUGGACCAAUCAGCAGAUUCGACUUUCUUUUUCAACUCCUGGUUAUCAGCUUGAAGCUUCCUCUCAUGACGCGCGGACCCGGUCUUGUAGCACGAGACCAUUGUGGCCAGCCUGAAGGAGACUCUUUGAACAGAAGCAGCUAACUCGGAGAGGUUCAUGCUCUCGAUGUCCUUCACCAUCAUAGGCCCAACCGAUUUUUUGUAAUCUUUCUGAUAUGGGCUCAGGUAGUCACCUUGAUCCCGAGAUGGAAGAGGAGAAGAUCGGUCCCCAAACUGCAAGCUGACCUCAGGACUCUUGUCGGAGGUUUUCUCCCCACCACUCUUACGGGAUGGGGGAGGGGGCAGAACAGGGACAGGAGCCUUGGAGGGGCCGACGCUGUUCUUCUUUGGAGGAGGAGGAGGGUUACUGGAGCUGCUUGGAGCCCGACCACGCUUUCGGGAUAGAGUGCUAAGAAUCUUAUUAUCCAUUCCGGCAGCUAUGUCCACCAAACCCGAACCAACCAGGGCUGUCGGUGACAGGAGAUCUUGGCAGGCAGAUGCGUUCACCAGAGCAGUUUCCACCUGGAGCAGAGGUCGGACUUCAAGCCCCUUUAUCAAACCCCACGACUCUGAAAGAACAAACAAGGUUAAAGAACCCAAUAAGUAACAAGUCGAGAAAGAGUAUAUGCAAAAAAUGAACGACCUGGGGUGACAAAAUGUGUUGGAAGAUAAAUAUCACCACCCAACGAAUGAGCUGCUGGACACCAAGCUCCCCCAGCAAAGAAGAAUUUGUUCUUCCAAUUUUUGCACGAGGAGGGGAAGCCGGUGAUUGGUUUCCUCUUCGCAGAGCUCGACAUGAAGUAAUACCAGCCUGCUUCCUUCGGGCUACUCCUCAGCUGGUAUAGAUGCUUCACUUCAACGAGGGAGGGCUCCUCUGAUCCACACCUCUUCCACAACACAUACAUAGCCGAGAGAACCCUCCACCCAUUGGGAUGUAGCUGACCUGGGGCCAGGUGCAUACCACCCAAUAUCUUAGCAAAAUAACGUUGAAGGGGCAGCCGAGCUCCUAAUUUGAAGCUCUCCAGGUGCAUCGUCACAUACCCCCGCGGAGGUCGACUAGGGACAUCACCUUUUCCUGGAACUACCAGGAGAAUCUCCGCAGGAAUGUCGUAAAGGUUCCUCAGCUUGAAUAGAUUAGUUUGGGUGGUGGCACAAGCUGUGUAGUUAAUAGGGUAAGAAUCCGCCUCUACCCUAUGACCAAGGUGCCUUUUCUGAGGAGGUCCGCUCGGUCCGGAGCUGCUCCCCUCACCAUCACUAACUCCUUCAGGGAUCCCAACCCCAUCAAAGCUGUGGUUCUCACCAGAGCCCGACGCAGGUCCACCUCUAUUCCCUACAAGCUCUAGUUCGGGGGAGGGAGAGACAACCAAAGGGCGUGGGUACUCAAGGGUAUCCCUGCCAUGGGAAGGACCUACACUACUGGAGGGACCUAAGAAAUCGGUGGGUAUUGGCACGUUGAGGCCCGAAUCCCCUGAUUCUUCCUCGCCCUCAUCAACAAUUAACUUUCUUUUCCGGUUUCACAUAUCGGAAUCCCAAAAGAAAGCAAAGAAAACUCGAAUAUACGGAUACAAAAGGGGGCAACACGGAACCCAAUCAACAAUAACCAGAGAAGAGAUUAAAAGCAGUACCUGAGAUUAACUGGCCCUGAUAGCGCUGCCGUGACAGAGAAAAAACCAGCAAGUAGAAACUCCAGACGCAGGAAGUGUGAGUAAAGUUCAGAGAGGAGGCUGGUUAACGGUGGAGAAACGGAUAAACAAAGCAAUGAGGAUUUCAACCUAGGGAUUUGAAGUGAAAAGGGAAAAAAUAGAAGCAUUUAAGCGAUGAGGAUGCCAGCUCACUCACCACAUAUCGAGGGUGGAUAGCCCGUCGUUUCAAAUUUCAAAUACGAAGAGUCUGGUGAUGCCACGUCACUAACCGUUACAAGAGGCCAGGAUAGAUGUAAGCCCAGAUAUGCAAUGGACAUGUUCACUUAGGCCCAUGCUCAGGUCGAAGUCUCCCCAGAAGAAAAAUGGUACAUCAGGUCAGGCCCGUCCCAAUAAACAGAGGACCAGAUGAGAAGCUCCCCGGGUUGGUGAGAUUUGACCAUCAGUUUCUACUCUUAACUCAUUUCACUCGCCAGACCAGAAACUGGGGGACUGGUGUUGAGUACAUAAAAGCCCCAGGUCGGCCAUGCUACUAUUUCCACCCCGGCAUGGAUCACCUCGGCCAAAUGGUAUGAGCAGAACGCGGGAUGAACACGAGCCAACCAGAGACGAGUACCGGCCAGGGUAAUGUACCGACCGGAAUCUUAUACCGAGCCGACACCAAUUCCCCAAAAAAGCGGGAACACGAUCCCACAGAAUCACGGUAGUUGCGCUUUUCCCAGAACCGUUGUGGGAGAUGCGAGAUCCCACGUUUGCCCACAAUGUAGCAGUUAAAAUCCCAUGAGAGGCUACCACUACCCGAGAAAGGGGGGGAAUGAAGGGUGAGUGAAAACGUGGGACAGCGGCUAUAAAAGAAGAAGAAACCGAUGAAGAAAGGGACAAAAAAAUUGAGAGAGGGAAAACGCUGCCAAAUUGCAAUCAGGCCAUUUUCUUACAAGACUCCGAAUAAUUUAGAAACCAUUUUUAGAUCUAAAUUGCAAUGUUUUCCCGUAAACACCUUGAGCUAACUUAGGCAUCGGAGGGUUUACGCCGGCAAAACCACCGGCGACUCUGAUCCGUUUUUGGUGAACGUAGGUCUAGUAAGAGAAAGGAGGGUGAUUCCAGCCUCAGAGGUUCGCGCAACAGUUGACAACAUAAACGUUGGUGAAAGAAUCUGGUCGGUCAAAAGGCGAGCAGAUUUAAGCAUCAACAGUUUCCUCUAAUUUAGAUAUUUUUUUUUUUACAUCUCUCUUUCUAGUUUGAUAAUUUAGGGUUAUACUUGAAUUAAUUGUAUUUUUAAUCAACCAAGGUUGAUUUAAUUGAUUCCAAGUCUCAAUUUCCUGUUCAACAAACAAGGAACGCACAAAUCAUUUUCAUUUUCAUACUCAAUUUUGAAAGAAUUAAUUUAUUUUAUCUUUGGUUAGUACACUUUUGUUCAAUUUUUGUUUAUUUAACUUAAGAUAUAGAUUAUAUUGAGAACAGAGCUUUCUCCUUAAUUCCGCCAAGAGCAACGUUGAUUUCAGGUGAUAAUUGUGUAAUAUUUUCAAUUGAAAUUAAUUGAGUCUCGUAAUAAUAAUAGGGAUUUGAGAUUUACAUCCUGUUGAAAUGAUUUUAGAGUGUUAUUUGAAUGCGCAUUAAUUGUUUGAUUAAAUGUCUCUUUAAAAGAUUAUUUUUAUUUUUAGCAAACAUCUUAAUGCACUUUGCAAAUUGAAUCCAACAAGGGAAAAUUAUAGAACUGCAGCAGUUUUCAAAUUGAUUGCAUAUUAGAAGUAAUGUUAAUUUAUGCUGCAACAGUUCAAUGGGCUGGGCACAAGUUUAGGACUUUAGUUGCUCAAUUAAUGAAUCCACCACUCAUCAGACUUGGAACUUAUAUCUAUUGAAUCAAUAAAAAUAGUUGAUGGAAUCAAUGCCGAAAGCUUCAUUUGAUAUUUAUUUAUAACAUCUGUUAGAUUCUGGACAAUCACAAAGAUAUAGUAGCAGAAACUAUGUUAGAGACACUAUAGUUGCUUAAUUAGUGAAAUUGUGCUCUCAUUGCCCCCUUUUUUUGGUUGAUUCUAUAAUCUUAUUAGUUGUUCUUGUGGUUGUAAACAAUAUCAAUUUCUAAUAUUAAUAAAACUGAAUGAAUAAAAUGUGAUGCAUUUGCAGGAAAGUUAAUAGUUUAAAUAUGGAUAAAUCUUGGAUGUUGGUGGAUAGAAGGUCUGUAGAAUAUGAGAACACGGUAAAUGAGUUUCUCAAGUUUGCAGUACUUCAUGCUAGUCAUCCUGAGCUUUUGAGAUGUCCAUGCCAGGCAUGUCUUAGUUUUUAGGCUCAAACAAUUAAGAGUAUAGAAAAUGCAUGAUAGAACACAGAACUCAUAUUUUAGCAACAAUCCUCAGCUCACUGGCCCUUAGUUUAGAAUGACAAUUCUUAUUAGCCAAAGAUUCAAAAUGAUUUUUAGUUGUUUAUAAGUAGAGCACUAGAUCAACAAAUAAUUGAAGACCUGCAGCUUGGCUAUUGAACUAUAAGAUGAUGGCAAUUCGAAGACUAUAACUUGGCUCUGCCAUUCGAAGUAAGCAACGCAGCUGCCCAAAGUCUGCCAAGCCAUCAAGACUAAGUAUACUUCAAAGCUACAUCCAGACAAUACUAAGGGUGCGUUUGGGAUUGAGGUUGGGUAGCUGUAGCUUAAAAGCUACAGCACUAAAGUGUUUGGUAAACACUAACUGCUGUAGCUUUUAAGCUAUAUUGAUAUAAUUUUUCACUUGUAUAAUACAAAAUCUAUUAUAUCUUUAAUAAUUUUAUCAAAAUUAUUAUUUAAAAUUUAUAUUUACUAUAUAUUAUUAACUUUUGUUUCAUAAUUACAGUUUUUUUUUCACAGCAGCUGUAGCUUAAAAGCUACAGCACCUCAAUCCCAAACGCACCCUAAGAUACAACAUCAAUAAUAAUAACAUCAAGAAAUACAUGGAGGCCAUUACAUGUUACACCCACCCCAAUAAGAAAAAUACAGUCCUAGAAAUUUACAAACCCGUGCAGCAGGAAUAACCAAUUAAUUUAUACAGUUCAAUACUCGUUCCUCUGUUUCAAAUCCAAAUACACUGGUCUACUAUUCAUUAUGACAAUGCAUAUGCCGAUAUUGUCUUCCAUCCUUUUUGUACCUUUCAAUUUAGUGAGGUUUAGACAGGGGUUCCAGAUUUGGUAAAUCAACAAUCACCAGAUAUGUAGAGCGGCCGGAAGAGGAAGCAUGGUUCCUAAUCCUAAUCUUGAUUUAGAGCAGAUUAGGUAACACGUGGCAUUCUACAUUCUUGCAAUGCCAUUUCUUGUUAUGGCAGCGGCAUUCUUGGUCAUGGCAUCACAAGCAAAUGCUUUGAUUUGAAGACUUGCUUGGCUAUGAAAAAUAAGGAGAGCAAAGGUAGUUAAUCUUGGUGUGAUCAACAUUUUUAUGGGGUUACUAAGAAAAAUAAAGAUAAUAUAAGGAAUGUUGUUGAGGAGUAUUUUCAUAUUUACACAAGUGUUCAAAGUAAAAAUUGAUUUCUUAAAACCCAUUAGCUAGCGCACAUAAUAAUGGGGAGACAAUUUUAGACUACGAGUGGUCCCACCCAUUUAAUAAUAUUCUUCAAUCAAUUAUGUUUACUUCAAAAAAAAAAACCCCAUCUCUUUAUUACUUUCUAACUAUUCAUAUUAAUGUGUUAAUAAUUAUGAAGAAACGGUGUAAUUUAUAUGAUGUAGGAAGCACUUUAGGCAAAAUCAUUUGAAUCUCAAAAUUUCGUGAUAUUGUGCCAAAUAUCCAAAACAGAGCUUCCUACAUUUCAUUGCGCUAGCUAAUUUCUUGUACCAAAAUUAGGAAUCACUGAAAAAUAGAGUUACGUGACUGAAUAGUAUCAUAUCACAGAAACUCAAAACUCAAAAGUGCAAUAACAUUGAACAUUCAGCUGGCUAGCUUAUAUUAAUUAAUUAAUACUACUACUAGUUCUUUAUGAUUAAUUAAAAGAUAAAAUAUUUGACAAUCACAAAACAUUAUUCUAUCACUGAAGAGUAGAGCUUCCUACAUUGUUACCCAAGCUCUUUUAUAUCUCCCAAACAUUAUUAGAGUCCCACAUUUGUGGCACAUCAUUAAGUAAAAUGUGCCAAUUAGGAAGAGCUGGCUUCUUUGUUUUGUUUUCUUGGAUGUGUUGCAAUUUUCAAGUAUCAUUCAAAAUUUUACGCCAUCAACACAGGAAAAUUAUAUAUAUUCUGUCAGCACUUGCAUAUGUUGCAAGUGCUGACAGAACUUUUCAUUUGAUUUGAUAAUUGGCUAAGGGUGAUUUCGAUAACGUUUCCAAAGAAGAUAUAGAACAUAGAUCAAAAAGAAAAAUAAGUAAUUUGAUCAGUCGAUGCAAAAAAUGAGCGAGCUUCGUAGUCUGACUAACAGGACAUGGCUUGGAGCAAGGAUCAAUGGACAAGUUUGAGGUUUAUGAAAUAUUGGGAAAAGAGACAAAUAAUAAAGCCACUACAAGUUAAGCAGAUCAAAUAAACAGAACAGAGGAAAUAAGUGAUCAAUUUAUUACUUUGUGCAAUGGCCACAGCAACAGCGAAAAUAUGUCUACAUGACUACAUUAUCCGACUGGCAUGGUACUAUAACCGUGCAGCAUUACACUAACAUUUCCUUAUCAAUCAAUUUUGAUGGUAUGAUAUUAAAAACAUCGAUUUCAUAAUUUUAUGUAAUUCAAGAAUAUGACAGCUGUGUGUUGUCGUCUGGAUCACAUGUUCUUCACGUGAUUUCAUUUACCCUAUACGGCACAUUUGUCAGUCGUUUUGGUCACUCAUUGAAGCACGAAUUAAGGACGUCAUUCAAGGUUGUUAAUUGACCUUUACAAGGCGGAAAAAUUCUGGGUUUGUUUUAACAAACCCUGAAUGCAGCUUGUGAGUGGGGGGAACUUUCUAGAUUCUUCAUGAUCUGUAUAUAUAGUCUUAGAGGCUACAGUUGAGACAUAUGAAAAGCUUGUAACUUCUUCUUAAUGCUUGUAGUUUGAUCUCGGUGAUGGAGAUAAGAUUGCUGCUCUGUUCUUCACUUGAUAUAGGCUAUCUCCAAGCGGAACCACUUAAAUUGUGCCUCUGUUUUGCUUGUUUCAGUUGUUAUUCUUGUGAGGUGUGUGAUUUGCUUGUCAUUUCUAAAUCAUCAAUUAGAGAGUUUAGUGAGUUUAAUCGAUCAAGAAUCAACAAGAUGCUAUGAAAACAAAAUAUAUACAAAACUUAUAUCUGGUGGUUUGUCAAACGUACAGAGAAGAGAGCAAACUGUGGCAGGAUAGCAAAUACUGCGAAUGGUCAUUCUCAACACGAACGCCUAUGGCUGUUUUCCUUUUAAUUUUCUUCUUUGAAUUCUCCUUUUAUUAAUCAUUAGAAAAACUCCCUUUUUUAAAAUCAUGUGUUAUAAACAUUUACAUGGUUAAUGUCAUCGAAAUCAAAUGGUUGUUAUCUACGAAAAAGAGAAUUGCUAGAAAUUUUGUUAGUCCCAUUGCAACAAUAUAUUGUUAUAAAUUGCAUUGUUUCCCAUAUAACAAAUAUAAUAAAAUCUCAAUAAAUUAAUAGUUUUGGGGAUCAUAAAAAAAAUUAUUAAAAUUUAACUAAUAUCAAUUAAUUGGCAAAUUAAUAAAUUAUUAAUUUAUGAAAAUAUUCAUUAUUUUAGAAAAACAUGAUCACGUUUUUAGUAUUGAUUUACCUUGAGCUAGUAUCUAUUAUGUUUUAAUUGGUCCCAAUAAUAGUUUAAUUGUAAAUAAUUAAAUAUAUCAGUAAUGAUUUUUAAAAAAGAUCACUAGCAUCAGAUUAUUGGGCGGUAUUAAGGAGAAGUUAUGCUUAGUAUUUAUAAUUUAUGUAAGAUGAAUUUGUAAGACUUAUUAAUUUCUAUUAAAGAGUUUUUCAGUUAUUAAUUCAUUAAGUUAACUUGAAGUAUUAAUAUUUACUAAUUGUGGUGAUUAAUUCAUUAAAUUAACAUGUCAUAAUUUUCAAUGAAGAAUGAAGUUCAAUCAAUGUACAAAAAAAAGAUAUAUAUAUAUAUAUAUAUAAGAUUUUAAUUCCUAGUUUGAUUUAACUUUGUUUCGGUUAUUGACAUUGCUGAAGAGGCAGUAAAAGCUUGUUGAAUGUCAUCAAAUGCACAAAUUGGCAAUAUCGGUUGGCUUCUUUAUAGGCGCAUCCAUCACAAAAUGAAAGUAACAACAACCACCAUCGAAAAUUAAUUUACCUGAAAUCUUUGAAAAGAAAAAUUAACCUGACAUUUAUUGAUUUAUUUUUUUGGGGGCAAAGAAAGAACGGAACAGAAUUAUGAGUUUUGGAAAGCAGAAUGAGAAAAUUGAACAGAUGAGAAAAUGGAUAAUUAAGCAGAAUGAAUUUGCGACUGUGACGGGUCUGGUCCAGCAAGCUUAGUAGAAAUUACGCGCUGAUACUUCAUUGACCAAUGACUAAUAAUUUGGCAAUUCACCCAUCACCAGCACUUGGUAAGCAAAACGAAAAUGCUUAGUAAGUGUCAAGGGUCAAGCAAGAUACGACGUAAAAUGAGGCAAGUCUCCCCACUUGUUGUUCCUUGCAGCUAAGAAAAGAAAAACAGAGCCCACCACCCAUUAAUAAUUUAGCAAUUCACCAAUCACCACCACUUGUUACGAAAUUCCAUUAGGUAUUCGUAUGUCAAGCAGUUAAUCCAGUGUCUAUUACCUAGAACCUUCACUUUACAAAUCUUCAUCUCAAAUACCAAGUUAAAUCAAAACGUUUCUCUCUCACUCUUUCCUUUUAAACUCCAAAAACGUUUCUUUUUAGAAAUAUUUUACUUUAUUCAUGUAAUAUGUUGUCUAACAAAUAGACACAAUUGAAAUCACUCUAAAGUGCAAAUAAAAAAAUAAAAAAAAUCCAAUCACCAGUAAUUUAGCAGGCUUCACUUUAUUCCACCAAAGUGUAAAUAAAACCAGGCCUCACUGCCAUUAAUAGUUUUACAAGCUUCACACGCUUGUUGUUGUGUCUGCUUGACGAACUGGACAUGGGUGCAUCAAGAAUCAAUGAAAGAAUUUAAAAAAAAAAAAAACUGCACAUUUUCGAUUCAGAGUAGAACGGUAAUUAAUGCUAAAAUUUACUCCGCUAACGUUUUCAAGAUAUUGUUCUUUAUAAUUCUACAGCAAAUAAGACUAAGUUUUGGACAUUUUCAAAUUCACUACUUUCACAAGCAAUAUUUUGAAACAUUUUACAGAAUUAGCGAUUAUAUAAAGAGAAAAGUGCAAAGUUGCGUAAUUCUAAUGUGCCUUUGGAUUUAACCUGAAAUGAUCCGAAGGCCAGAAAUUGUAACGGCGGGCUUAAAUGUCAACACGCCAAGACAGUUAAUAGCAGCUAAAUUGGAAAAAAAAAAAAAAGGCAAUAGAAGUAUAGAUGGAGCAAUUUUUCGCUUAGGUCAUAGGUGCAAGAUGAAACUAAAAAAAGGUGGCAGGCAAUUUUAUCACAGAUGCUCAUGAUCGUUUUUUGUUUGGGUCGUCAACUCGCCAUGAGCCAUGAUUGAAUUAGAGUGUCUAGAAAGAAAAUUAAUAAAUAACGGUUUAUAUAUUUGGUCGUCGGAAUAUUGUAAGUGAGAAAGAUUAUCUUGUUUUUUUAUUAAUUAAGAUUAAGGUCAACUUACAAUUUUAUUUUAUUUUUUUAUGAUUUUCAAUCUUUACCAAAAGAAAAAUAUUUAGUGAUCCCUUUUAUCAACUUGCUUUUAUUGACUUUCUUCCAAUAAUAGAAGUGAAAAGAGAAACAGAGGCCACCACCACCAAGUGUUACCGGAUUCUAUAAAGACAAAAUCAGUGCCCAGCAAAAAGAAUCCAACUUUUCGUUAUGUGUUGCUUCCUAUUUAGUACAUGCACAUAUAGAUAUAAGAUAUCCACAUGCAUAUGCAGCGCGUCUAUCUAAAAUUUGAAAAACAGAAUUAGAAACCUUCUUGAAUAGGAAUAGAAAUACUCUCUAAUACUUCCUAAAAUAAUUAACCCUAAAUAAUUUGUCCUGCAUCACCAAACUCCGGAUUUUACAAAGCACGCAUAAAGGAUAAUAGACACGUUUGAGGUUUUUUUUUUAAAAAGAAAAAAAGAUUAUGAAAAUAGACAAAUAAUGAAGACACAAGUUAAGCAGAGCAAAUAAACAGAGGAGAAUGAAUUCAAUACUAUCCUUGAGAACUCAAUUCUUUAAUAAACUCAAUUUUUUAAAUGUAAUUUCUUUUUGGGGGUUAAACUCAUGUCAUAGACUGUAGUCUUUAAUUUGGGUUUGUUGUAUCAAUUUUUUGGAGUUUAUCUUGUUUUAUUUUUUCGUUUUUAUAGUGCAAGAUUUUCGGUGGAGAUAAAUCAGGAAUAAGAGUGAAAUCCCAAUCUUAAAAUUUGGGAGAAAUGAAAUGCGAUAUGUUUUUUCAUGAAUAAAACAAUUCAAUUUGAUUGAUUUUUGAGAAAUUAUAAAGGAAUUAAUACAAGUAAAGUGAGCCUAUUCAUUUGAUUUGAUAGUUGGCUGAGGGUGAUUUCGAUAACGUUUUCAAAGAAGAUACAGAACAAAGAUAAAAAAGAAAAAACAAUUAAUUUCAGUCGAUGGAAGAAAUGAGCAAGAUUCGCACAUGCAUGCAUGCAUCUGACUAACAGGACAUGGCUUGGAGCAAGGAUCAAUGGAAAAGUUUGAGGUUUAUGAAAUAUUGGGAAAACAGACAAAUAAUAAAGCCACUCCAAGUUAAGCAGAUCAAAUAAACAGAACAGAGGAAAUAACCGAUCAAUUCUUUGUGCAGUGGCCACAGCAACAGCGAAAAUAUGUCUGCAUGACUACAUUAAUUAGAAACAUUGAGUUCAUAAUUUCGUGUAAUUUCAUGUACUAGAUAUAUAUAAUUGAUUUGAGUUAGUUUAACAUCUAAAGAAAGAGUAAUGGGGAAUGAUGUCGAUGUGGCAUCUGAUGAGUAAUGAUAGACAAUAAAUACUGAUCAUGUAAGAAUGAAGUCUGUAUUUACUGAAAAAUAUUUGGUAAUAAAAUGAUGCUUUAAAAAUUUAAUAUUAGUUGCAACAAAAUAAAUUGGCAAUUAAAAUUAAUAUAUAUGUAUCCAAUGCUUCGAGUUUAUUUUAUCACUUCGCUAACAAUUUUGUAACUACAUUUUAAUUAUAAUGUGGAAAGGAGAUUUGAUUUUUGUAUUUAAAAAAUUAGGAAUGAAACAAGUCAAAAUCAAUCACAAGAACAACAAUAAGAGCAUAUUUUAUAAAAACCACAAAUACAUAAUAUAAAUUUAGUUUCGAAUUAAGUAAUUAUUAAUUUGCAUAGUAAGAGAGUCUUAUAGAAAAAUAGGAAUUUUUUUAAAAGAGAUUUGCUUAAGGAACAACUUUAGUUUGGUUUAGUUUGUGAAGGCUCAAGUAAUUGAAAGCAAUGCAAUUGAAGGAAAUACAAGCAUGUGUCUAAUUAGCAAAUGAAUUUCACUUUAACAAAGAAUAAAAGCUAAUUUCAUUGAUGGCAUAUGUUGUGCUUUCUUUUAUUUUAUUUUAUUUUUUUUCCUUUUAGUUAUUGAGGUUACUUUGCAAACUGCUCCAAGCUAAAUACAAAAUUUACUCUUACACUAGGAUCUUUGCAAUGGUCCUGCAAUUUGUAUUCCUUUUGGUCAGAUUGGUUUUCUUAUUUAAAUAAAAUUUCAGGGAUGGGAAAUCUUAUCCAUUGAAUAUCAACUUUGAAUUUUAUUAACAUUCAAACUUAGAAAGUACUUCAGGAACAAAGUGCAUUCAUAGCCGAUUAAACUAUGUCUAGCUACUACAAUGCAAGUUUCACUUUUACUUAAUUAAAUAUACAAAAUUAAAUCACAUGAGCUUGUCGUUUCAUUAUACGUCAAAUUAAAAUUAAAACGCAGAAUUGACGGUAUUGGAGUUUCAUAUUUAAUUUUUCUGUACUCAUGGGGAAUCAGAUGGCCAUCCAUUUUUACGUCUAUUUUAUGUCCAUCCCCACUAAGUAGCUUGGUCAUAUACAAUAUAGAAAAUGCAUGAUAGAAAAUGCAUGAUAGAAUAGAGAACUCAUAUUUUAGCAAUAAUCCUAAGCUCACUGGCCCUUAGUUCAAACUGGCAGUUCUUAUUAGUCAAAGAAUCAAAUUGACUUUUAGUUGUAUAUAAGUAGAGCACUAGAUCAACAAAUAAUUGAAGACUUGCUUGGCUGUGGAACCAUAGGAAGGCAAUUCGUGAACAUCCUUGAUAUUUCGUUUGGUUUUAUUUAAUUCUUUGUAAAGUUGUAUUGUAAGUAAAAUUUUUGUUAAAUGAAAUCCGUAGGUGAAGAGAAUUUUUAAAAGCAACCAUCAAAGUCACGAUCAAAAGGAAGAAAUCAGUAUAAAUAUUGAUUGUCUCAAGUUAGAUUAUACAAAGAUGAAAUAAUGCUAAUCUAAAAAAUUCGAUGAUUAUAAUUUGAUUUCCAUUAUAUUAAUUAUAUUCAAUCAUGCUCUUUAAAUGAAGAACACUCUAGCAUUUAUAUACACUCAGCUUAUGAAAUUAAUUACAAAACGAUCUUUGACAAAGUCUGAUGAAAAAAGUACAAAGUUAGACUUCCCGAUCAUGCAACCACCCAUCGAAUUGUGUAUUGUGUCAUCGUUGAGCUCUUAGAAGGAUUCAGCUGCUGAGGAGAAGAUAUAAUCUGUUUUUGUGUGAGAAGUUAUGUACUCUCCUUUUAUGGUGUUUCUCUUGGUAGUUGUCGGACAAACUGUAAUGUGAAUUUCUAUCUAAUGGGUAUCCUUUUAGUUAGUUUGGGAUUGUUGAUUUAUAUAUGAUGUUUGGUAUCUAAAAUUCAGAUGAUGAUAAUCUUGGCAGUACUUUUGUCAAAUUUUCUUGUGUUGUUGUUGGUUUAAUAAAAUAUCACAAAGGUGCAAAAUACAGUAAAAUUAACAUUGAGCUCAUGAGAUUGCCAUUAGAUAUAUUGAAAAAGAAAUUGACACAAGAAACUGAAAAUUAGUUGUUAAUUAUGAUGGGAAUAUAAUCUUGGUAUUUCAAUUAUAUCAUUUGUACUAAUCUCAUUUGUGUCUAUCAUAAAAGCAGAGUGGCUUGAUUGAAUAGUGUCAUAUUACGUCACAGCAAUCACAGAAACUCACCCAAAAGUGCAUGAGCAUUGAACAUUCAGCUAAUUUAUACUAAUUAAUUAAUAAUACUAACAAGAGUAGUUGGAUCUCGUCUUCUCUUGGAUAUAUCCAAUGACUUUGACUCAAAUAUGCUAUUGCAAGAGGAGAUUUCUAUUUUGUCUGAUUUAAGCCAUAAGACGCGUUUCAAGGUUCAUUCUGAUUGGUUAUCUGUUAGCUUUUUUGUUUUAAGAACUUCUUAUUUACGGAAGCAAAAUUCUCCUUUCCAGGAUGAUCUAGAUUUAGAAGUUGCUUUUGUCAUAUCAGACGAAGAGGCCAUCUUUAAGGCCUUGUCUAAGAUUGUUGAAUUUACUAGAAGGGACUACUGCUCUGAUUCGUCAAAACUACUAUGGCUGUCUUUUUCAUGAGCUUCUAAUAUAGAAUCAGUUUUAAUGGUAUGAUAUUAAAAACACCGAUUUCAUAAUUUUAUGUAAUUUCAUAGAAAAUAUAUAAUUGAUUUGAGUUAGUUUAACGUAUAAAGAAAGAGAGAUGGGGAAUGAUGUCGAUUUGGCAUGUGAUGCGUAAUAAUAGACACCAAAUAUUAAUCAUGUAAUAGUGAAAUAUAUAUUUGCUGAAAAAUAUUUGGCAAUAAAAUAAUGCUUUAAAAAUUUAAUAUUAUUUGCAAGAAAGUAAUUCGACAAUUAAAUGUAAAAGAUGUAUAUGCGACGCUUCAAGCUUAUUUUAUCACUUCAUUAGCCAUUUUGUAACAACAACUUUAAUAGAAGUUCAAUUAAUUCUGAUGCAUUCCAAAAAAAUUAGAGAUGAGGUAAGUUAAAAUCAAUUACAAGAACAACAAUAAGAAUAUAUUUUGUAAAACCCACAAAUAUAUAUAAUAUAAAUUUAAUUUCGAAUUAAGUAAUUACUAAUUUAUAUAGUAAGAGAGUCUUAUUGGAAAGCAGGAAUUUUUUAAAAGAGAUUCGCUUAUGGAAAAAGUUUAGUUUGGUUUAGUUUGUGAAGGCUCAAAUAAUUGAAAGCAAUGCAAUUGAAGGAAAUAUAAGAUUCUAAUUUUUUUAAAGUAAUCGCUAAAAUAUUUGACGAAUAGCUACAAGUUGGCAAUGCAAAUAAACGGAGGAAAACAGGGCAAAUAUUUACUUUCUUCCAAAAAUAAUAAAUGCACAAUCUGCUAUUACUACUAUAGAAUGUUAGCUACUAUAUAUGAGCACGUGUCCAGUUACCAAAUAAUUUCCACUUUAAAAAGGAAUAAAAGCUAAUAUCAUUGUUAGCAAAUUUUAUUUAUUUAUUACAAUUUUUUAUUAUCCUUUUUUUUUUUUGCGCUUUUAGUUAUAGGCCUAAAAAGAUAAAGCUAAAAAUCAAUCCCAAAUCUAAAGUGAAAAAUUGUGUCUAGAACAGAAUCUAUGUUUUGAUGUCUUUGUUUACAAGCUUAAACAAUUCAUAGUAUACAAAAUGCAUGAUAGAGAACAGAACUCAUAUUUUAGCAAUAAUCCUCAGCUCACUGGCCGUUAGUUCAGAAUGACAAUUCUUAUUAGUCAAAGAGUCAAAAUGAUUUUGAGUUGUAUAUAAAUAGAGCACUAGAUCAACAAAGAAUUGAAGACUUGCUUUUGCUAUUAAACCACGCGAUGGCAGUUCGAAGACUACAGCUUAGCUCUGCCAUUCGAAGUAAGCAAUUCAGCUGCCCAAAGACUCUCAAGCCAUCAAGACAAUACCAAGAUACAACAUCAAGAAUCACGUACAGACCGUCACAUAUUACAUUUGUCCUCUGUUUUAAGAGAGAUUUACGAGCCCAUGCAGUAGGAGUAAUUAAUUAAUUUAUACAGUUCAGUACUCAUUCCUCUUUCUUCUGUUUCAAAUCCAAAUCUAGUGCUCCAUCAUUUAUUAUGACGCAAGGUAUAUGGGUUAGCAUGUGUCGAUAUUGUCCUCCAUUCUUUGUGUACCUUUCUUCGAACAAGGGACAACCCGAGAUCUCUAAUCGCAAAAGGGAGGCAGGCAGGCCCUUCUCUGGAAAGUACUUGAGCUUGGGACAAUUACAGAGUUUAAUGAAAUGAGGUUUUGAUGAUCAACAAUUGAGGAAGACAGGCGUUCCAAAUUUAGUAAAUUAACAAUAACCAAAUAUGGUAGGGUGGCAGGCAGAGGAAGUGUGGUUCCUAAUCCUAAUCUUGAUUGAUAACUGGCUAUAAAACAUGUGGCAUUCUACAUUCUUGCAAUGCCAUUAAUUUCUUGUUAUGGCAGCAGCGUUCUUUCAUCAUGGCAUCACAAGCAAAUGUUUGAUUUGAAGACUUGCUUAGCUGAGAAAAAUAAGGAGAGCAAAGGUAAUUAAUUUUGGGGUGAUGAAUAUUUUUAUGGGUGUACUAAGAAAAAUAAAGAUAAUAGAAGUAAUGUUAUUGAGAAGCAUUUUGAUAUUUACAAAAGUGUUCCAAGAAAAAAGUUUUUUUUUGAAAUCUAUUUGCUGGUGCACAUAACAAAAGGGCAUUCUGAGUAAAUUUAAAACUACAAAUAGUCUCACUCUUUUAAUAAUAUUCUUCAAUUAAUUCUGUUUAUUUCAAAAUAAAUAUUCUAUCUCUUUAUUACUUUCUAACUAGUCAUGCUAAUGUGCUAAUAAUUAUGAAGAACUAGUAUAAUUUAUAUGAUAUAAGAACCCCUUUAGCACAUUAACCCGAAUUUAGCUAAUACAUGUGCCUAAUAUAGCGAAAUCAACAUUCAGCGCAUUAGAGUGCUAUUAUAUUUAUUGAGAAAGAAAUUAACACAAAAAACUGAAUAUUAAUUGACACUGGAUCAUGUUGGAUUGUCAGUUGUUAAUUAUGAUGGGAAUACAAUCUUCAUCAUUGCAGCUACUUGACUCAGAUAUGCUAUUGCAAGAGGAGAUUUCUAUUUUGUCUGGUUUAAGCCGUAAGAUGGAUUUCAAGAUUCGUUCUGAUUGGUUAUCUGUUAGCUUUUUGUUUUAAGAAGUUCUUAUUUACGGAAGCCAAAUUCUUCUUUCCAGGUUGGUUCAGAUUCAGAAGUUGCUUUUGUCGUAUCAGAAGAAGAGGCCAUCUUUAAGGCCUUGUCAAAGACUGUGGAAGUACUAGAAGGGACUACUGCGCUGAUUGUCUUUUUCAUGAGCUUCUCUUCCAUUUGAACAUGAGAAUAAUCAGAUGGUUGAUAUUUAUGUUACAAAAGUUGGAAGCAACUUAAGCAAUUCAGUAUCAUUGGAGGACUAUAAUAAUAAGCCGAUUCUUUUGCUUCUUGGAUUUUUUUGUUAAUUCACUCGCUGCAUGCUUAUCCCACCUCUGAUUUUUCUUAAUAUUUCUCUGUAGUUCACUUCACAGCACUUUAGCCGCUACAUUGGCAUUUUCUGCUAUUUGUUAUUGUUCAUUGAAGCAAGUUAGCUUAUGAGAUUGCUUUUUGGUAAAUGUUCUUCAGGGGGGUUGUGAAAGGCCAAAUCAACUGAGAUGACCGAGUUUUCUAGAUCAGCCAUCUCUGUCCUCAACAACUGUCAAUUACUGAGACACCAAACUCUAACCUGAUUCAUAUGGAUGUAGACUAAAGCUUCUUGCCGAUACCAUCCCCAGUCAAAGCUGCUAUCCUUGAAAGUUUUGCAAGAGAAAACAUGUCUGAGUCAGACAUUGACGUCCCCCCAAGCAUCAAACAGUAUAUCAAGAGCAAUGUUGGUUUCCCAGUCGAUACAAAUGCAGAAUUCAUAUAUGCAGAUUGCUCUCAAUCUCUGUUUAAUAAGCUAGUCCUCUGCUGUAUCCUACAAAGUGGAACAAUACAUUAUGCUUCCCAGCAGACUCCAAUGGGAAGUAUGUUUCUGCUGCCAAAUUUUUGAAAGCUAUCAUUGUGAAUAUCCCUCCCCAGUCUGAAGUGGGCUUUGAUACUUGUGACAAUACUCGAUCGAGACUGUAAAGAAGCCGUGGGUGUACAUUUCUGGUCCAACAAUCAAUCCAACUGGCUUGCUUUUACAGCAGGAAAGAGAUAGAGAAUAUAUUAACUGUUUGUGCAGAAUAUGGGGCAAGAGCUUGUUUAGUGUCGUGUCAAAAUAAAUAUAACAAAGUUUUAGCUGAAUAUAAAUUCGACUUAGUUAUUAUAGAUAUUUAAUAAAAUAAUAAAACGAUUAAUAUGUUACCUACAAUUUGGAGAAAUGAACUGCGAUAUGAUACUUCAUGAAAAAAAGAUUUAAUUUAUUAUUUCUACUAGUAAAACUAUUAAUUCAUCAACCCAUCAAGAUUUUUUUUCUUUUUUUCUUUUUUUCUUUUUUUUGAAUUCAACCCAUCAAUCUUUGUUUGUAACUGCCAGACCGUCAGUUUCUUAAGGCUCACGCAGUGCAAGGGUAGUGUAUCGUUUCUUUCUAACUGAAAUGGGAACUCGGAUGCUGAGAAAAUAUGCCUGCAUGACUUCAUUAAUCCAGCAGGCGUGGUACUAUCACUAUGCAACAUUACAUUAACAUUUCCUCAUCAAUCAAUUUUGAUGGUCUGAUAUUGAAAACGUCGAUUUCAUAAUUUUGUGUAAUUUCAUAGAAAAGAUAUAAUUGAUUUUAGUUAGUUUAACAUAUAAUGAAAGAGUAAUGGGGAAUGAUAUCACUGUGGCGUUUGAUGAGUAAUGAUAGACAACAAAUAUGGAUCAUGUAAUAAUGAAAUAUGUAUUUACUGAAAAAAAUUUGGCAACAAAAUGAUGCUUUAAAAAUUUAAUAUUAUUUGCUAGAAAUAAUUUGACAAUUAAAAGUAAAAGAUAUAUUUACAAUGCUUCAAGUUUAUUUUAUCACUUCACUAACCAUUUUGUAACUACAUGUUAAAUAGAAGUUCAAUUAAUUCUGACAAAGGUCUCUAGAAGAGAUUUGGUUUUUGUAUACCAAAAAAUUAGAGAUAAGAUAAGUUAAAAUCAAUUAGAAGAACAACAAUAAGGAUAUGUUUUAUAAAAGCCAAAAAUACAUAUAAUAUAAAUUUAGUUUUGAAUUAGUAAUUAUUAAUUUAUAUAAUAAGAGAGUCUUAUAGGAAAGUGGGAAUUUUUUAAAAGAGAUUUGCUAAGGAAAAAGUUUAGUUUGGUUUAGUUUGUGAAGGCUCAAAGUAAUUGAAAGCAAUACAAGUGAGGGAAACAUAAACUUCUAAUUUUUACAAAGUAAUCGCUAAAAUAUUUGACAAGUUUGAGAUGUUAAAAAAGCUGGGAAAAUAGACAAAUUAAUGAAGACCCUACAAGUUGGCAAAGCAAAUAAACAGAGGAAAACAUAGCAAAUAUUUACCAUUAUACAUAUAUAUAUAUAUAUAUUUUUUUGGGAAAAAGGAUACCGACACUUUUAAGGUUUAGGGAAAUGGUCACAAAUACACCUAAAUUUUCAUCAAGGGACACCAAGACCUCUUUUUAACUGUAAUGUCUUUUGUCUCUAUAAAUCCUAAGAAAAUGACGUCAAAAUUUUAUAAUAAAUAGACAUAUGGCAUAGAAGUAAAUGAAAUAACAUAUACAUCUUAAAAUAAUGUUAAUAUUGAAAGCUAUUUUUAUAUUUUACAAUCUAUUAGACCUAUUUUAUUAACUUAAAGUAAUUUUUAAUAAUAGAUAGAAACAUAAUAUUAAAAUAAAUAAGUUAAAAUUAAAAUUAUUUUGAAUAUUAUGUAAAAGUUAAUUUUAAUAUUAUUAAUAGGGAUUUUUUUAAUUGUAAAAUCUAUGUAACCCAAAGAUUUAUUUAAAAUCUUCAUAAUAUCACAAACAUAUUAUUAAAAUAAAUAUAAUAAUUUAAAUUUUUAAUAUUAUUUUAAAUGUAAAAAAUAAUGUAAUAUUAUUAGUCUACUAGAUAGAUUAUAUUAUUUAUAUUAAAUUUGUAUUAAUUAAAAAUCUUUAAGGUCAAUUUUUUAAUUACUAUAAUCAAAGGAUAUUAUGAGCAAAAAGGGAUUUUGGUGUCUCUUUUUAAAUAAAUAUCAUUUUCUCUUUUUUAUCCAAAAACAAAUGUUGCGAUUUUGUUUUUUUAACAUCUCAAACUUUCAAAAACAAUUGAAAGCGGUACACUUAUCAAAAACCUCAACAGCAUUAUCAACCAACCCAUGUUUACCAAACUCUUCGAUGAUGAGAGAUAGAGUUUGAGGAGAGACGGAGAGAUUGUAGGGUUUCAUGAGUUCGAUGGUCUUCCACAUGGACUGGUAGCGUUUGUGGUGGGCGAGGGUCAGGAUGAGCGGUUCGAAUUCGAGGGAGGUGGGGGAGUAUUGGGGCUGGGAGCGGGCCCAGGUGAAGAAGCCGAGGGAUUCGGAAGGGGAAGUGUAUUGAGGGUGCUUUCUGGAUAUAUGUCGUGACGGACUAUGUUGGCGAUGUGGUUUACGGCUGCAAGGUAAUCGUCUUUUGAGGUUUUAGCCGCGACCGCGGUGCUCAUGGUUUUGAAGGAGAGGAUGAGGUAUUGCCGUAUUGAGUUCGGCUUCUGAAUAGAGAAACUAACACCUGGGAAGGUUUAAUGUGGGAACUUCACAUGCGUUCUAUGUAUUCGAAAGAAUUCCGCAAUAAAAACUGCUCGAGCUGGCAAUCGCACUUGCAUGCUAUAUGUUUGAAUAGAUUCUGUAUUCUGAAAUAUAUGUGGCCAUCACACAAAUUGGCAAUAUCGAUUGGCUUCUUGCAGCCAUCACGAAUUGAAAGGAAAAACACCUACUAUCGAAAAUUAAUUUUAAGAAUCUCUUUUACUUGAAAUCUUUGAAAAGAAAAAUUAACCAAAUUCGGCUAGAGAUAUACAUAAAUCCGGUACUAGUUUAAAAUGUGAGUAUGGUUAAUUUAAUAAGAGAGAACAAGAAUCGAUUAUGUCCCAAAAGAGAGAAAAUUAAAUUAUAUAAAUUUUCAUGCAAAUAUAUCAUAUGUUAAUCUCAAUUUUUUGUUGCUGAAAAAUUAAUUAAUUCCACUACUUCCAUUUUUUUAAUUUUGUGUCGUGUACCACAUUUGCCACUCCUGAAUUACUUAAUUCAAAUAAAGGUUCGGCUACGUUGGAUCAGCUCCAACGUAGCGCCCACUAACACCAGCCAUAUGAUUAUAUAAAUCCGAUCUGACGGUCACGAUUACAUGGACUUAAAAUACAAGAUAUGCACAGGAUUAUGAGUAAUCUUCUUCUACUUCGCUCUUCAUCGGUUGUUUGACCAAAUACAAGAAACGAAUCAAAGAAAGCAGGACAUGCAAAUGAACACUAUAUACAAAAGGGGAGUGGGGGUCUGAAUGCCUCUUCAAUUGAAUCGGCCAAGUGUUGCUUGCAUGCGCUCUACAAACUGCUUUGCUGUCAUCUGAAGCUGAAAGAAUUAUCCCUAGCUCCGUCGGUUUUUUCUGCAAUAAAACGACAAUCCCUGCCUUCACUCAUCUUAAUUCAUCCCCCGGUUAUGUUCCUCCUUUUUUAAUCAAUAAUUAAUUGCUGCCCCCUGUUUCCCCUCUCUCUGUAGACUCUACCCACCAAAACCAUUUGCUAUCUUUCUAUUGAAAGUAACUCGGUAAUAUACAUGUAUACGAUGGAGACGGUGCAAGGACUGUUGGGGAAGCUGGGGCGGCAGUGCUAUGCUGUAUUUUGCUUGGGUGUGAUUCUUGUUGUGUCGGUGACAAUCGCUCAUUAUGUUGAACCAAAGGAUAUUUCCGCAUCAGCUGCUGGUGAAAGUAGAGCCAAGGCCACCCGUCGUCGUCUUCGACCUUUACACGGUCCUCCUCUUCCAGCCUCUCUGAAUUUCUACUGAUCAUCACUCCCCACCAGCCAACCAGCUGCUUUAUGCUACCUUCUAGAAUUCUAAAGACUUUAGUUAACUAAUUAACUUCUUCUAGACUUGUUUCUGGGUUUAAUCAAUUUGCUCCCCCCCAGUUUCUCUGUAAAAUUUUUGCUUAAUUUAAUUAAUUGUUAAUUAACAAAUAACAGAAACGCUAAUUUUCGCGCAAGUUUCAACAAUACUUACUUGGUUGCCUUCUGUUCUCCUGUUUGCGUCUCUGUCUUCCAUUACGAGCACCCAAAGAGGUAUAAUCAACGGUUUGCGAGAUAGCUGCGACUGCAGUAGGUGCCGGCGUCGAUCAUCAACAUGGCGGUGCACGGUAGAAUUAGGUGAGGAGAGAUGGAGAGGUAUAAUCAACGGUUGCUGAUCAAAUUUGAAACUUUCCAGCGAACCGACGGUGAUGAUGAGAUUGAUUCCAAUUAUAAAUCCUGUGCAUAUCCUGUAUAUUGAGUCUAUGUAAUCGUGACCGUCAGAUCGGAUUUAUAUGAUCGUAUGGCUGGUGUUAGUGGGCGCUACGUCGGAUUUAUAUGAUCGUAUUCUUCAUCAUUAUGGUUGAUGGCUUAACAAAUGCAGGAGUAGGGGACAGCCAAAAUAAAACACUUUCUCUUGUAUUAACCUUUGCUAGUCGUCGAAGUUAAAAAUUUUUAGAACAAGUUAAAACAGUUCCAACUCAAAAUCAUUAGUGCACAAUUGGGUUGUUAUAAAUAUUUUUGAAUUUCAGUCUAAUUUGACUUAUUUAAUUAUGUAUGCACAAACUAGUUUCAUCACUUUUUUCGUAUUGAUACCCAAAAUUUUCAACCUUAUUUUAUAUUGAUGCACAAUCUAACUUAAUAAAAAUAAUAUUCAAAUUGUCACAAUUUUUUUUUUUAAAUCAUAUACAAAGUUAAGUUUUCUUCUUCUCUAGGAUCCAGCUCUAUACUCCUCUUUUUUGUCGUUAUGCUGCUCAGUCGUUAAAUUUUAAUUACGUUAAUCUAACGGUCCGGAUUUGUAAUGAAUAAUAUUAAAUGCACCGGUAUAUUUUAAUUACGUUAAUCUAAAGCUGCAAUUAUGUGCCGUAAACAUUGACAUGGUUAAUGUCAUCGAGAUCACAUGGUUGUUAUUUACGAAAAGAGAAUUGCUGGAAAUUUUGUUAAUCCACUAUUGCAACAAUAUAUUGUUAUAAAUUGCAUUGUUUCCCAUAUUUAUAGAUUAAUUUUGAAAAGAAGCAAACAAUGCUAAGAACGUAUUUUACAGAAGCUAUAUAGACAUGUCAUAUGAAUUUCGUUUUUAUACUACGUAAUUAUUAAUUUAUAUAAUAAUAUAUUUCCUUCAAAACAUAGUAUUUGAAUUUGAAAUUAUUUUUUUUAAAUUAGCAUUACGAAAAUAAUCAUGAUUUGAUUGGUUUCAGUUUUAUAAGAAAAAAGUUGGGAAAAUAGACAAACAAUGAAGGAAAAAAUUAAGCAGAGCCAAUAAACAGGGGAAAGUGAAUUAAUGUCCUUGUGCACAUUAAUAAUCUCAUUUUUCCAUGUACAAUUUUGUAAAAUAUUCAUCUCAUAUACUAGAGUCUUUUGGUUUUAUGACGAAAGAGUCAUGGUAGCGAUGUAUCUAGAGUAAAAAGAUUUAAUUUAUUUUUCCUUGUUAUUAGCAAAAAUUAUUAUUAAUUAAUCAACCCAUCGAGAUAUAUUGGUUUCAUUUGUUACAACUAGCCAAUUGCUUAAUACAGUUUUGUACGUCUCACUAUUACUUGUAAAUAAAAUCAUAGAUGUGGUAUGUUGUGAUGUGAUAAAUUUAAAUACAAAUCUUAAUUACGUUGUGAUGUGAUAAAUUUAAUUCAUGUUAGGAAAUUGAGCUUCCUUCCAAGAUCUCUCUAAGCAAUUUAUCAAGCAAAAAAUUAAUAAAAAAAAUUAAAUGGAGAAUACAUUAAUCACACAACACAAGAUUUACGUGGAAAACUUCAAAUUCGGAGAAAAACCACGGCCGUUGUCACAAGACAACUAGAGAAAAAUAUUCCCUAUGUGGAAAAUUAUUAUAACCACUCUUAGAAAUAAUUUUCUCUCACCCAAGCCCCAAAUACAUAAUCUCAAGAAAUAUCCCUUAACAAAGCAAACCCGUAAUACCCAUAAUGAGGAGCCAACUUCUCCUUCAAUAUAACUACAUGCUUAAGAACAUUUCUCUCUCUCAAUUUCUCACCAAAACUUGGAUUCCUUCUCUGGGAUUUUGGGAUACUAAAAUAAGGAGGAGCACUCCUCUAUUUAUAGCCAAAUUAUGGCUUCCUUUUCUUCUUUUUUUUUCUUCUUUCCAUAUCUGGAGAUUUUCAUCAUAGUAGUUUAUUGAAAGUGAAGGCAGCUGAAUACACUUUUUUCUGAUGCAGUCUGUCCCUCUUUGGUGUGAUUAUUUGAAAUUUGUGCAAGAAUAUGAUCCAUCUAUACACGAAUGUGCCUAAUAAAAUAUCACAAAGGUGCCUAAUACAGUGAAAUUAACAUAUUCAGCUCAUGAGAUUGCCAUUAUAUAUAUUGAAAAAGAAAUUAAUACAAGAAACUGAAAAUUAAUUGACACUGGAUCAUGUUGGAUUGUUUGUUAAUUAUGAUGGGAUUAUAAUCUUGGUCUUUUAAUUAUCAUCUAGCUAAUGCAUGUGCACUUUCAUUUGUGUCUAUCACUGGAGAAUAAAGUUGCUUGAUUGAACAGCAUCAUAUGAAGGAAACUCAAAACUCAAUUUCGUUGCCUGAGCAUAUCAUGCUAUAUUUAGCUCAAAAGUGCAAUUAACGUUGAACAUUCAGCUAGCUGGCUCAUACUAAUUAAUUUAUAGGAUUGCUAGUUCUUUAUGAUUAACUAAAAGAGAAAAUAUUUGACAAUUACGAAAACAACAACAAUUCACUCUUAUAAACAACAUAAUAGAUACAUGGUCUAUAUUGCAAUUCUUUUUAUGAUUUUAAUUAAAAGAGAAAAUGCAAAGGAAAUAUUAUAUAUAAUUGAAGGUUCUCCUUGAUAAUUAGACAAAAUGACACCAAUCUGGCUAACUAAUACAAUCAUCAUAAUUAUCCGAUUUUCAUUUUAAUUAUGUCCAAUCAUGCUAAUUUAAUAAAGAAUACUGAAUACACGAGUAUUUAUAUGUUCAACAACUUUGACUUCUGAAAAAUAUAGGAGCUGCAUUUAUGCUUUGUGUUAUUAAGUAGGACAUGACCAUAUUAAGUUGCAUUUGUCAGAAAACUGAAAAUUAUUCAAAAGGAUCUUAAAAGAGGUGUUGAAUUGUGAGCUUAAAAAUGAGUUUAGAAGUUUCUGACAUGUCAGUUUGUAUCCUUAAUUGUGCAUGCCCUGUCAGUUUCUGGAUGAAACAGGAGAAUGUGACAUCUGUGUAUUGUCUUUUACUUCCAGUAAGUGAAUCACAUGUUCUUCACGUGAUUUGACAUACUUUAGACGGAUUUGGCAGUUGUUUUGGUCACUUAUUGAAGCACGAGUUAAGCACGUGAUUCAAGGUUGUUAACUGACCGUUAUAAGGUGGGAAAAUUCUGGGUUUGUUACAACAAACCCAGAAGGCAGCUGGUGAGUGGGGGACGUUUCUGUAUAUAUGGUCUUAGAGGCUAUAGUUGAGCCAUAUGAAAAGCUCCUAACUUCUUAAUGUUUGUAGCUUGUUCGUGGUGAUUGAAAUAAGAUUAUUACUCCGUCCUUCAGCGGAUAUAUGCUAUCUCCAAAAUGUGCCACUUAAAUUGUGCCUCUGUUUUGCUUGUUUCUGUUCUUAUUCUUGUGAGGUGUGUGAUUUGUUUAUCAUUUCUAAAUCAUCAAUUAGAGAGACCAACCAGAUCUUGGUGGUUUUAGAUUGAGUUCAAUCGAUCAAGAAUCAAUAAGAUGUAAUGAAAACAAAAUGACAGAAUAAUGCACGCACAUCACAGCAAUGUUUCAUUCAUUUCGAAUCUAUAUAUACAAAACUUUUAUCUGACAGUUUACAUUUGUUUAAUAUAGCGCUGUAACAUGCGUACCAUCAAAAGCUACAGCCGCCAUCUUUGUUUGUCCUCGUAGCAUCCUUGAUCUUAUUUUAUCGUGGUGAUUCUUGAAAGUUCAUCUCAUUCUCAUGUGCUGAGUCACUUGCUGAGAUGAUGAAUACUUGAGGGUCCUUCCUUGAGACAUUUCAGCAGAAACCUGAUUCAUUCUAUCAAACAUCUGCAUCACUAAUCACUAAAUGAUGUAAGAUAGUUCUGUUUUGAAAUAUUAAUAUGCAUGCAUCCCCCGCGUUAGUUAGAGCUGCUUGUCAUCUUCUAUUUUCUUUUGGGUACAGUUUUGAAUUUUUAAUUAAUUGGCUUUCUCGCGGGAUAUUGUUUUCUCCUUUGAUUUUCUAUUUUUUGAUGAUGGUGUACACAUACAAAGAUCGUGUAAUAAAGUGCUUUUAGUAAAUCAUGGUCGGUUUACUAUUAAUUAAUCAAAUUUAAUUUGCUUUGGUAUUUGUUAACAUCAUUGUUAUUAUAAAGCGGACCUAUACAAUUAUAGAAAGAACGCCAACGGACCAAGCUCUACCAGCAAAUUAAUGAGAUUGCUCUUGUACACGAUUAAAAUAAUUUCAAUUUCAUCGUAUUUAUGUGUGUGUCUAUAUAUAUAGAGAGAGAGAUUGUACAUUGACGAAAUAAUGAUAAUUUAGCAAAUCUAAUUUUCAUUUAUAUUAUUAUGUUAAUUUAUGCUAUUUUAAUAAAGGCCACUCGAACAUUUAUAUAUCCAAUAUGUAAAAUUUUAAAACAAUAUUUGCCAAAGUUUGACGAAGCGACUACCAAAGCUUAGUUGUAAUUAAUCAAAUAAAAAAAAUGUUUGCUUUGCUUGAUGUACUGUUUGCUUAUGAUCUUUUCUUGAUUUUCUUGUGGGAUGUUUCUCUUUGGAUGUUUUGUUUAUUAUAUUAACAACAAUAAAGUGCGUUUUAUAAAUCAUGGUCCUACAGUCAGUAGUAAAAGAAAGGGGAUUCUCACUUUCCCCCUACAGUAAUUAAUAUAUAUCAUUUGUCCCCCUUCUGUUUUUAUAAUGGCAUAAAACUCCCCUGACAACAUAAGUUUACAGUAUUACCCUUAUUUUUAAUUACUUUUUUAUUUACAUUUAUUAUAAAUUAAAUAAAUUACAUGAAUAGAAAUUAAAUAAAAAAAUUAAGUAUUAAAAACAAGAAAUAUAUGUUUUGAUAUGAGCAAAAAAAUUAAUAAUAAUUUUUUUUGUAAUAAUUUAUUUUGUGAACAUUUUCUUAUAAUAAACAUUUUGUAAUAUUUUAAAAUUAAAUGUAAAAAGUAUAGGCAAAAUAUUUGAUUAUUUAUCUUAUAAUAAAUUUUUAUUUUUCAUUCAAAUUUUCUUAUAAUAAUUUUUUUAUCAUUUUAUAAUAACUUUCUUAUAUAUUUAUUAUAAGAAAAAUAUGCACAAAAUAAAUAAGUACAAGAAAAAAAUUUUAUUAUUAAUUUUUUUCUCAUAUCAAAACAUAUAUUUCUUGUUUUUAAUUCUUAAUUUUUUAUUUAGUUUAUAGUCAUGCUAUUUAUUUAAUUUAUAAUAAAUAUAAAUAAAAGAGUAGUUGAAAAUAAGGGUAAUUUUGCAAACUUAUGCUAUUAGGGGGGUUUUUGGCCAUUAUAAAAACAGCAGGAGGAAAUGGUAUAUGUUGAUUACUGUAGGGGGGAAAUUGGCAAUCUCCCUAAAAGAAAUAAUGAGCUUGGUUUUUAUUAAUAAAAAUUAGAAAAAAAAUCUUUUUCUCUAGAACUUAUUAUGGAUUUUAAGCUAAAAAAAAAAAAUACUACCCCAAUUUCUAAAGAUAUUCCCUCUUAUUUCAUAUUGAUUUGUUAAUGCGAAGAUUCAUUGCAAUUAUAACAGUUUUGAUGAAUUUAAAUAUUCAAUAACUGAUAAAUUCUAUUUAUAAAUAUUAAUAGCAAUGACACGGAAACAAUUAAAUCAAAUUAAACAAUUGUUCUACUCACCGCUUUUCCUUUUGUUUCCAAAACCCAUUAACCACCGACAUCGAACCAUAUUAAUUUAAAAUAUUGUUCAACUGAGAUUUGAAUUUUAAAAUUACAUACACAAACACACCCGAUUUUUUUUAAAAAAAAAAGAAUACUGCUAAUAAAAUAUUUCAGCCAUCAAAAGCCACAUACCUAAGGUAUGAUGAGCAAAUCCUCCCAAUGAUCCUGAAAUUACUCUCGCACCCUAUCAAAAUAAUUUUAAUUUCAUCAUAUAUGCACACAGACACACACACAAAAUGUAAAUAAUUUUUGUAUAUAAAAUAUUUGAAAUAAUCACUAAACAACAAUUCACAAGGUAGAUUAUACCCAGACGAAAUAAUGCCAUUUUAAUAAAGAACGCUCGAGCAUUUAUAUAUCUAACAGGUAAGAUUUCAAAACAAAUUUUGCCGAAGGCAAAGUCUGGUGAAGAGAAAUGUUAUAUGUAUAUAACCGUACAGGCGCAGCAGAAGGAUAAGUAAAAAAAAACGAAGUUUCAAUAAGAAAUUAAUUCAUUACUUUCCAAAUGAUCAUCUUAAGGCUCAUUUGGAAAAUGGUGUUCUGAGGAUCACUGUGCCAAAGCUUGCUGAGGAGAAGAAGAGGCAGCCCAAGGUUAUUAACAUUGAUGAAGAAUCUGGUAAUUCUUCCGGUGAAGAUAGUAAGGCCACCAAGGCUCAAAUGUAAUUGAUUAAAGAAAGAAGUGCUUGCUUUGCUUGAUGUGCCAUUUGUUUUGUGAUCUUUUCAUGGUUUUGUUGUGUGAUGCUUCUCUUUAGAUGUUCUGUUUAUUGUAUUUUGAUGGGUUUUUGAGGAUGGUUGUAUGUAUUAACAACAACAAGGUGCUUUUUAUAAAUCCGGUUCCUAAUUUUGUAAAAGAAAUUAAUACUCUUGGUUUAUUUUUAAUGAAAAAUUAAAAAGAAAAAGCUUUUUUCUAUGGCAUAUAUUAUGCAUUUUAAGAAAAAAAAAUAUCACAUUCCAAUUGAUGAAGACAUUUCUUCUGUCAUAUUGAUGUGUUAAUAGAAAGAUCUAUAUGAAUUAUAAUGAUGAAUCUAAAUAUUCAAUAACUGAUAAAUUGUAUUUAUAAAUAUUAAUAGUGGUGGCAUAUAAACAAUUAAUUCAAGGACUCGCCUAUAAUGAAUUAAUUUAAAGAGUAUAAAUAUUUUAAUAAAUCAUACUCGAUUUACUAUUAAUUAAUCAAAUUUAAUUUACUCAAAUUAUUCCUCUACAUGAUCAAAGUAAUUUCAAAUAUACACGCACAGACACAAAAAAUGUAAAUGACUUUGAAAUAUAAAAUAUUUAAAAUAAUCACCAUACUAACAAUUCACAAGUCAGAUUAUAAAUGGUCGAAAUAAUGAUAAUCUAGUGAAUUCAGUCAUAAUAAUUUGAUUUUCAAUUAUAUUAAUUAUGUCGAAUCAUACUAUUUUAAUAAGAAAGAGCACUCGAGAAUAUAUAUAUCCAACAACUAAAAUAAUAGAAUAUAUAUAUAUAUAUAAAAACACGCGCACGCACAUAUAUAUAAUCGUACUGCAGAAGGAUAGAUAAAACCAACAGCUGAAUAAUGCAAACUGACUUUUUUCUUUGAAAAAAAAGGCAUUUUAUUGUUUAAUUCGAAAACCCAUUAUAUACAUGAUAAAGACUCACCGACACCGAACCAUAUUAAUUUAAAAUAGUUUUCAACUGAGAUUUAAAAUUACAUACACAAACACACCCGAUUUGUUUUAAAAAAAACUACUAAUAAUAAAAUACUUCAGUCAUUCUCUGUUCUGCCAUCAAAACCCCAUUUAUAUAUCUAACAUGUAAGAUGUAAAAACAAAUUUUGCCGAAGGCAAAAAGUCUGGUGAAAAGAAAUGUUACAUCUAUUUAACCGUACAGGCACAGCAGAAGGAUAAGUCAAAGAAAAACGAAGUUUCAAUAAGAAAUUAAUUACACAUUUACACUCAAUAAGAAAUUAAUUCAUUACUUUCUACCACUUUUAUUUAAAAAAACGUAGUCUAUUAUUUAAUAAAAAUUCGAAAACCCAUUUACAUGAUAAAAACUCACCUACACCGAACCACAUUAAUUUAAAAUAAUUUUCCACUAGGACUUGAAAAUUACAUUCACAAACGCACCCAAUUGAAAAAAAAAAUUAAAUAAAAUAUUUCAGUCGUCCUCUGUUCAGUCAUCAAAAACCCAUUUAAAAUCUAUACAGACAUAAGAAGUCCCCAUAUUGUCCUCUAUCCUUUCUGCACUUCUCUUUCAUCAACGGACAUUCCGAGAUCCAUAAUUGCAAAAGUGAGGAAGGCAGUUAAGUGAUCAAUUGGUAUUUGUAAGCGUCGUUGUAGUACAACAACAUACUAAUCAACUACUACGCUCUGCCAGCCAAUUAAUCAGCAAAUCCUCCUCAAAUUGGGCUUGUAUACGACCGAUUUUAAUUUCAAAUGAUAGAUGUAUAUAAAUAUAUAUCUAUAUAGAUACACACACAUACACAAAAUGUAAAUAACUUUCAAAUAUAAUAUUCAAUAAUCACUAAAUUAACACUUCGCAGGUUAGAUUAUACAUAGACCAAUGGAUAAUGCUAAUCUAUUCUAAUAAAUUAAGAACACUCGAAUAUUUCUAUGUCCAGUCGGUAAAAUUUCAAACCAACUUUUCCCAAGCUCCUCCUAUGCUGAAUUAAUUAAUACAUUAAAAGGUCCGUCUCUGCUAAAUAAUGCAAUUGCGCUAUUCUGCCCUUUUUUUAAAAAGCAUUCUACUAUUUAAUAAAAAAAAAUUCGAAUGCUCAUCAUAUACAUGAUAAAAACUCACCGAUACCGAGCCAUAUUAAUUUAAAAUAGUUUUCAACUGAGAUUUGAAUUUUAAAAUUACAUACACAAACACACUCAAUUUAAAAAAAGAAAAAAAAAAGAAAAUACUAAUAAUAAAAUAUUUCAGCCGUCCUAUGUGUUAUCGCCAAAAACGGAUUUACCAUCUAUUUCAACGCGCGGUAUAUGGGUUAACAAGUCCCAAUAUUGUCCUCCAUCCUUUCUGCACUUCUCUACUAUCAACGGACAUUCCCAGAUAAUUAAUAGCAAAAGUGAGGAGGGCAGGCCCUUCUCCGGAAAGUAUUUGAGCCUCGGACAAUCCCAGAGUCGCAAAAGUGAGGAAGGCAGGCCCUUCUGUCAUAUUGAUGUGUUAAUAGAAAGAUCUAUGUGAAUUAUAACAAUUUUGAUGAAUCUAAAUAUUCAAUAACUGGUAAAUUGUAUUUAUAAAUAUUAAUAGCGGUGGCACAUAAGCACUUAAUUCAAGAACUCACCUAUAGUGCAUUAAUUUAAAGAGUAGAAAUAUUUAAUAAAUUAAUCAUGCUCGGUUUACUAUUAAUUAAUCAAAUUUAAUUUACUCAAAUUACUCCUCUACAUGAUCAAAGUAAUUUCAAAUAUACAACACACAAAAUGUAAAUGACUUUGAAAUAUAAAAUAAGCACCCCACUAACAAUUCACCAGCAAGAUUAUAAAUAGUCGAAAUAAUGAUAAUCUAGGGGGUCCAGUCAUAAUAAUUUGAUUUUUAUUUAUAUUAAUUAUAUCAAAAAGAGUACUCGUGAUUAUAUAUAUAUCCAACAGCUAAAAUUUCAAAACAAUAUUUGCCAAAGUCUGAUGAAGAGAAUUACAUAUAUAUAACAUGCACUCGCACACAUUCUAUUGUUUAAUUAAAAAAUUUGAAAGCCCAUUAUAUACAUGAUAAAGACUCACCGACGCCGAACCAUUUUCAUUUAAAGGAUUUGUUUUCAACUGAGAUUUGAAAUUAUAUACACAAACACACCUGAUUUUUUUUUUUAAAAAAUUACGAAUAAUAAAAUAUUUCAGUCGUCCUCGGUUCAGUCAUCAAAAACCCAUUUAAAAUCUAUAGCAACACGCGGUAUAUGGGUUAACAAGUCCCAAUAUUGUCCUCCAUCCUUUCUGCACUUCUCUGCUAUCAACGGACAUUCCCAGAUAAUUAAUAGCAAAAGUGAGGAAGGCAGGCCCUUCUCCGGAAAGUAUUUGAGCUUGGGACAUUCCAAGAGAUACAAUGAAGUGAGGUAUUGAAGAUCAACAAUUGAAGAAGAUAGGCGUUCCAGAUUUGGAAAAUUGAAAAUCCACAGAGUUGUUAGAGAGGCAGGAAGAGGAAGCGUGGUCCCCGAUCCUUUGUCAUCUGCCUUUAGUGGGAAUGACACCACGUCAUCACAAUUAAUGAUUGUAAGUUGUCGCAGAGAGGAGAAUCUGUGAAAUCCCCGACCCCGCUCAAUCAUUGACUUCCAAAUCUCCUUAUUACUAUUAAUCUCCAGUGAAUGAAGGUUGGUGGGAAGGCCAUCUUCUUCAAGGCUUGGAAGCUCAACUCCUUUUCCUAUUCUUAAUUGUUGAAGAGAGGUCAGAUUGUGCAAUCCCUUGGGUAAGACCUGUAGUCUCUUACAAUAAGAUAUCUCCAGCCUCGUGAGUUUCGCACAAGGCAAUCCCCCUUGGGGAAAGGACACCAGAUCACAUUCCCAUAUCCCUAUCUCUUGAAGCUGGCGGAGAUUAUGUAAAGCACUCGGUAAAAUUUUCAGAUUUCUACAAAAACUAACUGCGAUUGUUUCAAGAGAUGUGUUGUUGUCCAACCUUUCUGCUAUUGACUCCAGCUUUGAACAUCCACCAACACGAAGGGACUUAAGAGACGGAGGUAGAUUGCCAACUUCAAGGGACUCAAGCGUGGCAGGUAACUCGUUUUUUGAAAAUAUACAUGUCAGUGAUAGACAACCACUAAUUUCCAACUCCUCGAGAAGAGAUGAGGCGUACCUUCUGCUGCUGCUACACUGGAUGCCCUCUUCCACUGUCAAAGUCCUUAGAUUAUAACAAAGGUAGAUCUCCAACCUCUUAAGGCUCGGUGGUAGCUGGACUCCAGCAAUAUAUGUCAACGAAUGGCAAUCCCAAAUCUUCAAGAUCUCGAGAGAGGAAUUGUUGUCGCACAUCCAUGC